CCUCCAAAGCCAGUGACCCCAUGACAUCACUGACAGUGGGACCCGGAACGCCACUGACACAUUAUUGAAGCCAACUGAGAACGACACACAUACGACUGCUAGCUAGACCAUGUACGCAGCUACGUGACGUACAUUGCGCACCCACGCGACGACGAUCAACCACUCACGAAAUACGCCCACACAUACGGAUCCAAUAAUAAACGAACUAAGGUACCGUGCCAUGGCAAUGCCACGGCACGCGCACGGCGAAGCCAGGCAAAGGCUAGCUCAGGAGCACGAUCGCACCCGCGCGCAUCAACUCACUCGGCGGCCUUGUCGGCGGCGGCGGCAGCCUGAGCAGCUGGUGCCUCUGCCGGCACCGCCUCGGCNNNNNNNNNNNNNNNNNNNNNNNNNNNNNNNNNNNNNNNNNNNNNNNNNNNNNNNNNNNNNNNNNNNNNNNNNNNNNNNNNNNNNNNNNNNNNNNNNNNNNNNNNNNNNNNNNNNNNNNNNNNNNNNNNNNNNNNNNNNNNNNNNNNNNNNNNNNNNNNNNNNNNNNNNNNNNNNNNNNNNNNNNNNNNNNNNNNNNNNNNNNNNNNNNNNNNNNNNNNNNNNNNNNNNNNNNNNNNNNNNNNNNNNNNNNNNNNNNNNNNNNNNNNNNNNNNNNNNNNNNNNNNNNNNNNNNNNNNNNNNNNNNNNNNNNNNNNNNNNNNNNNNNNNNNNNNNNNNNNNNNNNNNNNNNNNNNNNNNNNNNNNNNNNNNNNNNNNNNNNNNNNNNNNNNNNNNNNNNNNNNNNNNNNNNNNNNNNNNNNNNNNNNNNNNNNNNNNNNNNNNNNNNNNNNNNNNNNNNNNNNNNNNNNNNNNNNNNNNNNNNNNNNNNNNNNNNNNNNNNNNNNNNNNNNNNNNNNNNNNNNNNNNNNNNNNNNNNNNNNNNNNNNNNNNNNNNNNNNNNNNNNNNNNNNNNNNNNNNNNNNNNNNNNNNNNNNNNNNNNNNNNNNNNNNNNNNNNNNNNNNNNNNNNNNNNNNNNNNNNNNNNNNNNNNNNNNNNNNNNNNNNNNNNNNNNNNNNNNNNNNNNNNNNNNNNNNNNNNNNNNNNNNNNNNNNNNNNNNNNNNNNNNNNNNNNNNNNNNNNNNNNNNNNNNNNNNNNNNNNNNNNNNNNNNNNNNNNNNNNNNNNNNNNNNNNNNNNNNNNNNNNNNNNNNNNNNNNNNNNNNNNNNNNNNNNNNNNNNNNNNNNNNNNNNNNNNNNNNNNNNNNNNNNNNNNNNNNNNNNNNNNNNNNNNNNNNNNNNNNNNNNNNNNNNNNNNNNNNNNNNNNNNNNNNNNNNNNNNNNNNNNNNNNNNNNNNNNNNNNNNNNNNNNNNNNNNNNNNNNNNNNNNNNNNNNNNNNNNNNNNNNNNNNNNNNNNNNNNNNNNNNNNNNNNNNNNNNNNNNNNNNNNNNNNNNNNNNNNNNNNNNNNNNNNNNNNNNNNNNNNNNNNNNNNNNNNNNNNNNNNNNNNNNNNNNNNNNNNNNNNNNNNNNNNNNNNNNNNNNNNNNNNNNNNNNNNNNNNNNNNNNNNNNNNNNNNNNNNNNNNNNNNNNNNNNNNNNNNNNNNNNNNNNNNNNNNNNNNNNNNNNNNNNNNNNNNNNNNNNNNNNNNNNNNNNNNNNNNNNNNCCGGCGCUUUGGCCUCGACGUCGGCAGCAGCAGCUGGUGCUUCUGUCUCUUCCACGGCUGCUUCGGCUGCCACGGCAGCCUCCACAGGUGCCUCCGUAGUUGCUGCUUCCUCCUGCACUGCCACAGCGGCCUCCUCCUUGGCCGGUGUCUCCUCUGCCACCGGCUCUUUGGCCUCGGCCUCGGCAGCGGCUGGCUCUGCCUCUUUGGUCUCGGUCUCGGCCGGAGCAGCUUCUUGCUCUGGUUCCUUGGUCUCGGUCUCGGCCGGAGCAGCUUCUUUCUCUGGUUCCUUGGUCUCGGCCUCAGCCGGUGCUGCCUCACGCUCCACCACUUCGGUCUCUGUUCCCUCGGCAGGGGCAGCUUCCGGCUCUUUGGUCUCGGUCACUGUCGGCGUGACAGGGGCCUCCUCAGCGGCGGCGGCCGGCUGGACAACCUCUGUCUCGGCCUCCUUGGUCUCCGCUGGAGCUGCCUCGGGCUCUUUCGCCAGCUCGGUCACGGCCGGCGCAGCAACUUCCUCCUUCACGGCCUCCUCGGCAGCGACAACGGCCGGCUCGACAGCCUCAGCCGUUGCCACCUCGACUGUGUCGACGGCCGGCUCGACAAUCUCCACUGCUGCCACCGUAGCCUCCUCGACCGCGACGACGGCCGGCUCGACGACCUCCACCGCCACGGUAGUAUCCUCGACAACGACGACGGCCGGCUCGACAGCCUCCACCACCGCCGGCGCCGGAGCCUCCUCGACGGGCAUGGCGUGGGUUGCGGCGUGGACCUGCGUUUACAUUGAUGCACGCCUUCAUGUCAGAGAAGUACCAGUACGCAGCGUACGUGUGAUCAGGUUGCUCGUGCCAGAAGAGAUCGAGGUGGCAUGGCACCGUGGCAGCAGGUCAAAAGCUACAUGAUCGAAACGCAACGAAGCAGUAUUGAGCAGUCUACCUGGACGGCGGCCAUUGAUGACGAGUUCCGAGUCGACCGGUCCGAACUCCGACGAGCUGAUGCUAUAGCUCGGUUUGGUGCGACUGAUCAGAUCAGAGUAUGCGAUCGGCUGUGUUGUGUGAAGCAAAUGUGCUGCGGUAGAGGGGCUUAUAUAGUGGCUCUGGAGGGCAAAACGGUCACAAGAUUCACAGCUAGGACGCAAAAGCGAGCAGCCCUUUUGCGUCACGCAGGAAAAUAAAAUGAAAUCGAGGAAUCAAAACACUGAUCUGCAUCAUUCUGAUCUUGGUUGGGAAUAUACUAUUGCAAAACUAUAGUACUGGUACGUACUGUAGAUGCAAGCAAGUUGCGUACGGUGAUCGCUGUAUCGAAAUUAGGGUGGUGGCCACGCAUGCACGGAGGCUAAGGUCCAAACUGCUAUGUUUACGGGUUUGGUUUUCUUUGAUAUGUUUGGGGAAAAGGGCCAAGGGAGAGGGCUGGCAAGGCCACGAGGGCAAGCGUACCUUUGGCGUUGUAAAGAGGGGGCCAUCGCGCUGAGUCACACGCAUGCAUGCACCGACCUGAUCAGUACAUGUGUACAUCGCGUCACGUCCAUGCACGUUCUAUAGUGCCAGCCUUGUAUCCUAGUACCACUAUCCUGCUGUCUGCCCUUGGUCCAGAUCGGUGCAAAAAUAAAUGCUGGGCUAGAAUCUAUUAGUACUGUUAUUUUAUUUCCCCCCCCCCCCCCCCCCCAUUUUAGUUUGGUUCUUGGAAUGGCUAGAGACAUGACCAAACAUUUUAUCUAAUAAAACCUGUUGGAAAAAUCAUCAUUCGAUUUGCCUCUUGAUUAAUCUCAUCAUUUCUCAGCUGAUCACAUCUCUUAUUCUUCUACGCAAAUUAAACUACUCCCUUUAAUUCAUUUUACUUGCCGUCAUGGUCUGAGCUCUCCAGUCUGUGAAUUAUAGCUAACCCUAGUCCCACUGAUAGUGCUGUUUUCUUUCUUUCUUUUCACUGAUGGCGAGGCCUUCUAAUGAUAAUACACACCAUUUCUUUUUCUUUUCUCAUUUGUUCUUGUUUUUAUUUGUAUGCUUAAUUUUUUUUUCAUUUUCCUCUUCUUGCCCGUAAAAUACUGGAAAUCUAAACCGUGAUCAAUGUGUCUUCUAAACCGUAACGGAGGUAGUAUUGUUAAUUCAUCUCAUGUGUGCCCUUUUUCCAAUUGAGACACUGAUAGUCACAACAUCGUCCCCGUCUCCAACGAGGUCCUCAUCCGGAGUCAACGCUUGUCACUGCGGCGUUGUGUGGUUGUGUUGUCCUCACCUUCAGACUUAGAGGAAGUAGAAUUGAUUAUACUCCAUUUACUUUCACCGUUUCUAAAUAUAAGUCUUUUAAGCGAUUUCACUAAAGGUCUACAUACAGAGCAAAAUGAUUCAAUGUACACUCUAAAGUAUGUCUAUAUACAUCCGUAUAUACUCUAUUAGUGAAAUCUUUAAAAAAACUUAUAUUUAAGAACGAAGGGAGUAUAUCAUAAUAAUUAUUGUUAAGGAAAAACAUAAUAAUUAUAGUUGAAAGAACUAGUUUACUAGUUUUCUUGCACUAUAAUUAUUAUGAUAUGCAGGAAGUAAAAAUUGCAGGCACUUCAUCAUUCGCAAACAUGAAUUAUUAUUUAUUUAUGGGGAUUGCAAAAGCGGAGAUAUCAGGGAGAUCGCUAUAUCUCGGUUUUCUACGGCGCACUCGAUGGUGGCGUAGAGACAAUGCAACUUGAGCCGAAGAAUGUGCGCUCGAAUGCCGCCAUUGAAGGCCGUGACAUGAUCCCUAUAGAUCGAGUGGUGCAUAUCUUCUUGGUAGAUGAUCGAUAUGCAGUAGAAAGGGGCGCAGCCACCUAGAGCUAUGUGUAAAAAAGGCCGUGCGUGUUUGUCAAAGUGUGAUGGCACGGCAGUAUAUUUGGAAUUUAGUUAACAUUUUCUUCCUCAUCUGAAGUAGUACCACUAGCUACUUAGGUGUAUUCUCUGCCUUAGAGCAUCUCCGGACUCCUCAAAUCCGAUCUUUCAAACGUCCGCAGACGAACUACUACGUCGACGCACACACAUUGUCCAGUUACUCCAUCAUUGUUAAACAUGUCAUCGGACUAUCAAAAUUUUACAUGUUUGGCUAUGGUGAAGAUCAUCUACGGCUGCCUCUGUUCUUCCCGACACCCUUGCCGUCUUGUCGUGGAAGUACCGGUUGAAGACGCAGUACGGAUCGAGCCGGAUCUUCUCGUCGCCACAACUGUCCUCAUCGCCGCUCACCUCUUUCUCCACCUUUGGUGGUAGUCCGGCCAUUCCCCAAAGGAGCCGAGCACCCUUUGUGCAGAUGCUACAGAGUCGCGGCGGACAAAUCCUUCUGUCGGUCAGGCGCUGUCCUCGCGCGAGCGGCGGAGUGCAACGCGAACCGCUAUUGCCUCCUCCACUCUGCACGGGACGACCCCCCAGUCGACGGAUCCGGACUGGUGAAGACAUUGUUGGGAUUGACUGGAAGCAAAGAAACCACUCAAGAUGAGGCUCGUCAUAGUAGAAAAUAACUUGCAUUAGUAGCAUCCAUAUGUUAUUAGUCCAUAUUAAUAACUUCAUAUUAAAUAAUAUUAUAUGUAUGAUAUUAUGCAAGUAUUUUUUUUGACCGGCUACUGUAGGGAANNNNNNNNNNNNNNNNNNNNNNNNNNNNNNNNNNNNNNNNNNNNNNNNNNNNNNNNNNNNNNNNNNNNNNNNNNNNNNNNNNNNNNNNNNNNNNNNNNNNGCAAGUAACAUACCGAAGGACAAAGGGAAUGACAUACGGGAUUAUACGAAUCCUUGGUACUGAGGUUCAAACAAUAAGAUCUUCGUAGAAUAUGUAGGAUCCAAUAUGGGCAUCCAGGUCCCGCUAUUGGAUAUUGACCGAGGAGUCUCUCGGGUCAUGUCUACAUAGUUCUCGAACCCGCAGGGUCUGCACACUUAAGGUUCGACGUUGUUUUAUGCGUAUAUGAGUUAUAUGGUUGGUUACCGAAUGUUGUUCGGAGUCCCGGAUGAGAUCACGGACAUCACGAGGGUUUCCGGAAUGGUCCGGAAACGAAGAUUGAUAUAUAGGAUGACCUCAUUUGAUUACCGGAAGGUUUUCGGAGUUACCGGGAAUGUACCGGGAAUGACGAAUGGGUUCCGGGGGUUCACCGGGGGGGGGGGCAACCCACCCCGGGGAAGCCCAUAGGACAUAAGGGUGGCGCACCAGCCCUUAGUGGGCUGGUGGGACAGCCCAAAAGGGCUCUAUGCGCCAAGGAUAAGAAAUCAAAGGNNNNNNNNNNNNNNNNNNNNNNNNNNNNNNNNNNNNNNNNNNNNNNNNNNNNNNNNNNNNNNNNNNNNNNNNNNNNNNNNNNNNNNNNNNNNNNNNNNNNGACGUUGUUGGGCCUCCAAGUGCAGAGGGUUGUAGGACAGUAGCAAUUUUCCCUCAAGUGGGUGACCUAAGGUUUAUCAAUCCGUGGGAGGCGUAGGAUGAAGAUGGUCUCUCUCAAGCAACCCUGCAACCAAAUAACAAAGAGUCUCUUGUGUCCCCAACACACCCAAUACAAUGGUAAGUUGUAUAGGUGCACUAGUUCGGUGAAGAGAUGGUGAUACAAGUGCAAUAUGGAUGGUAGAUAUAGCUUUUUGUAAUCUGAAAUUACAAAAACAGCAACGUAACAAAUGGUAAAAGUGAGCACGAACGGUAUUGCAAUGCGUGGAAACAAGGCCUAGGGUUCAUACUUUCACUAGUGAAGUUCUCUCAACAAUGAUAACAUAAUUGGAUCAUAUAACUAGCCCUCAACAUGCAACAAAGAGUCACUCCAAAGUCACUAAUAGCGGGGAACAAACGAAGAGAUUAUUGUCGGUUACGAAACCACCACAAAGUUAUUCUUUCUGAUCUAUCUAUUCAAGAGUCCGUAGUAAAAUAACACGAAGCUAUUCUUUCUGUUCGAUCCAUCAUAGAGUUCGUACUAGAAUAACACCUUAAGAUCCAUAUCAACUAAGACCCUAAUGUCACCUAGAUACUCCAUUGUCACCUCAAGUAUCCAUGGGCAUGAUUAUACGAUAUGCAUCACAUAAUCUCAGAAUCAUCUAUUCAACCAACACAUAGUACUUCAAAGAGUGCCCCAAAGUUUCUACCAGAGAGUCAAAACGUGUGCCAACCCCUGUGCAUAGGUUCCCAAUGUCACGAACCCGCAAGUUGGUCACCAAAAAAUACAUCAAGUACUCACAUGAAUCCACGUGUGCCAACCCAUAUGCAUAGGUUCCCAAUUGUCACAAACCCGCAAGUUGAUCACAGCAGAUAGACACGUGCAAGACAUACAUCAAGUGUUCUCAAAGACUCAAUCCGAUAAGAUAACUCCAAAGGAUAAACUCAAUUCAUUACAAGAAGGAGAGGGGGAAGAACAUCAUAAGAUCCAACUAUAGUAGCAAAGCCCAUGGUACAUUGAGACCAAGACAUCUCAAGAACACGAGAGAGAGAGAUCAAACACAUAGCUACUGGUACAUACCCUCAGCCCCGAGGGAGAACUACUCCCUCCUCGUCAUGGAGAUCGCCGAGAUGAUGAAGAUGGCCACCGAAGAUGGAUUGCCCCUCCGACAGGGUGCCAGAACAGGCUCCAGAUUGGUUUUUGGUGGCUACAGAGGCUUGCGGCGGCGCAACUCCUGAUCUAGGUUUCUUUUGGGGGGUUUCUGAAUUUAUAGGAAUUUAUGGCGGUGGAAUUACGUCGGUUGGGCCCACGAGGAGGUUACAAGCCUGGUCGGCACCACCUAGGGGGGUGGUGGCGGCGUCAGGGCUUGUGACUCCCUCGUGGCUCUUCUGGCCUUCUUCCAAAGCUUCGGGGGUCUCUUUCGGUCCAAAAAAAAGCAUCGUAAAGUUUCAUUCCAUUUGGAGUUCGUCUGAAAAUGGGCCAAAAACACGGAAACAACAGAAACUGGCACUCUGCAUUGAGUUAAUAGGUUAGUCCCAAAAAAGAUAUAAAAUAGCAUAUUCAUGCAUAUAAAACAUCCAAAGUUGACAAGAUAAUAGCAUGGAACCAUCAAAAAUUGUAGAUACGUUGGAGACGUAUCAGCCAUCACCUGUUCCCAGACGCUGCCGACGCCCUGAUAAUCCCCAAGUGCAAGGAAUCAUCGUAGCAAUUUCAAAAGGUGGAAAUGAUAAGUAUGGAGCGUCGAACCCACAAGGAGCUAAAGGUAAGAGCAAUAUUCUCUCAAGUUCUAUCUGCCACUGAUAUAACUCUACGUACGCCGAACGUUUGCUUCCAACUUGGAACGAGAAAUAAAACUACAUUGUGGGUAUGAAGAGAAUAGCUUUGCAUGACAUCGGAGAAAUAAAAUAUAAAAAUAGGUGUUGUUAUCAUAAAGUUAGAAUAUAUUACAAAUAGCGAGUGUGGAAUAGUGAUGGGUCGGUGUGCGGAAUUGUCCUAGGCAAUUGUUAACAAGAUCAGUAAUCAUUAUUGCAAUUUUAUAUGAGGGAGAGUUAUAAGCUAACAUACCUUCUCUACUUCGAUCAUAUGCACUUAUGAUUGGAACUCUAGCAAGCAUCCGCAACUACUAAAGAUCAUUAAGGUAAAACCGAACCAUAGCAUUAAAGCAUCAAGUCCCCUUUAUCGCAUUCGCAACAACCCACCUACUCGGGUUUAUGCUUCUGUCACUCAAACAACCCACUAUAAGCGAAUCAUGAACGUAUUACAACACCCUACAAAGGGAAUCCCUCAUGCUUGCUAGACACGGAGAGAACCAUAGGACAACACCAAUAAUAAAGCAUGCAAGUCAAACCAAUCUAGAUCAUCAAUCAACCCAUAAGACAAAGGGAAUCUACUCAAAACAUCAUAGGAUGGCAACACAUCAUUGGAUCAUAAUAUGUGGCAUAGAGAACCGUGUUCAAGUAGGUGAUUACAGCGGGGCGCGGGGGAGUGGAACGCUAAAAGAAGAUGGGGUUGGUGAUGAAGAAGGUGAUGUUGAUGAAUACGAUCACCGCGGCGAUGGUUCCCCCGGUGGCACUCCGGCACCACCGGGAGAGAGGGGGAGAGGGUCUCCGCCUUGUUCCUCCUCCUCCAUGGCCUCCCCCAAGGUGGGGAGAGGUUCUUCCUCUAGUCCUUGGCCUCCAUGGUGAUGAUGGCCCCUCCAUCUUCCUCCUCAAUGGUCUCCGGUGAUGGUGACCCUCUCCGACAGGGUGCCGAAGAGGGCCAAGACUGGGUUUUCAUGGCUCUGGAGGCUUGCGGCAGAGGAACUCCCGAUCUAAGUUUCUUUUCGGGGGUUUCUGUUUUUAUAAGAAUAUUUGGCGUUCGAACCACGUCAGGGGAGUGCUUGAGGGGCCCACAAGCCAAGGAGCGCACCCUAGGGGGGUGCCCUGGUGGCUUGUGGUUGCCUCGGGACUCCUCUCUGGUAUCCUUUUGCUCCAGUAUUUUUCAUAUUUACCAACAAUAUUCUCCGUAAUUUUUCAGCCCAUUCCGAGAACUUUUAUUUGGGCACAAAAACAACAACACGGUAGUUGUGCUGAAAAAAGCAUCAGUCCGGGUUAGUUAUAAUAAAAUCAUACAAAAACCAUAUAGAAUUAUUGUAAACAUGGCAUGAAUACUUCAUAAAUUAUAGAUACGUUGGAUACGUAUCAGCAUCCCCGACCUUUAUUCCUGCUCGUCCUCGAGUAGGUAAAUAAUAAAAGAAAUCAUUUAUGAAGUGUGAAUGCUAGCAUAGUGCAUAAAUUUGAUCAAUGAUAUAUCCAAACACUUUUUCUAGCAUCAUUACAUAUCAUACACAGUAGCUCAUCUCAUAAAACUUCUCAUGAUGAAGUAACAAGCUAUUCACGUGUUAAAAUGUAGACCAUAAAGUUUCUUGAAAACUAACAAAUUAUGCUUUCAGUCACCAAACAAUUGCAAUUCAUCUUAUUUUUGGGAAGGGUCUAUGUAAGAGAUUUUAUUUAGAAAAUUCCACAUACUCAACUAUCAUAUAGUCUUCCAUGAUUGUUGACGACACUCAAAGCAUAUUUUUAGAACAAAUAGCAUCCAUCGAACACAAAGAAAGACAGGGGCUUAAAGUUUUGCCUCCUAAUUUAUUUACCAUAUAGAUAAUUGUCAACAAUAAUAAUUCAUGAUCAAAUAUAUUUGUAUGGAUAUAUAUGUUUGCAUCUUUCCCCACCACAUGAUGCUUGCCAACUAAUACUUUGAGGUUGGAAUAAGAAGUUAACUCAACAAGAAUAGUAAAUAACAUGAAAGUAAAUAGAUUGGCCCUUGAUAACCCACAAGUGUAGGGGAUCGCAACAGUUUUCGAGGGUAGAGUAUUCAAUCCAAAUUUAUUGAUUCGACACAAGGGGAAGCAAAAGAAUAUUCUCAAGUAUUAGCAGCUGAGUUUGCCAAUUUCAACCACACCUGAAAGAUUAGUGUUUGCAAGCAAAGUAUAAGUAGCAAAGUGGUAUGAUAGCAACGGUGUCAGAAAAAGAUGUGUUGACGGCAGACUAUUCCUAACUUGUUGUAUCAAUGGCGCCAGUAAAUACCACGUGGAAGGGGGACUAUUCUUCCCCGGCAACGGCUCCAGAAAAGUCUUGCAACAAGUAGCAGCAAAGUAACAGCAGUAGUGACAGCAGUAGCAAGCAACAUCAACAACAUCAGUAGCAAGUAACAACAGAGUAACAGCAGUAGCGACAACAGUAGCAGCAAAGUAACGUAGCAAGGACAAGUAGUAAAAGAAUCGUAGGCAAUGGAUCGGUGAUGGAUGAUUAUACCGGAUGUGAUUCAUCAUGUAAUAGCUAUAACACGGAGAGAUAAGUAACUAGCUCCCGUUCGUCAAUCUAAUGUAGGAAUGUAUUCCGUAUGAAGUCAUACGUGCUUAGGGAAAAGAACUUGCAUGACAUCUAUUGUCCAUCCCUACCGUGGCAGUGGGGUCCUAAUGGAAACUACGGGAUAUUAAGGUUCUCCUUUUAGUAAAGAACCGGACCAACGCAUUAAAACUCGGUGAAUACAUGAACUCCUCAUACUAUGGUCAUCUCCGGGAGUGGUUCCGGCUAUUGUCACUCCAGGGUUGCCGGGUCAUAACACAUAGUAGGUGACUACAACAUGCUAGAUAGGAUCUAAAACACACAUAUAUUGGCGACAACAUAAUAGGUUCAGAUCUGAAAUCAUGGCACUCGGGCCCUAGUGACAAGCAUUAAGCAUGGCAAAGUAGUAGCAACAUCAAUCUCAGAACAUAGUGGAUACNAUCUCAGAACAUAGUGGAUACUAGGGAUCAAUCCCCGUCAAAACUAACUCGAUUACAUGAUAUAUCUCAUCCAACUCAUCACCGUCCAGCAAGCCUACGAUGAGAUUACUCACGAAUGGUGAAGAACAUCAUGGAAUUGUCGAUGGAGGAAGGUUGAUGAUGACGAUGGCGAUGAUUUCCCCUCUUUGGAGCCCCGAACGUACUCCAGAUCUGUCAUCUGGAUGAAGAACAGGAGGUGGCGGCGCCUCCGUAUCGUAGAACGCGAUGAAUCCUUCUCUCUGAUUUUUUCCGAGCGAGACGGAAUAAAUAGAGCUGAGUUUGGGGGCGGUGGUGCCACGUGGGUUCCACAAGGCCUCACGGCGCGGCCUAGGGGGGGGGGGGGGUCGCAGCCCACGGGCUUGUGGCCCACUGGCACACCCCCUCCGUUGGAUCUUUGCGCAGGUAUUUUUCAUUUAUUUUAGAAAAAUUCUCCGUAAAUUUUCAGGACAUUCCGAGAACUUUUAUUUCUGCACAAAAACAACACCAUGGCAAUUUUGUUGAAAACAACGUUAGUCCGGGUUAGUUCCAUUCAAAUCAUGCAAAUUAGAGUCCAAAACAAGGGCAAAAGAGUUCAGAAAAGUAUAUACAACGGAGACGUAUCAACUCCCCCAAGCUUAAAGCCUUGCUUGUCCUCAAGCAAUUCAGUUGACAAACUGAAAGAGACAAAAGAAAAACUUUGACGAACUCUGUUUGAUCUUGUUGUUGCAACUAUGUCUAACUCAUAACCAGAAUUUCAGCAAGAUCACAAGCAAACCACAUAAGCAAAUGACAUCUAGGUCUCACGAUAAACUCAUAUCAAUGGCAUAAUCAGCUAGGGAGCAAAUAAUAAUAAGCCUCAAAUGUCAACACUUCAAUCAAAACAACAUGAAGCAGUACGAAUAGAUGGUAUCUCGCUAGCUCUUUCGGAGACCGCAAAACAUAAAUGCAGAGCACCUUCAAAGACCAAGGGCUGACUAAACAUUGUAAUUCUAGCCAAUGAAGAUCGAGUCACAGUCAUACUCAACACAGUUAAAAGCAAAGCAUAAAAAUGACAAAGGUGCUCUCUAAUUGGGUCUUGUUGUAAGAGGAGGAUGACUCAACAGGAACAUAAAUAGACAUGCCCUUCGCAGAGGGAAGCAUUAAUUUGCACAGGUGCCAGAGCUCAAGCUUUUAAAACAGAGAUAAUAAUUUUGGGUGGCAUGCUUUCAUUGUCAACGCAAUGACUAAGAGUUCUCAACAUCUUCCACGCUACACAUGCUAUAGGCGGUCCCCAAACAGAAAAGUAAAGUUUUGACUCCCCCACCACCAAUCAAUCACACUCCACGGCUAGCCGAAUCCUCGAGUACUGUCCAUACCAACAUCAAUCCUGGGGGAGGUUUGUUUGCAAUUAUCUUUUCGAUUUGAGCAUGGACCUGGGAGUUCCAAUUACCGCCCCCUUUCUCGUGAAUGAUAGUGAAUAAACACAUAUCGAGGAUAACACGCCUAGCAUGGAAGAUACCAAUAGCCCCCUAUCACCACAUGAGCGGUUCGGGCAUGCAAAACAGAUUAUUUCUUGAAGGUUUAGAGAGUGGCACAUGCAAAUUUACUUGGAACAGCAGGUAGAUACCGCACAUAGGUAGGUAUGGUGGACUCAUAUGGAACAACGUUGGGUUUAUGGGGGUGGAUGCACAAGCAGUAUUCCCGCUCAGUACAAGUGAAGGCUAGCAAAAGACUGGGAAGCGACCAACUAGAGAGCGACAACAGUCAUCAAAAUGCAUUGAGAUUAACUAACAUUGAAUGCAAGCAUGAGUAGGACAUAAAUCACCAUGAACAUGAACAUCAUAGAGGCUAUGUUGAUUUUGUUUCAACUACAUGCGUGAACAUGCGCCAAGUCAAGCCACUUGAAACAUUCAAAGGAGGAUACCAUCCUAUCAUACUACAGCACAGUCAUCUCAACAUUCAUGUGGGCAUCCAAGACAAACCAUUAUAAGCUCCUAGCUAAGUAAGCAUGGCAUAAGCAACUAUGAUCUCUAAGUUGUCAUUGCAAACAUGUUUCUCUCACAACAAAGCUGAAUCAGGCAUGAUGGGCUAGUCAUAUUUACAAAAACAAAAUAGAUCGAGUUCAUACCAUCUUUUCCAGGCUCAGUCACUUCAUAUAUCGUCAUUUUUGACUUUCACUUGCACGACCGAAUGUUGUGAACAAUAAUAAGCGUGCUCGUGUAGUGGACUAAAGAUGGAAUCUGCAGGAAAACACAAAUGAGAAACACCUACUCCCCCAAGCUUAGGCUUUUGGCCUAAGUUGGUCUACUCCCAAGGAGGGAAAUAACCAGCUCCGGGGUACUCCGGAGUGGACUGAGGAUGCCACUGCUGUGUGAGCUCCUCUGGCUCCCACUGAUAAACUGGCGUCUGGUACUCGACUGCUAGCUCGGGCACGGGCACCUGUGGUUGGGCUAUGCCCCAAUAUGUGUAGAUGUCCAAGGGCAUAAUAAUGUACCUACCUGCAUGAAGAUUGAACAAAGAAGGAGCAAGCAAAGUAAUAGUCUCACGAGUACCCUGACUAAAUACCAGGUUAUAAAUCAUCCUUCUAUUUAUAUCUCUAUCAAAAAAGUCAUGGCGAACCAUGCUAUUGUAAUAUAGAUAUCUCUCAGGAAGAAGAAUCUCUUCUUCCUCGUCCAGUCUAAUAGGUAUCUCAAAAUGUAUAGCAAGACGAGUAGCAUAGAUACCUCCAUAGAUAACGCCUUUAGAACGGUUCGUGUUCAACCGUUGAGCUACUAUAGCGCCCAAGCUAUAAGUUUUAUCGUUAUAAAGGGCUUCGCGCAAGACCGCAAGAUCUGGGGAACUAAGUGACCCAGCUUUCCCACGGCCAAUCAAACAUUUUCCCACAAAUAAUGAGAAGUACCGAAGCACGGGAAAAUUAAUGCUAGUAGCUCUAGCGCAAGACACUCCUCUCUCCUCUCCUACAACAAUAGUAUCGAUGAAAGCUUCCAAGUCCCGUGGACGAGGUUCAUGAAUAUCCCCAACAUAAGGUAAUUUGCAAACAUUGCAAAAAUCUUGGUGUGACAUGCGCUGGGGGAUAUCAUAAAUUUUGAACUCAACCAUAGGAGGAUUCUUCCUCGGAUAGAAGUUAAAACUUUGUAUGAAGAUAUUAGUGAGGAGGAGGUAUUGCGGACACUUAUCUUCAACGAAGGCGGUAAGGCCUGCGUUAUCCACCAAGUGAUAAAAGUCCUCAUAAAUUCCAGCGGUGCGUAAGAACACAUCGCUUGGCCACUUGCACGCUCGAACUUCUGCGACUCGAGGGACCAGAUACUUGGGCUUCUUCUCACUCCCAUCAUCCUUGGGGUCACGGCUUGAAGAGCCUCUUAAGAACCUCCUCAUCUUUUCCCUUUUCUAUCUUUGAAAUUUUCUGAAAAUUUUAGUGAUUCUAAGGAAAAGUGAACAAGGCUCAAUGAAACUCAUAGCAACUACUCCAACAAAUGCCUAGAGGCCAUAUUACGCAUCAAAACUACUUGGGACCAGCUAGAAUUAGCAUGCAAAGCUCAAGAACAUGGUCACCAAGGCAGAAAAAAUACGCGGAGUAUAAGGCACUAGAGCAAAAAAUAAUUGGACCAAUGGAGGAGUCACUUACCAAGGAGUAAUUUCCCCAAAACAGUUCGGAGAACGGUGAUUUGAGCAAAGAGAUCGAAAAUCCCAACAAGAGGAGCGAGAACACGGGUUUGAGCUGCGGAACAAUUUUUUCUGGAGGUAGGAGAACCAGAUAAGAGCAAGAAUGAGUGGAGGGGGUGCCUGUGGGCCCCACAAGCCUGGGUGGUGCGCUCAGGGGGGGUGCCCGCGCCCCAAGCGCUUGUGGCCCACUCGUGCAGCCCCCCGACAAGCUCUUUGUCUCAGAAUUUUUCAAAAAUUCCAAAAAAAAUCAUACUUGAUUUUCAGGACGUUCGGAGUACUUUUAUUUUCAGGGUACUUUUCCACCGAGCGCUAAAACAGAAAACAGGGAAAACUAAACUAAAUCUAUCAUUUUUCUUCUAAGCAAUAGAAGGUGAAAGCUUGGAACAGAGGUUUGUGACUCCUCGAUUCAUCCAUCUCAUUGUCAUCAAAAGAAAUCUGUCAGUGAGGUUGAUCAAGCCUCUUUGACAAACUUUUUCGAAUCACAAAAGAUAAUGGAGAAUUUCCGAAUAAUCACUAGGUCACCUCAAUGGGGAUGUGUAUCUCCCCAACAAGCAAAUCAUACUUCAUCUUGACACGAGGUAUAGGGCAUUCAAAGAUCCCAAUAAAAAUUGAUGAAGUUUUUUCGAUAGCAUUGAUGCAAUGUACUCGAUAUUGUUUCUUCGGAAAGUGCACUGUAUGGUCAUUACCGUUGACAUGGGAAGUGACAUUGCCUUUGUUGCAAUCUAUAACAGCCCCUGCAUUGUUUAAAAACGGUCUUCCGAGGAUGACCGCCAUGGCAUCGUCCUCAGGAAUAUCCAAGAUAACAAAGUCUGUUAAGAUAGUGACGUUAGCAACCACAACAGGCAGAUCCUCGCAAAUGCCGAUAGGGAAAGCAGUUGAUUUGUCGGCCAUUUUGCAGAGAUUUCAGUGGGUGUCAACUUGUCCAGUUCAAGUCUACGAUAAAGAGAGAGAGGCAUAACACUAAUACCGGCUCCAAGGUCGCAUAACACUGGUCUAACGUACCUGCCUUUAAUGGAGCAAGGUAUAGUGGGCACACCGGGAUCACCUAGUUUCUUAGGAGUUCCACCCUUGAAGGUAUAAUUAACAAGCAUGGUGGAAAUCUCAACCUCAGGUAUCCUCCUCUUAUUAGUUACAAUAUCUUUCAUGUACUUAGAAUACGGAGACAUUUUGAGCAUAUCUGUCAAACGCAUUUGCAGAAAGUCAGGUCUGAUCAUUUCAACGAAUCACUCAAAAUCCUCAUCAUCCUUUUUCUUGGAUGGUUUUGGAGGAAAGGGCAUGGGUUUCUGAACCCAUGGCUCCCUUUCUUUACCAUGCUUCCUAGCAGCAAAGUCAUUCUUAUCAUAUCUUCUAUUCUUAGGCCGAGGGUUAUCAAGAUCAAUAGGUUCAAUCUCCACAUCCUUAUCAUUGCUAGGUUGAGCAUCUUCAUGAACAUCACUAUUGAUAUUAUCAUUAGGCUCAUGUUCAUCACCAGAUUGUGUUUCAGUGUCACAGACAGAGGCAUCGUUUGGACUCUCAGGUGUAGCAGCAACAGGGUUGCUAGCGUGCAGGUUCCUAUCAUCUUUCUUCUUCUUUCUAGGAUGACUAGGUGCAUCAGUGCUAACUCCUUGAGAAUCUUGUUCAAUUCUCUUCGGAUGACCCUCGGGAUACAAAGGUUACUGGGUCAUUCUACCGCCUCUAGUAACAACUCUAACGGAAUUUUCAUUCAACUCAUCGAGCAAGUCAUUUUGAGCUUUAAGUACUUGUUCUACUUGAGUAGUAACCAUACAGGCAUGUUUACUCAAAAGCUUAAGAUCAUUGACAUUUCUGUCCACACAAGCACUUAAAUGACUAAGCAUAUGAGCAUUCUGUUCCAAUUGUCUGCUAACAUAAUCAUUNNNNNNNNNNNNNNNNNNNNNNNNNNNNNNNNNNNNNNNNNNNNNNNNNNNNNNNNNNNNNNNNNNNNNNNNNNNNNNNNNNNNNNNNNNNNNNNNNNNNUAGGGCGAAUUCAAUAUCUUUCUUCAUAAAGGAACCAGCACAAGAAGUGUCGAGCAUGGAUUCAUCAUUACGAGAGAGCUGAGCAUAAAAAUUUUGAAUAAUAAUUUCUGUCGAGAGCUCGUAAUUGGGGAAUGAAUAUAAAAUUGGCUUAAGCCUCCCCCAAGNNNNNNNNNNNNNNNNNNNNNNNNNNNNNNNNNNNNNNNNNNNNNNNNNNNNNNNNNNNNNNNNNNNNNNNNNNNNNNNNNNNNNNNNNNNNNNNNNNNNNNNNNNNNNNNNNNNNNNNNNNNNNNNNNNNNNNNNNNNNNNNNNNNNNNNNNNNNNNNNNNNNNNNNNNNNNNNNNNNNNNNNNNNNNNNNNNNNNNCUCCCCCAAGCUUGAGAGAUUCUGUCUCCUUCACGAGGCCAAAAAUUAUAAAUAUAAUUUCGAUCAUCAUGAACCAGAUGCAUAGGAUAAAACUUCUGAUGAAAUUCCAAUUUCAAUCGGUGGUAAUUCCAUGAUCCAAUAUCAUCACAUAGCCUAUACCAUGUCAACACCCUUUCCUUAAAAAAUAAAGGAAAGACCUUCUUCUUGACGUCAUCCUCGGGCGGACCUGCAAGCUUUAAUAAUCCACAAACUUCAUCCACGUAGGUUAGAUGCAAAUCAGGAUGUAGUGUUCCAUCUCAUGCAUAAGGAUUAGCUAGUAUUUUUUCUAUCAUACCCGAAGGAAUUUCAUAAUAAAUAUGUUCAAUAUGUGCAGCAGGUUGAGGAGCAUCUCUUUUUGCUUCCGGUCGGGGUGAAGAUACCCCAAACAAGCCCCUCAAAGGAUUAUUUUCCAUAGCGACAAGUGAUAGUAAAUUUCAGCAGAAUAUAUAAUUUUUUCCUUACCAAGUUCCACUUACCAAAGGCGCUUCACUCCCCGGCAACGGCGCUAGAAAAGAGUCUUGAUGACCUACAAGUGUAGGGGAUCUAUCGUAAUCCUUUCUAUAAGUAAGAGUGUCGAACCCAACGAGGAGCAGAAGGAAAUGAAAAACAGUUUUCAGUAAGGUAUUCCCUGCAAGCAUUGAAAUUAUCGGUAAAAGAUAGUUUUGUGAUAAGGUAAUUCGUAAUGGGUAGCAAGUAAAAAAUGUAACAAUGGUGCAGCAAGGUGGUCCACUCCUUUUUGUAGCAAAGGACAAGCCUGAACAAACUCUUAUAUAAAGAAAACCGCUCCCGAGGACACAUGGGCAUUUAUGUCAAGCUAGUUUUCAUCAUGCUCAUAUGAUUCGCGUUCAUUACUUUUAUAAUUUGAUAUGUGGGUGGACCGGUGCUUGGAUGCUACAGCCCACUUUUGAUUAACCUCUCUCACAAGCAUACGCAACUACGAAAGAAGAAUUAAGAUAAAUCUAACCAUAAAAUGAAACAUAUGGAUCCAAAUCAGCCUCUUACGAAGCAGCACAUAAACUAGGGUUUAAGCUUCUGUCACUCUAGCAACCCAUCAUCUACUUUUUACUUCCCAAUGCCUUUACCUAGGCCCAAAUAAUGGUGAAGUGUCAUGUAGUCGAAGUUCACAUGACACCACUAGAGGAGAUACAAUAUACAUCUUAUCAAAAUAUCAAACGAAUACCAAAUUCACAUGAUUACUUAUAACAAGACUUAUCCCAUGUCCUCAGGAACAAAUGUAACUACUCACAAAGAAUAUUCAUGUUCAUAAUCAGAGGAGUAUUAAUAAUAAUUAAGGAUAUGAACAUAUAAUCUUCCACCAAAUAAGGCAACUGGCAUCAACUACAAAGAGUAAUCAACACUAUUAGCAACCCACAGGUACCAACCUGAGGUUUUGAGACAAAGAUCGAAUACAAGAGAUGAACUAGGGUUUGGAGAGGAGAUGGUGCUCAUGAAGAUGUUGAUGUACAUUGACCCUCUCUCGAUGAGAGGAUCGUUGGUGAUGACGCUGGCUUCGAUUUCCCCCUCCGUGAGGGAAGUUUUCUCGGUGGAAUAGCUCGGCUGGAGCUCUAGAUUGGUUCUAUUGCAAUUCUGCCUCGAGAUGGUGGCGCCUCGUCCCAAAAGCUCUGAUAUGAUUUUUUUUUCAUGUCAAAACCCUUCAUAUAGCAUAAGAUGGGCACAGGAGGUCUGCCAGGGGGGCCACAAGCCUGCAGGGCGCGACGAGGGGGUGCUAGGCUACGCCCCCUGGUUUGUGACCUCCUACUGGGUCCCCUCUGGUAUUUCUUUCGCCCAACAUUUUUAUAUCUUCCAAAACAAUUGUCCGUGACUUUUCAUGACUUUUGGAGGUGUGCAGAAUAGGUCUCUUAGAUUUGCUCCUUUUCCAGUCUGGAAUUCCAUCUGCCGGCAUUCUCCCUCUUCAUGUAAACCUUGUAAAAUAAGAGAGAAAAGGCAUAAGUAUUGUACCAUAAUGUGUAUUAACAGCCCAUAAUGCAAUAAAUAUUGAUAUAAACAUGAUGCAAAAUGGACGUUGAUACGUCUCAAACAUAUUGACAUUUCCAAACACUUUUGCUAUUGUUUUGGCCUCAUUCUUGCAUGAUUUGAAUGAAACUAACCCGGACUGACGUUGUUUUCAACAGAGCUGCUUGUACGGUUUUCUUGUGCGCAGGAAAAUGGAUAUUUAGACGUCAUGGAAAAUUCCUAUAAAAAUAGAGAAAAUCCACACACCGGGAAGAACCAUGGGCCGGAAGAUGGGCCAGAGGGGAGAUACACGCCCCCCAGGCGACUUGUGGGCGCGACCUGCCCCCUCGCCGCACCGGAAGGCCGGCUGGGUGGGGCCCACCCCCUCUGGUGCCCUACUUUGGCUCCUAUUUUUACCCAUGAUGCAGAUAUCCCAGAACAGAAGUCAUCUCGUAAGUUCUCGACGCGGAGCCGCCGCCACCCUCGGUCUUCUUCGGGAGAGCUAAUCUGGAGGUUGUUUUGGCCUUCGGAGAGGGGAAAUCGUCGCCAUCGUCAUCACCAUCACCACUCCCUCAUCCUCCCAUGGCUUCCCCCAUCAUGUGCGAGUAAUUCUCUGCUGUAGGUGAAGGGGAUGGUACGGAUUGGAUGAGUUAUAUCAUGUAAUAGUUCGCCGGAUUGUUGGGGGCAUGUUGCCUAUCAUCUACUAUGGUGUUUAUCAUCUUUUCUACUACUUGUUACUCUUAAUGCUUGUCACUUUGGGACCGAGUGCCAUGAUUUCAUAUCUUAAUUCAUUAUGUUUUCAUGAAUAUAUUUGUGUUCUAGAUCCUAUCUAUGAGUAGUAUGCACCUAUUAUAGUCCGGAAUCGGCGAUCCCAAUGGUGACAGCUUGGGACACCAAAGGGGAUAGACUAUAGUAUGAGGAUUCAAUGUAUUCACUGAUUGUUAAUGCUUUGUUCCGGUGCUCUUUGACAGGAGCACCUUAAUCUCCAUAAGUUCCUUUUGGCCCCGUUGAUAGCGGGAUGGUAGGACAAAAUAUGUUCUGCAAGUUCUUAUUGCAAGCACACACGACUACCUAAGGAUACAUGCCUAAUGUUUGAUAUAUGCCUAGAUGAUCAUUACUUUUCUAUGUGCCUUGCCCCCAAGUUAAAUACAUGAUAUCUCUCAUCCAUGACCAACCAUCCAUCUCCCUAUCCUACAGUGUUUUAAUCCCGCUGGUCACAAGUCACUUUACUUUCCCUGUUUUACUUUCGUUGCUUUAUCACUAUUAUUUCCGUUGCCACCAUCACUUCCAUAUCACCGUUGCUAUUAAUAUUUCAUUGUCAAGCGAGUAUCUUUCAGGUGCGGUUGAAUUGACAACUCAACUAUUAAAGCUUAUAAAUAUUUUUGGCUCCCCUUGUGUCAAAUCAAUAAAUUUGCUUAUCUUACCCGUGAAGACUGUUGUGAUCCCCUACACUUGUGGGUUAUCAAGACCAUUUUCUGGCGUCGUUGCCAGGGAGCAUAGCUUUAUUUACAAGUCUACUUCGAGUUAUUUUGCUUGCUGCGAUUUAUUCACUAUGGGUAAGAAACGAGACCCCAAGGUUCCAAUUUUACCAUCCACUACGAGAAAAGGUAUUGUUCUUAGCACUAGCGCUACGAUUGAUUCACCUUCCGUUAUGAGUAAGUUUGCUUCACCACCACCACAUGUUGCUUCUACCGAGUCUGUCACUAUGCCUGGUACAUUUGACGAUGCUGCUACUACUAUUGAUGAGCCUAGUUUACUUGGUUAUUUUAUUGAGUCUCAGAUUGCUAAGGCUGCAAAGCAGUCUGGAAUUGAACUUCCUGUUACACGCUACCCCAUUGGUAGAUCUUUAGGUUACCCACACUUGAGUGGUCUCAAGGAAAAAAUUCUUGAUCAUGAUUAUAUUGAACUUGAUGAUGAUUUAUGCAGGGAACUUACCGAGUGUGCUCACUCUGACCCUACUUCUGUUAAGAAGUUGCUUGAAAAGCAUUCUAUGAAGAACAAAUUUACUCCUGAUCCUAAAUUUUCGUCAUCUCCUAUUUGCAUUGAGGAUGCUGAUUUUGAUUUCUCUAUUGAUCUUUCACUUAUCUCCAGAGUUGAAGCUAACCCCUUCUAUGGCAGAGAAAAUGACGAUGCUAUUGCACACCUUACCAAACUCACUGAGUUGGGUGGCUUAUUCACUAUAGAGGACAAGAAGAGAAACUAUUAUGUUACUAAGCUACUUCCUUUCUCUUUGAAGGAAGAUGCUAAAGCAUGGUAUGAUUCACUACCAUGUGGGUCCAUUACGAGUCCUCAAGAUUUAGCUCAAUCUUUUGUUGCUAAAUAUUUUCCUGCCCAUAAGGAACAUGCUGCUUUACAAAGAAUAUAUAACUUUAAACAGUUGCAGGAUGAGCACCUCCCUAAAGCUUGGGGGAGGUACUGCACUUUACUCAAGGCUAGACCGGGACAUGGAGUCCCGAAGAAUGAAUUGCUUGAUAUAUUUUAUCCUGGUCUAACCGAUGAAUCUAGAACCUAUCUGGAUAGUUGUGCUGGUUGUGUUUUCAGGGAAAGAACACCUGAGAUGCUGAAGAAUUAAUGGGUAAGAUAGCUAAGAAUCAUGAUGAUUGGUACAUUAUUGAACCACCUCCAUCACCAAAGAAGAGGGGUAUGCUUUUCUCGAGCCCCGAAGUUAUGCAAGAAGCCAAGAAGUCUAUGAAUGAGAGAGGUAUUCAAACUGAAGAUGUGAAGAAUCUACCUCCUAUUAAGAAAUUAUGUGAGCCUACCACUCACCGACCUAUGGUAGAGGUACACUCUAUUUUAGAAUUCAAUGCAAGUGACAUCCCUCAUGGUAAGCCCCUUGAUCAAUGUUUAGAUGAGCUUGAUAAUUGUAUUGUCAAGCAAAAUCACUUUAAUGAGAGGAUUCAAAGCCAAUUUCAUGAUAAUUCCCUUGCUAUCAAAAGUUUGCUUGAUGUUUUAAGUAGAACUGUUAAUGAUGUUAAACGUCAUGUUAAGCAUUUUUCAUAUGGUUCAAACUCAGCUUGAACAAAUUUCUAAUGUGCAAAAAGAUUUGCUUGCUAACAAUAUCAAACAAGUUGAUGCGCAAGCAUAUGGUAUAAAGACCCGAGGUGGUACACACACCCAUGACCCCCUCUAUCCGGAGGGGCAUCCAAAGAGGAUCGAGCAAGAUUCUCAAUUGCAAGAAGAAGACAUUGUCAGCUCCCCGAAGAAGAAGAAGAAACACAAGGAAGCUGACAACUCCAAUGAUCCCAUAAUUGAUGAAGAACCUAUUAUUGACCCUAAUAGUAUAUCUAUUUCCGAUGCUAAAACUAAAGAUGGUGCUAAACCUGAUAAAGAUAAUGAGAAGAUUGAUCCUCCUGAGAUACGAGAAUAAGAAGCACCCGACAAGCGCAAGAGAUAUACUCGAGAAGAUUUUGGUGCAAGAAAACAUGGGAAGGAAAGAGAACCGUGGGUACAGAAAUCAAUGCCCUUCCCAGGUAAGUCUUUCAAAACCAAAAAGAAGAGCAUUACAAUAAAUUUUGUGAAUGGAUGAAACCUCUUUUUCUUCAAAUUCCUUUGACCGAUGCUAUUAAGUUGCCUCCGUACUCGAGGUAUAUGAAAGAUAUUGUUACUAACAAAACAAAAGUUCCUAAUGAGGCAAUAUCCACUAUGGUUGCUAAUUUCUUUCAGUGGCAAGAUUUCCGAGAAGCUUGGUGAUCCAGGUAUACCCACCAUUCCUUGCUCCAUAAAAAUAAUUAUGUCAGAAUUGCUUUAUGUGAUCUUGGUGCAGGAGUGAGUGUUAUGCCUUUCUCUCUUUACAAAAGGCUUUGUCUAGAUAAACUAAUCCCUAGAGAUAUCUCUCUUCAAAUGGCUGAUAAGUCAACAAACGUUCCCGUAGGUAUUUGUGAGGAUGUUCCCGUUGAAGUUGCUAAUUGCUUGAUCCUUACUAACUUUGUUGUGCUUGACAUGCCUGAGGAUGGGAGCAUGUCUAUUAUUCUUGGUAGACCUUUUCUUAACACCGCAGGUGCUAUUAUUGAUUGCAAUAAAGGAUAGGUGACCUUCAGUGUUAAUGAGAAGGAGCAUACGGUAUAUUUUCCGAAGAAGAUUGAUAAAAGGCAUGGCCUUAAUUCUAUUGAGAAUAUUGAGACCGUGAAGGUUGGAGAGUGGGAUUGUCCUCUACAUAUGCACCAAAAAUACAAAACCAUUAUGGUGGGGACAAUAUCCAUUGAAAUAAAGGUACCAUGAUUGCUUUAUAAGAAGUGAAACUUUUUGCUCAAAUAUAACACCUGUUUGGUAGUAAGACUUGAUCAACCUUACUAACAAAUAUGAUUUAUAUGAGUAAAAAGAGAAGCUUGUUAUGUUUUCAUUUCCUUUAUCUUUCAUCCUCUUUGUUGUACCAAAGCAUUAUGUUUUUGAAGCCUCAUAUGUUUAACCUUUGUUUUGAGCUUUCUGCAAAUUUUGCAGCUUUCGGUACUUCGAUUUUUUUUCAAAAGUGAAGUUUUCAGAAAAAUUCCAGAAAAAUUAAAUGAAAAAUUUCCAUGAAAAAAGAGACGCAGGGGCACCUGGAGACAGCCAGGGGGGCCACCCUUGGUCCAGGCGGCCAGCAGGCGCGACCUGCCCCCUGGUCGCGCCCACAAGUUGUCUGGGCCCACGUGGUCCCCUUUCCAGGUACUUCUUCUUCCCUUCUCUCUUUCUCACUCCUAAAAUCCCGAUUUUUCUCCUGGAGCUCGAGUUCUUGCUGCUCUUGGUGGCAAAUUUUGAUCUGUCUCUACAGCCCAUCAUUUGCAUUGAGAAUUUGGGCAUUUGAUCCUUGGUAUGUGACUCCUCCACUCCUCCAAUUAAAAUUUUGAUUGGUGGUCUUAUUUGUGAGUAUUUAGUAGUUCUUGGUGCUAUUCAUAUGAGCUUGCAUGCAUGUUUAGAAAUUUAUUUGUGAUGUUUUGAUACAAGUUUAUGCAUCAGGGAAGUGAGUAGAAUAGUUUGAUCCAACUCAUUUUUGCUUAAAUCUCCAUUUUUGUGAUGAACCAAAAAAAUUAGAAAUGAGUUUGUUUGGAAAAGCAAAAGGAUGGCUUGGGAAGAAGAGACCUGAGCCUACUGAUAGACUAACUAGAGCUGCAGCUUCAUCCUCUACUGUGAGGACAAGUUACAAUGACGAUAUCGUGCCACCAGAGUUGUUCCACGAGACGGACACGGCACGUGCCAUGGCAUACCCGUGUUCAGAUUUCCUGAUGGCGGCAGGUAUUAAAGAUGAGUUUGAUAACCUCUGUGCAGCUGUAGGUUUGACACAUCUCGUAACACGACGUGUGCAACAAUAUCCAAAACUCACAUAUUAUUUUGUCAACUGGUUUAGAUAUAAUGAUAAAAUUUCCAUGAUUGAAUUCAUAUUAUAUGAGGAUGUCUUUACCAUGUCUUUGGCAGAAUUUUUUGAUGUUAUAGGUGUGCGGAAUGUCGGGAUGAUGACCAAAAUGAAUGUUCAUCCCUACGAGCUGAAAUCCCUAUUCACUUCCCUUUUGCAGUAAGGACCCGCGAGUAAUUCACUUGGGGGAGAUCUCCAGCAUCUUGUUUCCCCACAUCAAGUAUUUCGCAUACUAUAUUGCUCGAGGGGUGCUAGUUCGUGACAACACGAGUAACAUUUCGGAUCCGUACCUUGCUAUCUUGGCAUCCUCCCUCUUAGGAGAUUACACGUAUAAUAUUGGUGCGUUCAUUGUUCAUUGCCUCAUUGCUAACAGCGACAAAGGGCCUCACUUUGGUGGCAUUUAUGCCAGGCUUAUCCUCGAGCACCUCAGGCGCAAUGUGCGGACGAAUGAUACGCCUUUUUCAUUCAUAAGCUUUGAUAUUACCGCUAUGAAGAGGCAUGAGUUUGUUACUAGGACUUCCGAGUUUGGUAACCUUAUUUAUAUUAUGAGGUUUGGCGAGCUUACUACUCGCGAGAUCCGUCUACAUGCACCACUUUUGUUUGAUUACACUAGAAGGAAUGGAUAGUCCUUCACCUCGAUUGAGCUAGACGAGUUCGUGAUCCAGCAGCAGUUCCACAACCCCAUGGAGGGGAUUGUUCCCGAGGUAGAAGAGCCUUCUAAUUGGGAGGCCAGACGGGCAUCAGUGUAUGCGCCCGAGGCCUCGUAUCAUUCUUGGAGCCACCCAUACCACUCCGGAGCCAGAGGAAGCUCCUGGAGCCCUCAAUAGCCGAGCUCAACUUAGGCGAAAAGCCUAAGCUUGGUGGAGUACGUAUCCUUCUCACCUUUCAUUGUAUCAUCCGUAGUUUCCUUUUUAAUCUUUUCGGAGUUUUUGCCCGUUCUUCUUUGUUCUUUCUUUGCAAAAACAACAAAAAGAUUUCUCUUUUCUUUUGCUUUCGCUUAACCUUUGGAAAACCCAAAAAGAUUUCUUUUCUCUCUUUAGUUUGCUUUGUUUGCAGAGUUCAGCUCACGUCCAUGGUUGCAAUUGCACUUGAUUAUAUCUUUCUACGUUCGAUCGUGCAAGUGACGAUGCAAUAAUGAAGAAGAUCGACAGAAGGAAUGCAACAAGGAAAGUCGGUAUGAACUCUAUUUGUUUCUACUUUUGUACAUAUGCAUGUACUUAUGAUCUAGAGACUAGCUUAUAGCGACAUAGUACUAUGAUUACAAUGAUUCCCAGUAGUUCAUGCUUUCUUUGUGACUAGUCUCAAAUAGUUGGAGUGCAUAAUGUGUUAUUGAAAUGAUUAGCAUGCAUUGCAUUGUUCAUGGUUUGGCAUAUUGGAGUGGUAUUUCCCUUCGGAGAAUUUCUGGAUUGACUUGGCACAUGCUUACACAUGUUUAUGACUAGAAGUCUAUCAAGCCUUGAUGAUCUUUUUAUUUCAGAAUAGUUAAAUCGCUUUCAUGCCCGAUUCAAAGUUGAUUUGUCGCUCUACAUGAUUAUGACCAUUAUUGCUCUCUAGUUGGGCGCUUCCCCAUCUUUCGCUAGCCUUCACCUGUACUAAGCAGAUUGACUGCUUGUGCAUCCAAAAUGCUUGAAACCAGUUGCGCCAUAUGACUCCGCCAUACCUACCUAUAUGCGGUACUUAUGUGUCGUCCUAAAUAAAUUUGCAUGUGUCAUAUUCUUAACUUUCAAAUAAAUAUUUUGUUUUGUAUGCCCGAAUCACUCAUGUAGUGACUAGGGGCUAUCAGUAUCUUCCAUGCUACGUAGGUUAUUCUCAAGAUAUGUGUUGAUUCACUAUCAUUCACGAGAAAGUGGCUGGUAACCAGGAUGCCCAUUUCCAUGCUCAAAAGUCAAAUCAAAUUUAAUGAAACAAAACUCCCCCAAGAUUGUUGUUUGUAUGGACGGUACCCGUCGAUUCGUCCCGCCGUGGAGUGUGAUUGAUUGGUGGAGGGGGUAAAAACUUUACCAUUCUGUUUGGGAACCGCCUAUAAUCUAUUUAGCAUGGAAGAUAUUGAGAUCUCUUAGUUGUUAUGUUGACAAUGAAAACAUACCACCCAAAAUUUUGAUUUAUGUUUGUUUUAAAGCUCAAGCUUUGACACCUCUGCAAAUCAAUGCUUCCCUCUGUGAAGGGCCUGUCUAUUUUACUUUAUUGUUGAGUCAUCCUCUUCUCAUAAAAGCACCAACUAAGAGAGCAUAAUUGUCAUUCUCAGUGUAAUGUGCAUUGUCCCAAAGUACCACAUUGUCUUCUGUAUGAUUGUGAUAUUACUUAUUCUGAAAUAUUUAUUUCUAGUCUCCUUUAAGACUCCGGAGGAGCGUUUGCAUUUAUGUUCUGCUUCACUCAUGGGAGCUAGCGAGAUACCACUCUAGUAUAUCCAAGUCAUGUGCAUUGUGAUCUCGUUAUGAUUUUCAGUUACAUAUUAUUCAUUCUUAGUUGUUUGAAACUCUUCACAUGAUCGAAGGAUUGCUUCGUGCAUUGUCUUUGUAGCAUUGCUUCAAUACUUGUUGGGCUUGUUCGUAGUGCAUGCUUAUAUACAUCUGAUGAAGCAAAAGAGUUUGUCAAAGUUUUCUUUGUCGCGUUCAGUUUGUUGAACUGAAUUGCUUGAGGACAAGAAAUAUGCUAAGCUUGGGGGAGUUGAUACGCCUCAAACGUAUCGACUUUUCCAAACACUUUUGCUAUUGUUUUGGUCUCAUUCUUGCUUGAUUUGAAUGAAACUAACCCGGACUGACGUUGUUUUCAGCAGAGCUGCUUGUAUGGUUUACUUGUGCGCGGGAAAAUGGAUAUUUAGACGUCCCGGGAAAUUCCUAUAAAAAAUAGAGAAAAUCCACGCACCAGGAGGAACCAUGGGCCAGAAUAUGGGCUAGAGGGGAGCCACAGGGCCCCCAUGCGACUAUGGGUGCGGCCUGCCCCCUGGCCGCGCGGGAGGCCGCCUGGGUGGGGCUCACCCCCUCUGGUGCCCUACUUUGGCACCUAUUUUUACCCGUGUUGCAGAAAUACGAGAACAGAAGUCAUUUUGCAAAUUCUCGACGCGGAGCCGCCGCCACCCUCAGUUCUUCUUCGGGGGAGCUAAUUUGGAGGCUGUUUCGGCCUCCGGAGAGGGGAAAUCGUCGCCAUCGUCAUCACCAUCACCACUUCAUCAUCCUCCCAUGGCUUCCCCCAUCAUGUGUGAGUAAUUCCCUGCUGUAGGUGAAGGGGGUGGUAGGAAUUGGAUGAGUUAGAUCAUGUAAUAAUUCGUCGGAUUGUUGGGGGCAUGUUGCCUAUCAUCUAUUAUGGUGUUUAUCAUCUUUUCUACUACUUGUUACUCUUAAUGCUUGUCACUUUGGACCCGAGUGCCAUGAUUUCUCAUCUGAAUUUAUUAUGUUUUCAUGAAUAUAUUUUUGUUCUAGAUCCUAUCUCUGAGUAGUAUACACCUAUUAUAGUCCCAAACCGGCGAUCCCAAUGGUGACAGCUUGGGACACCAAAGGGGAUAUACUAUAGUUUGAGGAUUCCAUGUAUCCAUUGAUUGUUAAUGCUUUGUUCCGGUGCUCUUUGACAGGAGCACCUUAAUCUCCAUAAGUUCCUUUUGGCCCCGUUGAUAGUGGGAUGGUAGGACAAAAGAUGUUGUGCAAGUUCGUAUUGCAAGCACGCACGACUACCUCGAGAAACAUGCCUAAUGUUUGAUAUAUCCCUAGAUGAUCAUUACUUUUCUAUGUGCCUUCCCCCAAGUUAAAUACAUGAUAUCUCUCAUCCAUGACCAACCAUCAAUCUCCCUAGCCUAUAGUGUUUUAAUCACGCUGGUCACAAGUCACUUUACUUUCGCUGUUUUACUUUCGUUGAUUUGCCACUAUUAUUUAUGUUGCCACCAUCACUUUAAUAUCACCAUUGCUACUAAUAUUUCGUUGCCAAGCAAGUAUCUUUCAGGUGCGGUUGAAUUGACAACUCAACUGUUAAAGCUUAUAAAUAUUCUUUGGCUCCCCUUGUGUCGAAUCAAUAAAUUGGGUUAUCUUACCUUCGAAGACUGUUGCGAUCCCCUACACUUGUGGGUUAUCAGACGUAUCAAGGGGGGAGUUGUAGGCGUCGGGGAGGCGACGGUGGCAGCCAACACCGCACCCAUGUUGGCUCGGGUGAGUAGGAGGAGGACGGUGGGGCUAGGUGGGCUAGGCCGACAGUGUAACGAGUAGGCUUUAGUGUAGAGUACCGCUUGGACCCUUCCAUUUCUUUUUUUUCUCUUUGUUUUUUAUUUAAUUCCAAUAGUAAAUUACUUUUGUAAAAUAUAGUGUUUGACCCAAUCAUUAACUUGCAUUUUUAGGUUCAGCCACAAAAAUUUUGGGGCGCAUUUGUAAGUUUGGGAAUUUUCAUAAUUCAAAAAGGUAUUUAAGUAAUUGUUCCGGCCUCUCCUAUAAUUAUUUUGAGGCACCAAAUCACUUGAUAAAAUGUUGGUUCAUAUUUUAUAAUUACUAGGUGAAUAUUUGCCAAGCAACCAUGAUUUUAGUUUCAGGUUUGUCAAAAUAUUUAAUCCAUUUAUUAUUUUAAUUUUGAAUUUCAAAAGGGAAUUUCAAAUAAGAUAUGAUUCUAAGAUUGAUCAAGCAGUGUUUAGCAAACGCAUUAGCUUAAUCUUGGCCAUAACUGUAGCCUAAUUAUAGUGAUCACUAUAGCUUAAUCCAGGGGUGUCACGUAUACUUUUUGGGUAUUUAUUUACCAAUUUAUAUUAUUUUAGAGCACUAACCUAUUAACCCAGUGCCCACUGUGAGUUGUUGUUUUUUGUGUGUUUUUGGCUUUUCAGGUUUACGGUAGCAAACGAAGUCCAAUUGCCAUGAAACUUUUUAGUGAUUUUUUCUGGACCCAUUGGGGCGGACGCGCCCACAACUUAAAUUGAUGUAUCUUAUAUUUUGCCAAACAACAAAAUAUACUCUUGUCGCUGGUAUUAACAUGGCAUGAAAUUUCAAUUUUUCUCGAUAUAUCUAUUUAUUUGUACUGCUUUUCUCUACUUCAAUACCUGCUCGAUUUAGAUUGGGAAAAUCGUACAGAUUUUAUGAAACCUUAUCAUUUUUUUACUGAAUAUUUUGCAAACUAUCUCAGUUCCUUAAAGUCUACAGGUGGUCACGUACUGUGACUGAAAGUUUACAAGUAGUCAAGUAAUUUGACCAGCCAAGCCAAAAGAGAUGUGUACCAACCUCAUGAGAAUAAAUAAGUAUGUCAAACGGUGAGCACAUCAUACACCCUCAUUAGAAUAAAAAAGUACUAUGUCAAAGGGCACUCACUAGCUGGCACCGCCCAGCUCGAGGAGGCACGUCAAGGUCGCGUCCCAACACCUAGUUACCAAUACUAGUCGUCGACCCCGUGUAAUUGCACGGUCUAAUUAUUUAGACAAUAGCUUAGUGGACUUUUGUAAAUAUUGGUUAUACUUACAAAAAUAUAAAUGGAGAGGCUUUAUGUUGAGCUCUUCAAAAUGUACUUUUUUUAUGAUGAGGGGCGUUUUGGUAACGAUACAUUCAUAUAUAACAUUUACAAGAAGUUCUUCAUUUGUUAACUCUUCGAAGUAUAUGGAAAUUACAAAUAAAAUCAUGGAACAAACAAUAUUCCAAUAAAACUAAUAAAGAAAACUGCUCUUUACUUUCUUAAAUUUGGUGCAUAAUGAUAGUGCUAGAUAGAGUACGUAGUUUGGUGUAUAUAAUCAUGCCAUCAUUCCAAACAACUAAAAAAACAUGAGCACAUGAUACAUUGAAAAACAUAUGAUUUCUUCAUGUGUACUGAUCAAAAUAAAUUUACUUUUAUACAUCGUAGUACCCUUGAAAGUGGUAACUAUGAUAAGAAAUCAGGAUCGCAAAACUGAUACAGUAUUGUACGAAACCUAAUUCAAUUAUGAAAAGCUUUAGUACAGAAUAAGAAAUGUAAACAAAUCUUCUUGACAUAUGUCCACAUAUAUUACCUCUUCUCUGAAUCCACCAGCCAAUUAAAUUAUUUCUCUUCACUUAGAGAUCAAGUGGACUGUCAGAAUAAUAUAAUUAUUUCUGUAUAAAGGGCAUCUAUAAUGAAGUGAAAUUAGACUAGUAAUUUGAGAAAGAAUUUUGUUUUUUUUUAACAUGCACACGAACACAUCUAAUAUUUUAUUAGGGAAAUAAAAGAAUAUUUGGAUGUACCCAAUAUGUCUGGUAAGGAUAAAUGUCACCUUGCUUUAUAAUUUCAAGAAAGAACCGUCUGAAGUAGAGAUAGAGAAAAAUGUACCCAGAAGCAACUCCUCGAGAGAUAAAACUUGUUAUAUCCAGUUCUAUCAAGUGACUCCUAGUCUAGAUUUGCACUUUCUGGUGUGAUAUUGAUGAUUCCUGCCAAGAAACGUAAUUAGUAUAGUUGUGGAGUAAUUAUGAAGAGUGGAAAAGGUAAUUAGUAUUUAUUGGCUAGGCAUAUAAUUUUAUAUAGUGACGGAGGUGUAGUAAGAUAUUUUUUCGGCGAAAAGAGGUAACAACACAAUCAUAUUAGAACAGAGGUGAGAAAUAGGUAAUGCUGAGAAUGUUGCGAAGAACUGAAAUGUUUUAAUUCUGACAAAAACAUAUACCUCUCUUUGCAUCAAGAAUUAUAUUGCUGAGAUAAUAUAGAACAAUCGAACAUAUGAGAUAAGACGAUUAUCUGGCACAUGCCAGUGUGUCCGUGAUUUGUUUUCCUUUGGUCGAACAUAGAUGGCAUACUUGAGUAGUGCUGAUGAUGGAGACCAAAAGGCCAUAACUUGCGAAUAUAGUUAUACCAAAGGUUAUAAUUAUUAUCAUAUAAACAUUAGAUAAUUUUUCUAGUCUAAAUGACAAUUCUAAUUUUCGAUCUUGAGGAAAUGUAAUACAUGUUGAAGACUACUAUUCCUCAAUUAAUCUACAUCGACACUGAUAAAAUAUUAUAUUUGACAGCCUUUAUAGAGUGGACUCUGGAGACCCCAAAAAGACACACUAGUAGAAAUAAGGGCUUUCGUCCCAGCUCGAAAACACAUUAGUCCCGGUUCCUUUACGAACCGGGACUAAUGUUAGUAUUAGUCCCGGUUCGAGCGGCAAAGGCGCCGGUCGGGCAUUAGUCCCGGUUCAAAUGGGACCUUUAGUUCCGAUUCGUGUCUCGAACCGGGACUAAAGGGUUUGGAGGAUUUAGUCCCGGUUCGUGUCUUGGACCUUUAGUCCCGGUUCGUAUCUCGAACCGGGAGUAAAGGGUUUGGAUGAUUUAGUCCCGGUUGGUGUCUUGAACCGGGACUAAAGGUGUUCAGAUUUUUUUUGUGUUUUUAAAUUCUUGUUUGUAGUUUCUGUUUUAAAUUGCUUAUAUCUUUUAGGAUAUUUGAUGUUUUUUAUUGAUUCUUUUUGCAUUAGAUUCAAAAUUUUGUCUAGUUUCUGUUUGUGCCAUUAGUUUUCAAAUUUGAAUGGUUUAAAUUUGAAUUUGUUUAAAUUUGCUUCAAACCCAGUUUUUGAUUAACUUGAGUUUACAAAUAGUUUUUAAUUUAAUUCUUUUUGCUCCCACUCAUGUGUUAGAUUGUUAUCACAAUAAGAUUUAUUUGGUUAUUUUUAGAAUAAUUUAAAUUAGGAUUUUAAUUAAACAAAUAUUGUUUUGCUUAUAUAGUUGUUUUAGUCAUCUAGUUGUUGUUUUUUAUUAUGUUUAGUUAGUUCUUUCUGUAGAUUUUAACAUGUUGUAGUAUGGUGCAUAUUUAAUGCACAAAAAAAUCUAUAGUUCAAUUAAUUUUAAAAAAAUGCCUUUGUAGCAGAUGGGUUUUCGUCUGAAACCUUGAUACUUUGAGUUUUGUACAAAAUAAACAAAAAUGAUAAAAUCUUCAAAAAAUAAACAAAAAUGAUAAAAUCUUCAAACAAUAAAAUCCUUUGAGAUGUUGUUAGGUUUUAGUGUCUAGUCGGUAUAGAAAUUUUGAGAUAUGAAUUUUGACCAUUUUGGCAAAAAAAGGAAAAAAAUAAACGGCCAUAACUUUUGCAUACGAUGUCAAAACAAAUAAUAUAUCAAAAAAAACUAGAAAAUAUUGGUACUCGAUUUCACCCGGGCUUGCCCGAUGAAGUUUUCUCACAUGCUCAAAAUUCCAAAUGGAAAAAAAGUUAUUUCAAAAAGAAGUUUUUCCAAAAAAAAAAGAAAAAUAGUUUUAUUUAAAAAUAUUAGGUUGUUUUCAUUGAAAUUCACUAUUAUUGUUACUUAUUAAGUGUAUUUUAGUAAUUGUUUUUAAUUCAAAAAAUUAAAUCAUGUGACAUGACAUCAAGACCCAAGUUGUUUAGGAUUGAUAGCUUACUAUUGUCAGGAAAACAACAAGUGCACACUUGGCAACUAGGGGCGAUAGAACCAGAAAGUUAAGGUGCUCGGGCUGAAGCAGUGAAAGUAUGGGUGAUCGGCCGGGAAGUUAGACGAUUUGAAAUGAGUGAUCCACGCUAGAGCAGUGAGGAUGGGUGAUUAGAGAUUAAAUUGUCAAAUAAUUCAAAGAUUAGAAAAUUGGAAUAAAACAUAAAAAAUAUUCAAAAAUAAAAUUUGAAAAAAAUUAAAAAAAACUACAUUUUCGGGUCAAAAAAAACAGACGGAUCCUUUAGUCCCGGUUCGUAAGUAGAACCGGGACUAAGGGUGUGUUUGAUCCUCCCGCGGCGGCCGCCGGCCGCGUCGGCCGCCCAGAGUGGUUGCCACGCCCGCCCAUUGUUGGCGAUUGGCCACAUCCCUUUGUUUGGAGAAUAUUCCCAGCAUCUUGUUGACUCUAUCCCUCCUCGCCCCAGAUCCAAACUCAUGGCAACCACAGAAAAAACUGGUUAUCCCUGUCCGUGGGAGGAUAUCCCUCCAACCAAAUACACCCUAAAGAUACUCCCUCCGAGGCGGCCACGUGGAGCACCUUUGGUCCCGGCUUGGAACAGGGCCGGAACUAAAGGUUAGGCCUUUAGUUCCGCCCCUUUAGUCCCGGUUGAUGAACCGGGACUAAAGCCCCUUACGGGCCGGGACUAAAGGCCCUGUCACCACUAAUGACACUUACUAAACUAUCAAUCUAGCCGUACUUGAUCAAAUAGAAAGGAGCUAUAACUUGCACAUGGAGACAUGGCUAAACAGCAAGAUAGCAAUACACAGUACCCCUCACAGUUUGUACAUCCAGAAGACCUGAUCAAUUUUAACACGUACAUAUGAACAGGAAAUUCUACUAGUCUUGUAUCACACGUGAUAAAAAUCCUUUACUGAUAAUCAAUUUCCCCAUGCGCCUCACACCCUAAUUUUCUGCAAGACCAAGAAACUCAAUUGAUGCGAUACUGAAUAUCCCAAGAUCUACUUUUUAAAUCUUAUUCACAUUGUGCUAGACUCAUCUUGAAGACAUCAAUAGUUUUUUUUUUGCAGUGAUGAAGGCUUGAACAGUUUACUUAUUUACAACAGAUAAAAUAGACGGGCAAGGCUAGCAUUAGCAACGAUCCUGCGUAGCAGUAGCUAUAUACAAUCAAACCUAAACUAACAGCAUGAGUCGACUAAAAAAGUGCCAGUGUCCUCACCUGAGAUUAUGUAUAUUUUGCGUCAUCUCUGAUAAAGAAUUAUGAAUUAUGAUAGACCCGGAGUGUAUGGGGAUGUAUCUGCCUUGCCGAGUAGAAGCCUUCCAUAGACUAUGUAGCUCCACACCUGUAUUUGUAGUACGUCUCAUGUCAUGGCUCAUGGGGCAUGGGCCAUGGGCCAUGGAAUUCGCUUUCUACUGAAAGAUGUCUCUGUCGCUUCUGUCCAAGGCAUCACGACAGCUAUGGGCUCUUGCAUCGUAGCACGGGCCACUGCAUCACCCGCACCUUGAGCAAUGCUACAUCUACGUAAAUGUUUACGUAAGUUUACGGGAUAGUCUUGAUAGAUCCCGUGGAUCUUAGGCCAGAUGUGUUCGGUAUGAUGUGGAGAUUUAUUACCUUUUAGUUUGCUCGAUGAGCUCCCUCCGGUCGUCCAUCGUGAGGUGGUGACGACGGUGGGGAAGGAGAGAGAUGUAGCAGCGGCGGCGGUGGACUUCCCAUCGCUUCAGUGCAUCCCUCUAGAUCGGAUUAGGGUUAGAGAGUGGGGAACCAGUGGCGGCGGCGAACCUCGUGUCUUGUGCCAUGGUCCUCACCUCCUCUUUAUAGCACUGCGCGACAGGGGCCCACCAGCCUUACUUGGGCUGGACGCCCCCGAUCAGGGUGUGAGUCAAGGUCCAAUGGGCCGUUGGGCCCAUUGGGGAAAGAGAUCAACCUAACAUUCUCCCCAUUGAUCUCAUCAUAUACUUUUAACUUUACCCGUUUCGUAACAGAUCAAUACAUAGGGCAUGUUUCAUGUCACGGCUCAAUUGCUGAUGGACUCAGACAGCCACAAUGUACCUCUCUAUUUUGAGACAGAUUCUUUAACCUUGGGCCCUUUAUUGUCCGGAAAUUUUAGACUAUACCAAAAAAAACCAUGUCGAUUGUGUGUUCUCCGAACGCACUGGGCGGUAAGCCUUUGAUAAGAAGAUCUGCAAACACUUGUUUGUCGCUUUUAUGCUUUCAAGCAUUUUUCCAUAAUUCCGGACUUUCUCCUUCACAACACAUAACUCUUUGUCAGUGUGUUUGGCAUCAACACUUGACUCGUUGUGACAGGAGCGAAAGAAUUUAAAAUGGUUAUCGUUGUUGUCAACCAUUAUCAACUCCGGGUACAGGUAGCCUUAACCAUGUUGCCCGUCCCUCAGCCUCAUAUCAAGCUAUGACAUAUCAUUGCAUCAAAUUGAUGACAAUCGUUUUUACUCAUUUGGAGAUUUUCCACACAAAACACCGAGUAUGAAAGUUAGCGACAAUUGUGGAUUUCGCUAUACAUUUCACAAGUCCUCUUUUGUACUCACAAUGUUUUGAGAGCACUUAUUUCUUUCAUCAUGAGGCCGAUAUCUUUGACUCCAUUCCAUUGAUUUAUCUAUGGACUGGACAUUUCCAAAACAACCUGGAUAUAUACGUGAACUGUGUCAGGGUAAUAUCUUGAGCUUCCAACAACUGAAGCAUAUGGUACCAUAUCCGUUUACAAUCUUUCUUAUUAACUUUUGGAACACCAUAGUUUCCACUUCCAUUACCCAUGACUAUAAGAACAGGCAUAGGUUUUCUCGUAUGCAUACUUUAGAGAUCUUUCUUAGCAUGUUCAUGCGACAUUCCUAAUACCCCCUUUUAUUCUUUUGAACUUUGAGGACAAGAACUUCUUUUCUCCUCCUGCAGUAGAUUGACAUCACCACUAGCAAGUAGGACAUCAUCCACAUGCAUAGGAAUUGGGAAACGAAUUUCCCAUUCUAUGACUUUGCAUGAAUGCAAUUGUCCUCUCAUUUUCUUUGCACAAAAUCUUUCGAUUUAAGUCAUGUUUCACACAUUUACAUAUUUCCUUUCGAGUCACAUUUGCCUUGUAGACCCUUCAUAAAGUCUAUGUUAGNNNNNNNNNNNNNNNNNNNNNNNNNNNNNNNNNNNNNNNNNNNNNNNNNNNNNNNNNNNNNNNNNNNNNNNNNNNNNNNNNNNNNNNNNNNNNNNNNNNNNNNNNNNNNNNNNNNNNNNNNNNNNNNNNNNNNNNNNNNNNNNNNNNNNNNNNNNNNNNNNNNNNNNNNNNNNNNNNNNNNNNNNNNNNNNNNNNNNNNNNCUAACAUAGACUUUAUAGUAGUCACAAGUAUCUGAUUUUCACAUACCUAGAGAACAUUAAAAUCUCAGGUACUGGCACUUCUUUCAUAUGGGGUUGUCGUUGCUCUGUCAUUGCCAAGAGGGAAUUAAUUCUAUAGUCACCCAUUUCCAAAAGGCAAUAGGUUUUACAGGAACCUGUAUCACAAGAUCCCUUGUAGAGCUAACAACAGGUGUUGUAUAGGUCAUACAACAUGCUCCCCCAGAAUACUCCAUCUUCACACAAGAAAUGGCGUAUCUUUAAACUUUCUUCUUUAUGGCACUUUAAGCACCACCGUUGUAUUCCUUAGUCUGCUUUCGGAACUAUAAAAGAUCCGAAAAUACAAUUGUUUCUUUUCUUUAGGGGUAUCAUAAUGACGGUACUCCGAUGACUGUCGUACUCCCCUUGACAAUCACAUUCUUCAUUAAUGGAUCACUUUAGAUGCAUAAUGUGCAUCACAUCAUCUGAAGUACAGAGGAGUCAUGAAAUACACUACAAUGUAUUUCAUGUCUCUAUCUCCCCCUCGAAAUGUGGAAAGAACUUUUCUGCCACAAUUUUGAAACCCAUUCAUAGCUCUUUUGAAAUGAGGAAACUUCGAUUAUCUAGCUCAUUCAUCUUAUCACUUCAUGUAAAAUGAAGUUAUAAGUUAACUAGUAUGGGAGUACUUUUUCCUCAUUUCAUUUCGGAAACUCAAUAGAGUUCUUUAUAGUUGUCACUUUUGCAAGUUACACUUGCAUAUCAUUCUUGUCUUUAGGUUCGUCUGUUACUUUUAUCCUUUCUGGAUUUAGUGAUUGCAUAAUGACCGUUACACAUAAAGUGUACGGUCGAUAAUAGGAAAGCUUAAUAGCUACUCCAUACUUUUCUCCCAUAGUGGGACACAUUAACCGCACAUGAGUCAUCAUAACUUUCUCCUGUCAUAUAGGAUAAGACCUUUGCCAAAAUUUCUCCCGCCAUACACGGAUUGUUAACCUAAUACAAUGUCAACUUUACCCGGUGACGCAGGCAUUCUUCCCAGACUUUUCCCACCAUGCAGGUAAUUCCCUUUAAGGGACAUCAUAAAUGCCAUAAUUGGCUCUUUUGACUGCAUCAAAUUCAGAAAUAAAUCUGAAUUAUCUUUGACACACAUGUUUGAUCCGACGUUGGUCAAAUUAAACAUGCAUGUUGCUUGUUUCAUUUCAAUCAUGUUGACUGAAAAAAGGAGACUCCAUCAUAGAGAGUACAUGAAAGACAUUCGUCAACCAAGACUCUCAAUGAUCUAUCUCUUUUCUUUUCUUGAAUUAAUAUCCAAGAGUUCUUUUCUUUUGAAGCCAUUCUUUAGAGAGAAUUUAUUCCCUCAAGUUAUGACCUUUCUUUUCCAUCUUUCAGGUCACUAGUGCCCAAACAUUCGCUUUCAUGAGUGAAAGCUUGAAUAACUUUUAGUCUGAGAAAACAUAGCCAAUAAACAACGGUAAUGAGCAUUAAAAAUAACCCUACGUUGGUCUGAUUAAAAUCAUGCACAUUAAACCUUUUAAAACUUUCUGGAAUAUUCUAAAACACCGUUGUGGCAGAAUUAGAAUAAAACAUCAUUCUUCUGCAUUAAUUCCAUAUCAUCGUUGGGCAGAAAUGGAAAUAAUGCAUAUAACUCAUAAACAAUGUGAUGAUAGUAUUUCUAUUGAACAACUUUGCUAAUAAAUAAUCAUCAUCAUCAUUAACCAUAUUGCAGCAGAAAUAGAAAUAUGCAUUUCUUUAUCUCUACUCCGAAAAAUUGAUCACUUUGAUACAAAAUUUAUCAGAGAUUUAAGCUUUAAACAUAAGAUGACUCAUACAAUUAUGGUAUUGUUAUCAUCAACGUUGGUCACAAAAUAACAAUACCAUAUUUAACUUUAAAACAAACAUCACUCUAUUGUCAUAGCGGAAACUGUUUGAAUCCUAUUUCACCCACAAGGGAAAAACUUUGCUAAUAACAGUUCUUCUAAUUAAAUUUUCCCAUUGGUUUCAAUUUAAUUGGAGGAUUAAACAUUUACCUUGCAGCGGAAAAACGUGAAUAUAAAAUUCAUGCACCUUUACAGAAAAAUAUUCUGUUAAAAUCAAAAUUCAUGAACUUUAUUUUCCUUAUAUAAAAUCCAUGAACUUUUCAUUUUCUGAAAAAACUCUAUUUAUUUCCAGAAACAUCUACUUUUCUUUGGAGAAAUUUUUUGUCUUUUAUUCUGCACACACCUUUUAUUUAAUUUGCAUAAGGAUGCCUUUCCCUUUUCUAUUUUCUAAACAUAAUUUUCCAAGAAAAUUAUGCAUAGAAAAGACUAUUUUUCUACUUUACAGAAACUUUUCUUUUUCUGAAAAUUAUCUUUAAUUUUUCAGAAACUUUUCUGUUUUUCUUAUCAAGAAAAACUGUCAAUACUUUCUGGGCCGAAACGGGCCCAGUUACCCAGCAGCCGAGCGUGCUCCCGUGCAGCUCCUGACCUGGUGGGCCGCCGGCCUCAGCCGCCUCCCUUUUGGCCCCUUUGGCCCGAAAACUGGCCUGGGAGCGUGUCAUGUACCGCUGGCGGCGCUGGCCCGCUCUUUGCGGCCUAGUUGGCCCGGCUGGGCUAGGGUUAGGCACAGGAGCCAUCCUGGCCGCCCAUCUUGAUCCGACGGUCCCCCGUGGAGAUCGGGGAGACCAAAAACGAGACCGAGCCGGCAGGGGGAACCCUAGCGGUUCAUUCCCUCCCCCCAGCGCCGCUCAUCUGUGUCUCCCGAGCGCACAACCCCUUCCUGCCGCCGCGCCGUUUCGUUCGCCGCCGGUGGCCAGGCCACCGCUUCGCGCGCUCGCCUUUUCGUUUCCCUCCUUAUCUUGUGGCACAUCAAGAGUGAGGGACGCACCAUGCCUCAUGUCUUCCCUCGCGCGUUCUGUUACCGAACGGUGACAGCUCGGCCGCUCCGGCCACCAGCAGCGGUUUCCACCGCGCCGAGCGAGCCCUUUUCCCCUUCCUCUAUUCUUUCCUCCGGCGAGCGAGAGUGAGGGCAGCGAGGCGCGGCUGCGCGCCCCCUCUGCCCCCCGUUCCUAUUUUAGAUCCAGUGAUCUUUCUUUCAGCCACCACCGCCCCAGCGAGAAAGAGACGCGAGCAGAGCCUUCGUCUGCUUCUCUUCGCGCCCGACGACGGUUUCCAGAUGUGGCAGUGGCUGCGCCCCUGCCGACCCCUUCGCCGGUCGUGCGUUCCCCUUGCGGUGAGCGCGCCGCCGUCGAAUGGAUCGGUGGUGGUGCUUGUACUUUGCCCCGAAGGGUGGAUUUCUUUGCAUGUUUUUUUUGUUUGCUUUUUUCGGAUCCAAUCUGAUUCCUUUGUUGGUUUUCCUUUUGGAUCUAAUCAGAUCCAUACUUUUCCUCCAAGGAGGUUGGUUCUUCUUCCCCACACCUCGGCUUGCCGAUGCGUGCGGGGAUCGAGAGGAACAGGCGCGGCCGAGGCGGCACUCUUUGCCGGAGAGGACUCCGGUGAAACCUUUCUUUUCUUUGAUCUUUGCCCUUCUCGGGUUCAUAUCGGGGAGGGGGAAACUUUUCUUGUACAUGUUUCAACCGAAACUCAUCUAAAGCCUCGUGGCUCAUGAUACCAUUGAUAGAUCCCGUGGAUCUUAGGCUAGAUGUGUUCGGUAUGAUGUGGAGAUUUAUUACCUUUUAGUGUGCUCGAUGAGCUCCCUCCAGUCGUCCAUCGUGAGGUGGUGACAACGGUGGGGAAGGAGAGAGAUGUAGCAGCGGCGGCGGUGGACUUCCCAUCGCUUCAGUGCAUCCCUCUAGAUCGGAUUAGGGUUAGAGAGUGGGGAACCAGUGGCGGCGGCGAACCUCGUGUCUUGUGCCAUGGUCCCCACCUCCUCUUUAUAGCACUGCGCGACAGGGGACCACCAGGCUUACUUGGGCUGGACGCCCCCGAUCAGGGCGUGAGUCAAGGUCCAAUGGACCGUUGGGCCCAUUGGGGAAAGAGAUCAACCUAACAAGUCUCACUUGACAAUCAUUGAUUGGAUUAUGAGGAGGAUGAGGCCCACCCACCCCUGAAAAUCAGGGGGGCAUAUUUAGAUUAGUUGAAAGGUUUAGUAAACGUAAGUAAGAUUUAGUAGGUCUAGCAUUUUCGCCCGCACCAUACGUGAAGCCAUGCAUAAUCCUGCUUUUGAUCUCAUCUACCGCCAGGGAGAGUGAGGACGUUUCAGGAGGAGAAGAACACACCAUCAGCCACAGUCGGGCUAGUGCAUCUCCUACUCGAGCGAUGCGGACUUCACAUGGGAGAUGUGCUCCGAGAGAAAUGCCCAAUCGUGGGUGUGUGUCCAUGCCGCAUGGCACCUGGAAGCUAGGGCGCUGCUCCUGUAUGACUGGAAGAUGAGGAGGCCGAUGGAUGGAGACAUGCUGAAUAGUAAUCUCGUCCGCACCAGAUCAAGAAGGAAUCAACAAAGAAGUGGUUUGCAUAUGUACCUUGCAUCUGCACAGCACAAACCAAUCAGAGGCAUGGCUAGCUGCUUGGCCGAAUAAUAGGAGAUCGUUUGUUUUCUAGAAGAAAAAGAAGAGAGAUGGGUUUUCUGUAGGGAGAGAAAGGAGAGAGAUGGACGAUAGGAAUCGUGCCGCACAUGGCUACCCAAAUGUACGCGUUCAUGUAUUCAAGAAAAAAUAAAAAAAGGUAUGCGUUUAUCAUACAACUUUAGAUAGAUCAAUGGUUCUGCUAAAAGAAGAUACAUUAUGGGUUAAAAGAAACUAAUCCUAUUGAAAUAUUUGCACCAUAAAAACUUGGUCCCACCCGAGGAAGGGAUCUCCGAUGAAAAACUUUUUUAACCCUGUCGAAAGAUCUCCACCGUAAUAACUUGGUCCCACAAAAUAAACGGCUCCUAAUUUCUGAUUAACAUGAGAAUUUCUAGAGAGUCCAUAAUUAGUAUAAGUAUAAAUAUAGAUUAUGCAUGCCAUAAACUGAUGCUCAAUAAUAAAACCAACUGAUCCUCUUGUAAAAUUUGAAAGAUUUGUAGGCCAAAUCAUAUUAAAUCAAAGCAUAUUUCCACUCACCAAUUUUGCUAUGAAUUGAUCUAUGCGACGUAUUUUGAAUGGCGACAGGCAUAAUGUCUCAACUCCAUGCAAGCAUAAUACAGCUAUACGUAUAAAUUUCCACUAACACAUACCUUGUCUCACUCUCCAGUUGAACUAAGGACAAUGCUAGAAUACUGCACCAUAUUUUUUGAUACAUUCUUAGGGCGAUUGAUAAACAUUGGUGAUUACCAUAAUGUCCAUGUAAACUUCAUCCACCAAAGCCCGUAUAGCCGAAAUAAACAAAUGAAGUGAUAAAUCAAGUAUUUCGGCCCUUUGGAUCAACAACGAACUUAUAGAUAAUCAAAUGUAUAGUGAUUUGGUAAUACCCCUUCAUGAUAUAAGAAAUUAUAUUGCAUCCAUCAAUCUAAAUAAGCCCAUACAGGGUAACCGAUCAUACAUCUGACGUAAUUGUUUUUGCUUCCAUCCUACUAUUUCUUUCCUUUUGUAACACUUGUUGGAAUAGAAGGUUGCACAUCAUUUUUAUUUUUCAAAACCCAAGUCAUGUUGUUGUGUCUCAGCUCUUGUGCACUAAGCUUUUAUAGUUCCUUCAUUUUCCAAUACGUUAAGCCGAGUGGACGCCUCGACUGUGGUUUUUUUUUUCAAGCAAUGGUAACUCUUUUUUGGCCUUGUAUACUCUCAACUUCUUCCCUUCAGAUUUUGCACUUUAAUUUUAACAAUUGAUUGCUUCACUUCUUUACCUUUUGUAGCCAAUACUAACUCUUUAAGUGGUUCCUUAUAUUUUUCGACCAAACCUGAAUUGGCACUCUUGAGACCAUCUUUUUUACUCGAUAUACUUGUUUGAUCACCUUUUCUUUUUUCUUGAGCUCCGAAUUAUUGAAAUGAUUUUGAACAUAUGACUACUCAUUGAAUGUUAGUAUUCUUGGAGCUGUAUAAUAUUGGUGAUAUGGUUAUAAGAAGAUGGAGAAUGUGCCCUUGAAUCAUACCUAUCCCAUGAUGGAUACAGAUUUACGCGAGCAUAGGGAGGCAUCCACGACACUGGCAUUGGCGGCCCAAAUUAAGGAUAUGAAUAUGUUGCAUUGAAAUUCUCGCUUUCUCAAACCGAUCCUUGGUUCUGCGCCUAGGGGGUGAUCUUGAUGCUUUUACAUUAUUUAGUCGAUAAGCCCUUUUUAGCACAUUCAAUUCUUAUAUUUAAAGUUUUGAUUUUUUUUAUCCUUUUGCUUAUUUUGACCUUUUUUCUCCUUUCUUGCAUCAACCUUUGGAUUUUCUUGCUUCCCCCAGAGCUUGACGUCUUCAUUCCAGCUUCGGUGGAAUUCUUGUCGUCAAUAAUAUCUUCAAUGUGAAGUUGAACAAUCUCUUUAGAAAGCUUGAUUCCAUCCCCUGAAGUUUUUGCCUUCUCUUUAAAUGGAUGGUUUGAAGAAACCCAAGAAAAAACUUUUUGCCAUCAUGACCCAUCGGAAUAGACUGGUCAUCCCAUGUUCUUUCAACAAAUUUCAAUUUUCCUUUUUCAAUGGCCGAUUUAGCUAUUUGACGAAACAUGUUGCAAUCCUCAAAACUAUGUUUGAAUGAAUCGUGCAACUUACAAUACAUUUGUCCUUAGAUAGAUGGCUUUACAUGGUGACCAAGAAUUCUAAUAUAAUCAUUUUUAGCAACAAAUCAAAGAUUUGAUCACACAUCCUUGAGUUAAAUGUAAAUCUCUUAUUUUGCCGAUCUUUCUAUGAGAAUGGCUUUGGAAGUAAGAAAAUGAAUGGUUUCGAUUUGGCAUCUCCCCAUUCGCCUAUGAAUUUCUUUCGCAUUCUUUUUCCGAUGUCAUUGUGUAAGAAAUUAUACUAGCAUCGGUUUUCUCAAAAGUAUUUAACCUUGGCUUCAAGUUACUGGAAAGAAAAUAGCUAGAACAUACAUGCCUCAAUUGAGGCCAAGUGUAAGCCAAGUAUGAAACAAGCAAAGCUACCCAUGUAGAUAUAAACUCUAAAUAAAACAAAAGGGAAAGCUUCAAUUGUAAUAAUUUUUCACUAUCCGUCUUUUUGAAUGGUGCGAUAUGUUGACCAAUAUGCUUUGUCAUAAUAUGAUUGCUAACAAUAAAUUACCCUUAUUCAUUGGUCUCUCAGUAUUACUUAUGAAGAUUUUUCUAAUAGAUGCAUCAACAACAAAGUUAUGAACAAAUUGUAAUAGAGGUAAAUUACUUGCUAAACGUACCUCUUCGGUUAGGUUGGGAGAGAAUGAUGGUUGCAUGACAUGAAUAAUAUCAUGCUUUGUUUAUGGAUGGCUUCCCAACACCUCAAAUCCCUGAUUUUCUUGGUUUGUGCAUCAUUACAUUGAAGAUGUUUGUCAACUGAACUUUGUUCAGCUACUUGUUCUUGUCCUUGAAGCUCGUCAAUUUGUAUGGCACUAGACUCAUAGGGCAGGAAGUAGGUUCCAUUAACUUCAAAAUAAUCAAACAUGGUUACUAUUCUAUCGUUGCCAUGACCUUUCUCAAUAAUCCUUUCCUCUUUGGAUUUGAUGGAUUCAUAAUAUAUACUACUUGAUUUGGCUUUUUCAACCGAGCACUUUCAUGUUCAGAAUCAUCCUUAUUUUCAUUGAUUCUACAAACUCGCAAUAAUUAUUGAAAGGAUCGAUAUGGUUGACUAUAGGGGUGGCUAAUAGAUAACUAACAAUUUUUAAGCUUUACUUAAUCAAUUAAACUUUAGCAACAAAUAGGUUUUCUAAAUAUGCAACUAAGAGAAUGACCUAUAUGAUGCUAGCAACAUGAAUAACAAGUAAGUAAAUAAUGCAAGUAAGGGAAAGAAGUAACCACAAGUGGAACUGAUGAAGACGAGGAUGUGUUCCCAAAGUUCCUUCCCACAUGGGUAAGUACGUCUCCGUUGGAGCGGUGUAGUGGCACUAUGCUCCCCAAGAUGCCACUAAGACCACGAUAUUCUCCUCACUCCCUCACACAAUGCGAGGUGCCGUGAUUCCACUAGUGGUGCCCUUGAAGGUGGCGACCGAACCUUUACAAAAAUGGUUGGGACAAUCUCCACAGCUGAAUUGGAGGCUCCCAACGAUACCACGAAGCUUCACCACAAUGGAAUAUGGCUUCGAGGUGACCUCAACCGUCUAGGGUGCUAAAACACCCAUGAGUAACAAGAUCAGCGAGGGAUUAGUGGGGGGAUCAAAAAUUUCUUGGUGGAAGUGUAGAUCAAGGCCCUCUCAACCAGACCCUCGAGUAUCAAGAAGUUUUGUUGACUAGGGAGAGAGAUCGGGUGAAAAUGGAGGAACAAUGGAGCUUAGGGUUAGGAAAGGUGAGGUUGUUUGGGAAGAAGAACCCCUUUAUAUAGUGAGCGAAAGAACCUGCCCGUAACCCACCUGUUCUGCCCGUACAAGAGCGGUGCUACCGAUGAUAAGAGGUAGUAUCGCUCCAAAGUGAGCGGUACUACCGCUCACGCACAGGACAGCCGAUCCGAGUGAGCGGCAGGGGCUAGUAGUACUGCCGGAGUGGUACUACCGUUGCCAGAAGCGGUACUACCGCUCAUAAGAGUUAGUACUGCAUCCUACAUCCGCUCGGGGAUCAGUUGCGGUCCUAGCCCAGAAAAAAAAGGACUCCCGACAUGGUAGUAACAAGCGGUAAUACCGCCCAACGGGCGGUACUACCGCACAGUCCGACACAAAAAGUGUCGAGAUCCGCGGGCAGCAGUACUGGCCAACGGACCAAGCUCGGCAACAUCCGCCCUGGAGCGGUACUACCGCCAGCCUGUGUGGUACUACCGAUGACAAGAGGUAGUAGCGCUACCAGGAACGGUACUGCCGCUUGGGUAUUUAUGGACAUUGUUGGGCAAGGGAAGAAGCUCCAUUGAGGUGGGAAAGAUGUUGCGAGGGAAAGUGUACGUGAUGAUUCCACCCAGACCUUUCCGAGGCGGACCCUCUGUUAAUAGUAUGGCUUUUCGUGCGACUCAAGUCCACCGACAACGAAACGUAAGAGAGAAAGCCGUCUUCAUAUCAAUACACCGAGGGGCAUGCAUCGUCUUUGUGCCAAAUGAGGAAAUACCUGAAAGGCUUAGGGCACAUGAUUAGUCCGCAAAAGUAUUGUCAUCAAUCACCAAAACCACUAGGGUAGAAAUAUGCCCUUACACUUAUUUUAUUUCAUCCAAUUAUUUUCCUUCUUAUUUCUAACGGCGAGCGGCAAUUUUGGUUUUAAGUUUUUUCUCAAUUUCAGCCCGCUCAAGAUAUGAUUGCCUCCAAAUCUUUUAGAUUCUUUCGCAAUGACACACUCGUGUUGUCGAAAGUUGGCAAUUGUGUAGCGCGUGUAUAAUAUGACAUAGGACUAGGUGAAGGUGUAUGUAUUGUUGCAAAACCAUAUUUUUGCUCGCCAAUUUUAUCAUUUGGAAAAGAUUCAUCCUCUUAUAAAACUCUACUUUUAUUGCAUUAUAAUGAGGAACUAGCCCCUUAUCAUGCUCUUCAAGGCAAAGAGCACUUCCCUUGUUGUUUCAGGACGUGUCUCUUUUUAAUAUAGGUACUUCCAUCCCGGCCGUAAGGGAUUGCUCCACAAUACUUUUAGAUCUCGACAAUGCGAUGUUGCCAAAAUUGUGCAAUUGCGUAGAGGAUGCAUUAUAUGCUACAAUAUUAGAUGAUGUCAUGUGCACUCCUGCACAAUUUUCACUUAUUCAACUAUGACCAUGAAGCUUUGAAGUUGAAUUGUGAGCAUCUACAGUUGUGUACGGUGCCAAAAAAUUACUAACACAUGAGGUGUAGCAUAUGACGGUUGACAGUAACUGGUCGAAUAGUUAGUGGUAGCAUGGCCAAUUCUCCCAUCCAUCAGCAAUGGGGUAUUUAUUCCAGGCCGGCGGUAUCAUUGUUGAGCGAUCGCUCGGUUGAACUAGUACAUUGUAAAUUAGCUGUCCAAGAAUAAAAAGGUCAAACACUUUGUUGCAUGCUAUUGGAACUUCCUACACAAUGUGUUUCAAUUUGAUUGACCAAACUCAUCAUGUUGUUCAUCCGCAUAACGAUUUGUGGAGUUGCUGAUGGAUGAGAGUUUAAAUACAUAUGGUGCAUGUUACUAGUAUCAUAAGUUGAAGCACGUAUAUAACCUUGAAUUGGCCUUUGCAUGUGAUUAGAUGCAUGAUUGAAACAACUAGGGAUGGUCGAUAGAGUAUACUCAUUGAACGAUCUAGUAAUACCAUAUGAAUUAUUUGUAUGUACACUAGGGAAUUGGGUAUUCGUAUCACCUUUGUAGAUUUCAAACCCUAGAUGACGGUCUCUUCAUACCAAGAACGGGUUAGGGAUUGUUCGAAGUUUCGUCCCUAGCAGAGUCACCAAAAAGUGUGUUCGCACACGAACACAUUACUGUGCACCCUUACUGUCGAGGGUGACACAUUAAAGGAGACCAGUUUGAAAAAGCGGUUCACAAGUAGUCCGACGAGCACUUUUGUAGAUCCGAAACUCCCACAUGGCCGAAAGGGACCCCGUCAAAGCGCAUGGUGGCUAUGGGCUACAUUAGGUCGACCUGACCGCCCCUAGGGCCUUGUGGUUCGCCCAAUAGGAAGAACGAACAAAAGAACGAGGAAGAAGAAGAACUAGGGUUAAGGAGAAAAGUUAAAGGUAAAAAUUGGUAGAUUGAUUUUGCAGUUGUGUGUUGUUCAAUCGUCUGUCAUCUCUUAUCUAUUUAUGAGGCGAUUGGACUUUCCAUACAAGAAAAGGACAAAAAAAAUCCGUUUCAAAUAUCUAAAAUCCUAACCUAACUCGGACAGGAAUCUUUUGUAAUUUUCCGUCUUAAUUCGGGCCCUCCAAGUGGUUUCGUUCAGUCUCACCGAGUGGACGUUGCCAACUUUCUGUAAUCUUUUGUAUCUCACUCGAAAGUUCCAAAUGGGUUUCACUCGGUCUCACCGAGUGCACUGGAUGCUUCGUGAAUUUUUUUUCCAACACCAACUCGGUCUCACCGAGUCAAAUACACUCGGUCUGUCCAAAGUGACUCUGCGGUUUUUGUUCUUGACCUUAUUUUGACUCCACAGGUCGCAUACGAUCUAAGAUUAAGAUAAUUUUUCUAUCAAAUUCAACCAUUUCGAUGAGCCAGACAACUUUGAUGUUGAACACAUUUUCAUCAGAGUCCAUCUUAAUUAUGUUUCAUGACAUAUUAUAAUCUAAUAUCAACACGAGCAUGUGUAAAAUUUCAUAACUUUUGCAUCUGAACUCCAUUUUGGCCCAUCCUCGUAUCCAUCUUUGAUCUCCUUGAAUAGAACAGAACCAUCCGAAGGUGACUUUCAAUCGUAAGUUUGAAUUAAUUUUGACAUAGCUUAAGUUACUUUUAUGACUGUCACUUUUGAGCGCCGACAAUGGCCUAGUAUUUUCCUGGAGUUGUUGCCACUCUCUUAUACUUCUCCCGGAAGAGUUUUUCUGAUAGCCAUUCUGUCCAAAUCGUUCUCCAGGCUUUCUUCACUGUCUUAUUCUUUAAGAAGGCAAUGAGUUGUAUCUGUGAAAUUCUGUGUCAGCAAUUAGUUAUAUCUGUGAAAUUCUGUGUCAGCAGUGCUAUAUCGGGCUCUAGUGCGCCGCCCAUACUUGACAGCGAACCCAGCCUGUGCCAUGGUAUACCAUGAAGCGGAGACGUGCUCAUGGGCCCUGCGCUGAUCGCCGUCCAUAUCCGAUUCCAGCGAUUUGACACCGAAUCAGCCUACCUAUCUCACUGGGCAUGUUGGACCUCCGGUAGGCACACGUCGACAUUGCUUUCCAUAUAUUGUAUGUUGUCAUCCUCACACCACGAAAUUGUACUCUGCACAUUAGUUGAUGGGUAAUAAAGCAACGAAAAGGACAUGCACAACGCUGCACCCUCGCAGAUUCACCCAAAGGCUAGGUUGUUCACGCAUCAGGUGGACACGCUCUAGCUCUCGAACUUUCAGAAGACCAGAUGGUAUGUCAGUUGGCAAUCCUUUUCCCUUUCUGUCGUUUCUACGGACACUGUAACUUGCAUGGUUAAUUAUCUGCCGCGGUAUACCUUUAUUCUUGAGGUUGGUCCGUAGUAUGGGUUGGAUCAAUGGUGUUCCCAUUGCGUUGGUCAUAUUUCCGUUGUUCCUUUUCCUUCGUAGUACCUGCUCACGAAUAUACACGUCGAACAGAAUGCAUAAAACAGAAGCGCUUACAUCCAAGUUGGCAUAGAUGCACGUACUCCAGACUUAACUAAUCACACCAUCAUCACCAUGCAUAAAAGGGUUAUGCACUACCAGCUUUGAGCGGUGCCCAUGAUCCAUUGUCAUCGGCUUCCGCUUUUCAAAGUAUAAUAGACCAAACGGGAGAUCAGCUCAUAUGCCGUAAUUAUUGUUGCCCACGGAGCUGACAGCACAUCUUAGCUUCAUGUUAUCUGUAAAACUCUAACUCGUCUCGAACGUAGCUGUGAUGUCCUCUGUUUUCACGGCAUGCACGCAUGAAUAAGAAUAGAAUGUACUCCAUACGUGCUAGCUCGUUGUACAUCUAAUUAGUUUAUUACUAGACCACUCUUCGAUUAAAAAGUAACAUUAUCAGGCCCUUCCCGAUUGAUGAUCCUAGGCAGUAGCACUGGCGUAUUCCGCGUUCAUCUCACGCUAUGCACUAUGAUUAUCUCACGGCUCUCAAUCGGUAACAGUUUCCAGUAGUACCAAAUCAAGUCCAAUGUUCUGAACCUAACGCUAUUGUAGCUGCAAUGUUCGUAGCUAGCUAGUGUCCACGCACAUCAUUGCGCUCUUGCACACGAUUUGGUCAUGUGGGAAUCAUCAUCCUUAACCUGUGCACCUCAGUCCACUCAACGUAGCUGCAUUCAUUCAGGCUAAACACAGUAGGAGUAACUUAGAGCAUCUCUAACAAACCUCGUAAAAGGACACCACCCGUAUAAUUCUGACGAGUAUCUGGUUCUGGUGUGUUUUUCUUAUCAGGACAGACUCCAUAUCCCGUGCGCGGCCCCUAAAAAGUUUAGGGUGGCCUGAAAAAAGGCCCUCUCCAUCAUUAUUUAUGUGGUUUCAUUGUUCGGAUACGGGUCAAACCCUAUCCGCCUUCGCCGCCGCUCCACCACGAUUCCCCUCCCCCUUCGCCCCAAUUUCUCGUCAUCGACGAGCCUAAAAAAAGUCCUAGCGACCCUUCCCGACCCAUGAACGACUACGGAAGUGGUGGGGAUGACGCGAAGCGCCGCCGACGCCGCACGCAAACGGAAGGGGGGGAGUGGAUCAACUAUGGGAGCCGGCUACCACCGACGUUCGAACAUCGCGAGGUCGACGAGUACGAGCGAGAUCUCGCGGUCCACGUCCAAGGAGAUCUUCCUCGAGCAGGGUGUCGCGGCGUCGCACGCGCAAGCGUCCAAGGAGACGGACCUGAUCAUCGACCUCAACUCCGACGAGGACUGAGCACAUCUGGCUCCUCCGUCAUAUCAUGGCCGACGCAGGCUCGUGUACACUGCACGGCCCGCAGAUCUCCCCCUAUGUAGCACUAUGAUGUAGUAUGAUAAGCAACUUCUAUGAUGCAGUAUGAUAAUCAACUAUGUAUGAUGAAUGCCAUUGUAAGUUUCUCCCAUUAAUGUUUUUUCCCAAAUUUUAUAGUUUCAUAUACGGGGUCUUUAUCUGCAGCGCAUAAAUUAGCCCCGCAAAUCUGAUCUGUGGCGAACUAUAAACGUGCUUUUCGGGUCCAACUUUUACGGGGUCUGUUAUACAAGUACAUAACACACUUCAAGGCAGGUUUAUUUAUGUGGCAAGCAGUUUAUAAUGCAAGAGGUGAUUCUGCUAUAAUAAUACACUACCAAAAGAGUUGGGCGAGCUUUACUGCACCAUUAGUGUUGUUGGGUUUUCAUGUUUUAUUGUCUCAAUCUGUUUCAAAAUAUAAGGUCUAUUAGUUUUUUAAAAGUCGAACCUCUUUAAGUUUCAUCAAAUCUGCAGAGAAGUAUAUCAAAAUCCAUAAUAUGAAUUUGGUAUCACUAGAUUCAUCAUGAAAUAAAUUUCUAUAUUUUAUUUUAUUUUAUUUUGUAUUGUGGAUGUCGAUAAUUUUGGCUGUGAACUUGAUCAAAGUCAAAGAAAAUUGACUUUUCAAAAAACUAUUACACCUUAUAUUUUGGAAGUGAGGAAAUAUUUGUUUUCGCGAGUGGGAAAGAUGGUGGCGUGUGUUUUAUUUUAAUUUAUAUAAUGUGGUGUUUUGGUGUGUCUUUCGCACUGUGAUUCUUUGUUAUCUGCGAAUCAACUCAUAUUUAUGUGAGGAAUUUUUUUGCGUCACUGAGUGCAUGUACUAAAUUGGUUCUAGUGUAUCACAUGGUGGUGCUUCUUUUGUCUAGGUGAUGAGAGGAAGCGCGGAAUUGAUGUGUUUUAUAGGCUGGUUGUUGCUAAUUGAAUUGAAAAAUCGUUGGCCGGUAAAAUCAUGAAUCAAAUUCAAAACUGAAUACCUCAUUCGAAUGGAAGAGUUUCAAAUUUAGGAAGCAUGGUGAAUUAAUUGGAAUGAGAGAACUCCUUGAGAAAUUGAAUGAAAUCGGAUGACCCAAUUCUAAAUUGGGGACCUCAAUUGAUUAUGAGCGCUUCAAAAUCAGUGAGCCUCGUGUAUUAAAAGAAUUGAAUGAGUGAACUCCUUAAGAAAUUUUUGACCCUAUCAAAAUCGUAUGACCCAAUUUUAUUGAUUGCGAGGCCUUAAAAGUUAGGGAACAUAGUCUAUAGUACUAGAAAGACUGGACGUGAUUUGCUGCAUCGUUGGUGUUGUUGGGUUGUUAAAUAAUUACCCAUUCUGUUUCAAAAUAUAAGAUGUAUAUUAUUACGUUUUUGAAAAAUCAAACCUUUUAAGUUUGAUCAAUUUUGUAGAGAAAUAUGUCAAAUCACAUAAUAUUUAAUCAGUGUGAUUAGAUUCAUCAUGAAAUGAUUUUCUAUUAAAAAAUAAUAUUGUGGAUGUUGAUAUUUUUUGCUCUCGUUGUUGGUGAAAUUUGACUUUUCGAAAAACUAAUACCCCUUAUAAUUUGAAAUUGAUGGAAUUUACUUUGGCCGAUGAAGGAGAUGAUGGACUGAGUUUUAUUUUUAUUUAUAAUGCGUUGAUGUGAUGACCUUUCAUGGUGUGAUUAUGUGUUAUCUCGUAACUGAUACGUCUUCAACGUAUCGGUUAUUUAUGAAGUAUUCAUGUCAUGUUUGUCUAUGUUUACAACACUUUUAUAUGGUUUAGAUGCACUUUAUAUGAUUUAUUUAGAACUAACCCGGACUGACGCUAUUUUCUGCAGAAUUAUCGUGGGUUUUUUUGUGUGUGUUGAAAAUGAAAGUUCUCGGAAUCACCCAAAACAUUUAUAUAUUUUUUCUGGAGGAAAUAAGCAACAUUGGAGCGAAGAACUACCGGAGGGGAGCCACCUGUGGGCUACAAGCCAACAGGCCCCCACCCCCUAGGUCGUGUUGUGAUGGCUUGUGGGACCACAUGGCUCCGUUUGGCGUGAUUCCAACACUGAAAAAUCCUAUAUAUACUAAAACCUCCAGAAAUAAAGAAAGACCUUCUGCUCGGCUGGCACAACUCUCACUACUAGGAAAAACCUUAUAGGCAUUAUGUUGCAUAUUAUCGUUCAAAUUAUGUUGCAUAUUAUCGUUCAAAUCAUGCCUCUUUGUUUUCUUAAGUACAUUAUGUUGCAUAUUAUCGUUCAAAUCAACAACUCACGAUGCAGGUACCUAGAUCAGAGAUGGCGAAGGACUACUACGCCGUGUACGUUGGGAGGGUUCCAAGAGUCUACGACCACUGGCCAGCCGCUCAGGCCCAGGUGCACAGGUACCCGGGUGCUAGCCACAGAGGGUUCGACACCAGAGCCGAAGCGGAAAGUAGUUACUUGAGGUGGGGUACUACAUAGCCGCGCUCUUCAUCAUGCUGAUUGCUCUUCACUUCUACAUCAUGUUGUAGAUAGAGAUGAUGAAACUUGUGGGUGUGUCAUGACCAUGCAGUUGUACUUAUUCGAGACAUGACAUGAUCGCACUUAUGUAUUGCUAUUUUUGAGAUGAUGUGAUGAUAUUUGUGUUGAAUGAUGAUGAUGAUGAUGGUAUGACGAGACUACUGUAUGUCUAUGAUAUGUGAGAAUAGUGUAUGUUUAAUAUGAUGUGAUGAAACUAUUGUAUAGAGCAUGUAUAAAUACACCACAAAUACGUAGAGGGUGCAAAUCUGUGAAAGCAGAAAUACUUACCAGUAGCGCUUAAAAAUACUUACCAGUAGCGCGGCUUAGCAGCAACGCGCCAUAUGAACAAGCGCUACAACUAUAGUUAUCAGUAGCGCUGGACAAGGAAGCGCUACUACUAACACUACUUACCAGUAGCGCUGCCCAUACCAGCGCUACUACUAGGGUUUAGCUGUAGCCGAUAGCAGUAGCGCUUGGCCCAGCGCUACUACUAUGCAUAUUUCAAGCGCUACUACUAGGGUUUUCCCUAGUAGUGUCUGUGUAUCGACGAGAAACCAAUCUGAAUAGAAAAAACAGUAGCGAAAACAGGAGAGAAAUAGAGAGAGGGGUCCAAUCUUGGAGGGGCUUUCGCCCCUCCGGGAGCCAUGGUGGCCAAGGACCAGAGGGGAGAACCUCUCCCCAUCUAGGGAAAGGCCAUGAAGGAGGAAGCCUAAGGGGGAGACACUCUCCCCUCUGUUCCUGCAGCGCUGGACUGCCUUUGGAGGAACCAUCCCCGUGGUGAUCGUCUUCAUUAACAUCACCGUCUACAUCACCUUUGCUCAUCUAUCUAUGGCGGUUCACUCUCCCACAUCCCAUUGUAAUCCCCUACUUGAACCUGGUAUUUCACGCCACAUAUUAUUAAUCAAUGAUGUGUUUCCAUCCUAUGAUGUUUGAGUAGAUUUAUGUUGUCCUUUGGGUUGAUUGAUUUUUGUGUAUGUUUUAUUUUGUGUUGUCCUAUGGUGCCCCUCGUGUAGCACGCACGUGAGGGAAUUCUUGUUGUAGGGUUUGCAAUAUGUUCAUGAUUCGCUUAUAGUGGGUGGCUAGUGUGACAUGAGAUUACAACCGAGUAAGGAAGUUGUUUGCCUACGGGAGUAAAGGAGACUUGAUGUUUAAUAUUAUGGUUGGGUUUACCUUCAUGAUCUCUAGUAGUUGUCGAUGCUUGCUAUAGAUCAAGUCAUAAGUUCAUAUGAUCCAAGUACGGAAAGUAUGUUAGCUCAUGCCUCUCCCUCAUAUAAAAUUGUAAAAAAGAUUAUCGAUCUUUGUUAUCUAUUGCCUAGGAUUAUUCCGCACUCCAUACCAUCAUUCUUCCACACUAACUAUUUGUAAUAUAUUCUAAGUUUAUUUAAUGGAACAACUAUUUUCAUAUUUUUGUUCCCCAAUAUCAUGCAAAGUUACCCUCUUUAUACCCAAAAACAUACUUUUAAAUAGCGAAGAUAGCAUCCGCUAUUGCGUCCGCAACAGCGCUAGCGCCAUAGCGACCGCUAUCACUAAAAUUAAAUGGCAUUAGCUUUUCUUCAUGUUCUAGUGAUAUAAACAAGAAUUUAGUGUUUUUACAAAUCUGUUGCGCAGACAAAGCACCUGCAGUCUCGCGUGCUAUCCUCAUUCCACCAUGCUUAACCCAAUCCGCUACGAGUCCGCUAUCCGCUAUUUAAAACCAUGCCCACAACGCAAUUUUAUUUCUUGUUACUAGAUAGAAGCAAACGUUCGGUGUAUGUAGGGUUUGGUAAAUAGGACUUGAGAUAAUAUUGAUCUUACCUUUAGCUCCUUGUGGGUUCGAUACUUCAUACUUAGAAAUUCCUUGUGUAGAAAAUGCUAUGAUGAUUUCUUGCACUUGGGGAUUAUCAGUAGCCAACAUAUAUUUAUACAGGAAAUUUUAUGUGUCGGCAACUGCAUUGGUAUGUUGAUGUUACAUUAUCACAUGAUGGUGUUUAUUUUUAUGGGUGGUGGGAGGGUGCAUGGAAUUGACAUGUUUUUUAGGCCAGUGGUGCUCACUGAUUUGAAAAUCGAUGGUCCGACGAUAUCGCAAACCGAAUACAAAAUUGAAUACCUCAAUUAAAUGAAAGAUGAUGAGGAUAUGGCUACCUUGGGUACGAUAAAUAAUAUUUUAUAUUUGCAUAUUUAUGUGGUGAUUUAUUAUAAUAAUUAUGUAAUAAUUUAUUUGUGUUAUCCGGAACAAAAAUACUUCACCUAUUUUUACUCCAUGCCUAAAUGUAGAAUUAUCGAACGUUUGCACGAACCACAUGUGAAGAUAAAGAAAGAGGAAAUAAUUAGGUGUUGUUAAAGAAGUCGUUUCACAUCAAAGGAAAUUAUUAUGUGUUGUUCAAGAAGUUCUCUCACAUUACUUUUGGGCCAAGAGAAGAUAAAGUUCAAGUCUCUGACGUUCUUGACUCAGAUUCGGACUGCACACACAUACGUGUCUCAAAACAUCAACAACUUUUUCAUACGGACUCUGAAUUGGGUGAUUCUUUUUUUUGUAAAUUACAUUUUAUGUGCGUUCCAUCCCAAUUAGAAUCGCCUUAAAAUUCUUUCGGACCGUGGAGAUGUCGACGAAACAAUCUGACGUUGCACGAGAAUUCGAGUCAAACUACAAGUCCAAAGGUGUCGCAUCACCUCCACUUGGGCCCAUAGGCCUUGUACGACCUAUGGUUAGUUUUAGGCUGCCUUGGGUUGUCCUCCCACCUCCAUGACCGCCACCCCUUGAUCCUAUAUAAGUAGAUCUACCUAGUAUCUUUUUUAUGGGGAUUUGUUUAGUUAAAUUUAAUGGUAUUUCCGCGGCAGAUGCCAGGAGUGGCUUAGAAUGUGGUUUGGGGUCGAUGGACGCCAGCGACGUCUAGGAACGGGUGAUGGAGCGAGACAUAUGACAUCGAUCUAUCCAGGUUCAGGGUCCUCCGAUGAGGUAAAAAUCCAUAGUCCUGCCGGUUUGACUAUAUGAGAUCACAAUACAAUGGUCCUCCUUGAGCUAUUCGUGAGGAGGGACACGAAGCUCUUGCUGCCUCGGUGGUAUGUGUCUAAGGGUUCGCUAGUUUUCUUCUCCCAUUCUCUUAGGGGAUUGGGGUUCGGAUUUAUAGUGUAGCCAAAUGUAUGCAAUAAUGGGUAGAAAUGGGGUGCGGGGCCCGACUUUCAGCCUCUCUACCUGGCUGUGAGGCUCGCCGGCUGUCGGAUCUUGUCUGGCGCGGGUCCCGUCGGACGUGUGCUGCGGCGAAUAAUGCACCGGCCGCCAGGGAGUUGGUAGGGGUAGGCCCUAGCGGCCACCUCGCUCGGUCAGCCUCGGGCGUAACCGGUGGUGCUGUAGCCACGCCGAGCCUUGCAUGAUGACGCGUGUAGCUGCGCCGGCACUGUCAACAUGCACUGUAGCCAUGUGCGCCCCUGCGCUGAGGGUAUGGUCUUGUUCAUCGUACCUCAAUAUGACCGGAUGGGAUUGGCGCUGACCCACUUGCUGCUGCCAGCCGACCCGUCGUGCGCUGGCCAAACGAGCCGUCUGUGGCCAUCCGGCCAAGGGCGCCCAGCCAAAAGGGUCAAACGCCAAUAUUCGGCCCGUCACACGGUGGCUAGGCGAGCCGCGUGUAUCCAGCCGCCUAGGGGGGCAGACGGCCCGAAUGUCAAGCAGAGGGAUUCCCUCUGCUUUGGUAUACCCAAGGGCCAUAACCCCGUUAGUAGCCCGCAAAACCGUUGGGGUCUGGAGGCCUCCAGGCGAGGGGCCAGUGGUUUAUCCCUCCCCUCCGCCUGAAGGUGUUAUCGAAGUUGAUACGCCCGCCGGAGCCGGCGAGCGGGGACGCGUGUCCCCAGCCGGCUGUGGUGGCAGCCGGUUGUGUCUUAGUCGAACAUUGCGGCGCCUCGGAGGGUCGGAGGUAGAUAAGAGGCCCACCACCACGCGCGCGAUGGGACAUCGCUACAUGCCCGACCUGGCACACCUCAGCCCACGCGCGGUAUCAUUUGUGGCCGUGGACCGACGGUUGUGGUUACCCACGCUGUUUAAUGCGCGUGGGGAUCAUGUGUUAGUGGGGGACGUGGGCGUAACCGAUCGCACGCCCCCACGUCUCCCCCGAGGCUUUAAAAGGGGGGAGACCCGUUUCGCCAUUGCCUCCCCUCGUCCCACCUUCAUUUUUCCCUUGCGAUGGUGCUCUCCGUCGUCGUCCUUACUACUCACGCCUGGAGCACUCGCCGCUGCCGCCACCCCUCCUCGCGGGCGGAGCGCACACCGCCAUCUUUCCUCCAUCCUUCGCAUGUAGUGCCUCCCUGUGGUCGAUCCUAUCGGGAGUUGCAUCUCUCGCCUCCUUUUCUCCGCUUCAUUGCCGGCGACCGACGAGAUGGUCGGACCACCCGCCGGCUCGUGGGAGGGCUCGAUCAUGACGGAUGAACACAUCGACUACCUCCAGCGGACGCGGAAACUCCCGCCCGCGGAGCUUGAUACGUGUCCAACGUAUCUACAAUUUACGAAGUAUUCAUGACAUGUUUACAAUAAUUCUAUAUGAUUUUGGUAUGAUUUCAUUAGAACUAACCCGGCUCAUGUUGUUUUCAGUAGAGCUACCGUGGUGUUGUUUCUGUGCAAAAAUAAAAGUUCUCAGAAUAGGCUGAAAAUUUACGGAGAAUAUUUUUGGAAAAUAUGAAUAAAAUGGAGCAAAAAGAUAUCAGAGAGGAGUCCCAAGGCAGUGAUAAGCCACCAGGCCCCCCCCCUAGGGCACUCCCCUCGCUUAUAAGCCCCUCGAGCACUCCCCUGACGUGAUUCCAACGCCAAAUAUUCUUAUAAAUACAGAAACCCUCGAAAAGAAACCAAGAUCAGGAAUUCCGCCGUCGCAAGCCUCCACAGCCACGAAAAACCAAUCUUGUCCCUCUCUGGCACCCUGCCGGAGGGUGUCACCAUGACCGGAGACCAUGGACGAGGAAGACGGAGGGGCCAUAAUCACGAUGGAGGCCAAGGACCAGAGGGAGAACCUAUCCCCGCCUUGGGGCGGCCAUGGAGGAGUAGGCACAAGGGGGAGACCCUCUCCCCCUCUAUCAGGGUGGUCCCGGAGUGCCACCAGGACAACAAUCGCCGCAGUGAUCGUCUUCAUCAACAUCACCUUCUUCAUCACCAUCCUCAUGUUCUUUUAGCGGUCCACCCUCCCGCACCCCGUUGUAAUCUCCUACUUGAACAUGGUGCUUUAUGCCACAUAUUAUGAUCCAAUGAUGUGUUUCCGUCCUAUGAUGUUUUAAGUAGAUUCCCUUUGUCUCAUGGGCCGAUUGAUGAUCUAGAUUGGUUUGAGUUGCCUGCUUUAUUAUUGGUGAUGUCCUAUGGUGCUCUCCAUGUCGCGCAAGCGUGAAGGAUUCCCGUUGUACGGUGUUGCAAUACGUUCAUGAUUCACUUAUAGUGGGUUCUUGAGUGACAGAAGCAUAAACCCGAGUAGAUGGGUUAUUGCGUAUGGGAUAAAGGGGACUUGAUGCUUUAAUGAUAUGGUUGGGUUUUACAUUAAUGAUCUUUAGUACGAUUGCUUGCUAGAGUUCCAAUCAUAAGUGCAUAUGAUUCAAGUAGAUAAAACAUGUUAGCUUAUGCUUCUCCCUCAUAUAAAAUCGCAAUAAUAAUUAUCGAUCUUGUUAACAAUUGCCUCAGACAAUUCCGCACACCGACCCAUCCUCAUUCCACACUCACUAUUUGUAAUAUAUUCUAACUAUACGAUAACAGCACCUAUUUUUAUAUUUUAGUUCUUCGAUGUCAUGCAAAGUUAUUCUCUUCAUACCCACAAUGUAUUUUUAUUUCUCGUUCCUAGUUGGAAGCAAAUGUUUGGCAUACGUAGAGUUGUAUCAGUGGCAGAUAGGACUUGAGAGAAUAUUUCUCUUACCUUUAUCUCCUUGUGGGUUCGACACUCCAUACUUAUCACUUCCACCUUUGAAAAUUGCUACGAUGAUUCCUUGCACUUGGGGAUUAUUAAGCUCUUUUCUGGCGCCGUUGCCGGGGAGCAAUAGCGUGGGGUUGAUAUUCUUGUGUGUGCUUGUUUUCUUUCUUCACUAAGUAGGUUUUGUUUUCCAUUUUUUCUUUGUUUAGUUGUGGAUUAAAUAAAAAAUUACUUGCCUCUUAUAACUAAGAAUUUUUCAAAAAGAGAAGUGAUUGGAAGGUUGUGCAUUGGAGAAGUGACGGUCGACCUUGAGCACUUGUGUUCAUGAUCAUGGAAGCAAUGUAGAAUUUUUCAUGGAAGUUUAUCAAAAAUAAUUAUGCCCUUGUAUAUAUCCAUUGUAUUAUAAAAUAAUGUGCCAAGAUUUUCCUUUAGGAUGAUUGGAUUGCUUGUUUGGUGUGUUCAGUGCAAAAACAGAAAUUUUGGCUGUACUGCGUGAAUUUACGUUUUUUACUAGAAGGUCGCAAGUUUCUGAAUUUUUUACACAGUACUCCUAUGCAAAAAAAUUAUUUAUUCCUAAUUAUUCAGAAUUUUUUUAGUUACAUAAGUAUACGAAGUUUCCAGAUUGCUAAAAACUAUCUUGUUUUUGAUAGGUUCUGUAUUCUAUGCAUUGUUCUCUUAUUUUGAUGAAUCUAUGGGUAGUACCAGGGGGUACGAACCAUGGUGAAGUUGGACUACAGUAGAUAUAAUGUUAAUAUGAAUUUGGAAUGAGUUCACAAUAGUACUUAAGUAGUAUUUUUCUUUAUUAUACUAACGGAUCUCGCGAGGGUUUUGUUAAGUUUUGUGUGAAUGAAGUGUUCAAAGAUCGAGGAUGUAUCGAUAAAAGAAGAAUAUAGAGAGACAAUAGUUCAAGCUUGGGGAUGCCCAAGGCACCCCAAGUAAAUAUUUCAAGGAUUUUCAAGAAUAUAAGCUUGCGGAUGCCCCGGAAGGCAUCCCAUCUUUAUUCUUCAACAAUUAUCGGUAUACCUUGGUUUUUGUUUUGUUCACAUAAUAUGCUUCUUUAGUGUUUUUGUUCUCUUUUUAUGGACACUUCUAGUAUGAGAUAGUCCUUCAUUGAUUUAUAAAAUUCUUCAUGCUCUUCACUUAAAUAUUUUGAGUAUUUCUUUGUGGAAUGCUCUUUGUGUUUCACUUAAAUCGUUUGAGUAUGGCUCUGUAGAAUGCUCUUCGUACUUCACUUAAAUCUUUUGAGUAUAGCCUUAUAGAAUGCUUCGUGUGGUUCACUUAUAUAUUUUGAGCUUGGAUAUUGGUUGAUAUAUAUUAAUUGUAUAAUUCCCUAUGAACUUCACUUAUAUCUUUUAGAGUAUGAAUAAAAUCAUCAUCGGAAUUAGGCUUGGAAGGGAAUCAUUGAAAUAACCAUGCCUAACUAAAAGGCAUUAAAGAAAAGCGCUUGUUGGAAGACAACCCAACACUUUUACCUUCUGUUUUAAUGAGUUCACAAGAUUAAGCUACUGUAUUAAUCAUGUUUUGUGUCUUUUGUUGCUAUAAACUGCCAAGUAAAGCCUUUGGGAUGACUCACAAGAUGACUAGAAUUGAUGUUGAACCAAAACAGAAACUUUUGACUCCGGUACAGGAAUUUUUAUUUUUUACCGGAGCAUGAUAAUGAUCUUAAAUUUUUACAAAUUCUUUAUAUAUAAAUUAUUCUGGUUGUCCUAAUUUUUUCAGAAUUUUUAGAGACAGGUACGUAUGGCUAUACUACAGAUCUUCACAGACUGUUCUGUUUUUGACAGAUUCUAUUUUGCAUGCAUAGUAUGGUUAUUUUAGUGUUCCCAUAGCUUAUAUUCAGUAAUAUAAAUUAUGGUAAUGAUAGAAUAAAGUAGGUAUCAUGUGGUAACAAUUAUGAAUCUUGUCUUGACAGUACCUAAGUGAAUGAUCUAUCUUUUUUACACUAACCCUUCUCACGAAGUUCCGUUAAGUUUUGUGUGAUUGAAGUUUUCAAGUUUUGGGUGAGACACCGAUAUGAGGAGAACAAGGAGUGACAAGAACCUAAGAUUAGGGAUUCCCAAGGAACCCCCAAGGUAAUAUCCAUGGAAUACUCAAGUGCCUAAGCUUGAGGAUGCCCCGAAAGCAUCCCCUCUUUCGUCUCCAACGCUAUCGGUAAUCUUACUUAGAGCUAUAUUUUUAUUCAUCACAUAAUAUGAGUUUUUAUUGGAGCAUCAUUUUAUUUUGUUGAUUUAUGUUAGGUGCUAUAUAUAAAAAAAAUCAAUAAAAAAGUUUCAAGAAUUGCAUUAGGAUGCUUGCAUUGCAUGGUUUGAUGUGUGUUAUGUAAAAACAAAAACUCUUUAUGUAGUUUUUGAAUUUGCAUAUUUUACUAGAACAUGGAAAGUUUAUGAAAUUUUUACACAGUGUUAUCAUACAAAGUUUAUAGCAUGUCCUAAAUGUUCAUAAUUUUUUGAGUUACACAAGUACAAUGUUUUCAUAUAUUGCUACACACUGUUCUGUUUGGACAAAUUGUUGUUAUAGUUUUGUUAUCUACUUAUCCUAUAGUUUCCAUAGCCUAUAUUGGUAGAUAUAAAUUGUGGAAAUGAUAGUAAACAGUAGAUGAUGUUUGAAAAUUAUUAUACAACUUGUCUUGGCAGUAAAUGAAGAGUUGAUUUAUUAUUGUGUGGACUAACCUAUCUCACGAGUUCUUUUCGAGUUUUGUGUGGAUGAAGUUUUUGAGAAUAGGUGAAACCAUGAUAUGAGAGGAUUGAACGAGAUACGAAAGCUCAAUCUUGCGGAUGCACAAGGCACCCCAAGUAAAUAUUUCAAGGACUCUCAAGCAUCUAAUCUUGGGUAUGCUACGCAUCCCACCUCUCUUCGUCAACUAUCGGUUAGCCUAUGUUGAGCCUAAAUUUUUAUUCGUUCACAUGACACAUCCUAUUCUUGGAGUGUUAUUUUUCUUUUGCUUGAUGUUUAAAUAAAAUACUCAGAUCUGAAAAUCUUUAUUGAGGGAGAGGGUGAAAGUCCUCACAUAGCUACUUAAUUGUUUGACUACUCAUUCAUCUUCACUUAUAUGUUUUGGAGUAGUUUUGUCAUUUACUCUCGUGCUUCACGUAUAUCCUCUAAGUAAAUAGUUGAGUGAAUUGAAUAUCGUAAAUCUGAAAUUAUAUAUAUUUUAAAUUAUAGGUGGUAAAAUUUAUUGAACGUUAGCAAACAAUGCAUUGGCCACUUGAUCAAUUCAUGAAAUAAUAUUGAAGGAAGAGAGAGUCCACAUAUAAAUAUACUAUCUUGGACAUCUUCUAUGAUUGCGAGCCCCAUUAAUUAUUUUCAAAAUUCAUCAAAUUAGUUGAUGUUCGGCAAGGAAGACAACUUAAUGAGUUAUGUUUGGGUAUAUUUGCAUAGAAAUUAUAUUGUUAUGGAUCCUCCAACAUGUGGUGCUUGUUUAGAACCUUUUGCUAGCCAACACUGCGUACUAAGUAUAGAUACUACUUGUGCAUCCAAAAAUCCUUAAACCUAGUUUCUUGCCAAGAGAGUCCACUAUAUCGACCUAUAUGCCGUAUUUACCUGCCGUUCCAAGUAAAUUUGCAUGUGCCAAACUCUAAACCUUCAAAUAAUAUUAUGUUCUGUAUGCCCGAAUCGCUCAUGUAGUGACUAGGGGUUGUGAGUAUCUUCCAUGCUAGGUGGGUUAUUCUCAAGAUAUGUGUUGAUUCACUAUCAUUCACGAGAAAGUGGCUGGUAUUCGGGAUGCUGAGUUCCAUGCUCAAAAAUCAAAUCAAAAUAUAAGGAAACAAAACUCCCCCAAGAUUGUUGUUUGUAUGGUUGGUACCCGUGGAUUCGGCUCACUAUGGAGUGUGAUUGAUUUGUGAAGGGGGAGUAAAAACUUUACCAUUCUGUUUGGGAACCUCCUAUAAUGUAUCUAGCAUGGCAGAUACCAAUAUCUCUUGGUUGUUAUGUUGACAAUGAAAGCAUACUUCUGAAAAUUAUUAUUCAUCUCUAUUUUAAAAACUCGAGCUCUGGCACAUAUGCAAAUCACUACUUCCCUCUGCGAAGGGUCAAUCUAUUUACUUUCAUGUUAUUUACUAUUCUUGUUGAGUUAACUUAGUUUUCCAACCUCAAAGUAUUAGUUGGCAAGCAUCAUGUGGUGGGGAAAGAUCCACACAUAUAUAUGCGAACAAAUAUAUUUGAUCAUGAAUUAUAAUUGUUGACAAUUAUAAAUAUGAUAAAUAAGUUGUGAGGCGAAACUUUAAGCCCCUAUCUUUCUCCUUGUUAGAUGGAUGUUAUUUGUUCUAAAAAUAUGCUUUGAAUGUCAAUAAUCAUGGAAUCCUUCCUAAAAAUAAGAUGAAUUGCAAUUAUUCGAUGACUGAAAGCAUAGUUUGUUAGUUUUCAAGAAACUUUAUGGUCUACACUUUAACACGUGAAUAGCUUGUUACUUCAUCAUGAUAAGUUUUAUGAUAUGAGCUACUGUUUAUGAUAUAUAAUGAUGCUAGAAAAAGUGUUUGGAACUAUCAUUGAUCAAAUUUAUACACUAUGCUAGCAUUCACACUUCCUAAAUUAUUUCUUUCAUCAUUUACCUACUCGAGGACGAGCAGGAAUUAAGCUGGGGGGUGCUGAUACGUUUCCCAUGUAUCUAUAAUUUAUGAAGUAUUCAUGCCAUGUUUACAAUAAUUCUGUAUGAUUUUCGGUUGAUUUUAUUAGAACUAACCCGGACUAAUGAUGUGUUCAGCACACUAUCACGGUAUUGUUUUUGUGGAGAAAUAAAAGUUCUCGGAAUGUGCUGAAAAUUUACGGAGAAUAUUUUUGGAAAAUAUGAAAAGUAAUGGAGCAAAAAUAUGCUGGAGAGGAGUCCUGAGGCAGCCACCAGGGCGGCCCCGUAGGGUGCGCCCCCUGGCUUGUGGGUCCCUCGAGCACUCCCCUGGCGUGAUUCCAAUGCCAAAUAUUCUUAUAAAUAUAGAGGCCCCCAAAAAGAAACCUAGAUCGGGAGGUCUACCGCUGCAAGCCUAUAGAACCACGAAAAAACAAUCAGGCCCUCUCCGGCACCCUGCUGGAGGGGGUCACCAUCACCGGAGAACAUGGAGGAGGAAGACGGAGGGGCCAUCAUCACCAUGGAGGCGACGAACGAGAGGGAGAACCUCUCCUCACCUUGGGGGCCAUGGAGGAGGAGGCACAAGGCGGAGACCCUCUCCCCCUCUCUCCCGGUAGUGCCGGAGUGCCACAGAGGGAACCAUCGCCGAGGUGAUCGUCUUCAUCAACAUCACCUUCUUCAUCACCAUCCUCAUCUUCUUUUAGCAGUCCACUCUCCUGCACCCCGCUGUAAUACCCUACUUGAACAUGGUGCUUUAUGCCACAUAUUAUGAUCCAAGGAGGUGUUGCCAUCCUAUGAUGUUUUGAGUAGAUUCCCUUUGUCUUAUGGGUUAAUUGAUGAUCUAGAUUGUCUUGAGUUGCAUGCUUUAUUAUUGGUGUUAUCGUAUGGUGCUCUACGUGUCGUGCAAGCGUGAGGGAUUCCUAUUGUAUGGUGUUGCAAUACGUUCAUGAUUCGCUUAUAGUGGGUUGCUUGAGUGACACAAGCAUAAACCAGAGUAGGUGGGUUGUUGCGUAUGGGAUAAAGGGGACUUGAUGCUUUAAUGCUAUGGUAGUUAGCUUAUGCUUCUCCCUUACAUAAAAUUGCAAUAAUGCUUAACAAUCUUGUUAACAAUUGCCUAGGACAAUUCCGUACACCGACCCAUCAUCAUUCCACACUCGCUAUUUGCAAUAUAUUGUAAUAGAUUCUAACUAUAUAAUAACAUCACUUAUUUUCAUAUUUUAGUUCUCUGAUGUCAUGCAAAGCUAUUCUCUUCAUACCCACAACGUAGUUUUAUUUCUCUUUCCUAGUUGGAAGCAAACGUUCGGCGUACGUAGAGUUGUAUCAGUGGCAGAUAGGACUUGGGAGAAUAUUGCUCUUACCUUUAGCUCCUUGUGGGUUCGACACUCCAUACUUAUCAAUUCCACCUUUGGAAAUUGCUAUGAUGAUUCCUUGCACUUGGGAAUUAUAAGAGCUUCUCGAGGCCUGCGCGCUCGGCGGCGAGCAAGUGCCGGAGCCUCGAGUCGGCGAGCGUAUCGUCUUCGGCACACACUUCCUCGUCGGCUUUGGGCUUCCGGGGAGCUGCUUCUUGUGGAAUUUUCUUGAGGUCUAUGGGAUCCAGAUGCAUCAUAUGGGGCCUAACUCCGUUCCGUACCUCGCGUGCUUCGCAUUGCUAUGCAAGGCAUAUAUGGACUUCUGGCCCUUUCCCUCCUUCUUCCGCCACUUCUUCCAUUUAUGUGCCCACGCGCACGAUAGUGUGUCGUACUCCUGUGGUGGCGCGGUGGUGUACAAGAAGCGCGGCAGGCCGUUUCCGCAGAUGAAGUGGAAGGAGUCCUUCAAGAAAUGGCAGCACACCUUCUUCUACGUCCGCAACAUCGGCCUGGGGCGGGACUGGUUAACCUCCCGCCCUUUGCUGACGAGCCAACGACUGGGGAGAACUAAAAUCUCGAGUUGUGCAAUGACUUGCUGGUGUCGAUUGGCGGCCAGCUGCAGGAGCUCAUGGGCUCCCUAGGGCUGGUGGCCCCGGACCUGGUGGCGGCCUUUGUCUCUCGCCGAGUGCUGCCUCUGCAGGCACGGCCGCACCGGAUGUGCGACAUGAGCAUCCGCAAGGAACCGUGCUGGCUGUUAGUGGUGGACCUGCCGUUGAGCAAGGUUGCCGCCAGGGUGAACAGAAUCACCGACUUCCAUCGUGGCAACCAUGGACCGCUGGUAAGAUUUCGUCCAACUGAGGUCAUCCCCUUUUUUCCUUUCCCGUAGUAUGUGACACAUGGUCAUGUAUUUCCUCAGCUUUUUGUUCGGCAGAACACAUCAAACGGACCGAAUCCGGAGCGCUUUUCCCCAUAUUAGGAUGAAUCCGACGCCGAGGACUACGAAUUGAACGGGGACGGUCCUGAAGGCCCUGAAGAUUUGUACGCGACGGAGGCGGCGGAGGAUGAUGAUGGUGUUGAGGAGGACGAGGAGGAGGCGGCCGGUGCCGUGGCUGGCAAGGUGGGGACGUCAAGUACUAAUGACCCACAAGUGUAGGGGAUCUAUCAUAGUCCUUUCAAAAAGUAAGAGUGUCGAACCCAACAAGGAGCGGAAGGAUCUGACGAGUGGUUUUCAGCAAGGUAAUAUCUGCAAGAACUGAAAUUAUCGGUAACAAGUAGUUGUGUGGUGAGAUGAUUCGUAGGAAGUAGCAAGUAAGAAAAGUAACAACGGUGCAGCAAAGUGGCCCAAUCCCUUUUGUAGCAAGGGACAAGCCUGGACAAACUCUUAUAGGAGGUAAAACGCUCCCGAGGACACAUGGGAAUUUCUGUCAAGCUAGUUUUCAUCAUGUUCAUAUGAUUCGCGUUCGCUACUUUGAUAGUUUGAUAUGUGGGUGGACCGGCGCUUGGGUACUUCCCUUACUUGGACAAGCACCCCACUUAUGAUUAACCCCUCUCGCAAGAAUCCGCAACUACGAAAGAAGAAUUAAGACAAAGUCUAACCAUUGCAUUAAACUAGUGGAUCCAAAUCAGCCCCUUACGAAGCAACGCAUAAACUAGGGUUUAAGCUUCUGUCACUCUAGCAACCCAUCAUCUACUUACUACUUCCCAAUGCCUUCCUCUAGGACCAAAUAAUGGUGAAGUGUUAGGUAGUCGACGUUCACAUAACACCACUAGAGGAAAAACAACAUACAACACAUCAAAUUAUCGAACGAAUACCAAAUUCACAUGACUACUUAUAGCAAGACUUAUCACAUGUCCUCAGGAACAAAAGUAACUACUCACGAAGCAUAAUCAUAUUCAUGCCCAGGGAGGUAAUGAGUAGCAUCAAAGAUCUGAACAUAUAAUCUUCCACAAAGUAAUCCAACUAGCAUCAACUACAAAGAGUAAUUAACACUACUAGCAACCUUACAAGUACCAAUCGGAGUCGCGAGACGGAGAUUGGUUACAAGAGAUGAACUAGGGUUUGGAGAUGAGAUGGUGCUGAUGAUGAUGUUGAUGGUGACGAGUCCCCUCCGAUGAGAGGAGUGUUGGUGAUGACGAUGGCGACGAUUUCCCCCUCCGGGAGGGAAGUUUCCUCGGCAGGAUCGGCCUGCCGGAGCUCUAGAUUGGUUCUGCUCACGUUCCUCCUCAUGGCGGCGUUGAACCCUCCGAAAAGCCUCUUGUUGAUUUUUUUUUCUGGAACAAAACCAUUCUUGUAGCAAAAUGGGUGAGCCAGAGGGCUAAGUGGGAGCCCACAAGCCCCCUAGGCGCGGCCAGGGGGAGGUCGCGCCUAGCGGGCUUGUGGCCUCCUGCUGGCGCCCCUCUGGUACUUCUUCGGCCUAGUAUUUUUAAUAAAUCCCAAAAAAAUCCACGUUGAUUUUCAUGACUUUUGGAGUUGUGCAGAAGAGGUAUCUCAAACUUGCUCCUUUUUCAGGCCAGAAUUCCAGCUGCCGGCAUUCUCCCUCUUCAUGUAAACCUUGCAAAAUAAGAGAUAAAAGGCAUAAGUAUUGUACCUUGAAGUGUAAUAACAGACCAAAAAGCGAUAAAUAUAAACAUGAAAGCAUGAUGCAAAAUGGACAUAUCAACUCUCCCAAGCUUAGACCUCGCUUGUCCUCAAGCGAAAGCCGAGAUCAAUAAAUAUGCCCACAUGUUUAGAGAGAGAGGUGUCGACAAAACAAGAUACGGACAUGCAGGCAUCAUGAUCAUAAUCAGAAUAGCAAUACCAACAUAUAAUCUCUCAUGCUAAAGUGAUAAUUCCUUCACAAAGUAAAGCAUGGAUCAAGAACCUUACCGAGAAUUAACAACCGAUAGCCUUUAGUCAUUGAAGCAAUUGCAAUUUAUCACAAUAUCAGAAAGAGUCAAAUAAGAGCUUGUAAAGCAAAUCCAAAUACUCAAUCAUCCUUUCGUUCUCUACAAUUUCUACAACUCACGUGGUACUCAUGAGAUCAAAGUUUCAGCUGGACACAAAGAAAGAUAGGGAUUUAUAGUUUCGCCUCCCAACCAUUUACCUCAAGGGUAAUGUCAACAAUAAUAAUUCAUGAAUACUUACUUCCAAGUUGACAUAUGAAUAUAGAUCUUUCCCAAGCAUAUGACAUUAGCCAAGAUAAAGGCGAAACAAGGAAUUGGUGAAGAUCACCAUGACUCUUUCACGGGAAAAAUUAAAGGUACAAGAUAGGCCCUUUGCAGGGGGAAGCAGAGGUUGUCAUGUGCUUUUGAGGUUUGGAUGUGUGUCCUCUUAGUGUGGAGGAACGUCACUUUAUAUUGCCUCCUGUGAUAAAGAACUUUAUUAUGCAUUCCGUCGCUUUUAUCUAUUCCUCAUCACAGGUUCGUACAAAGCUUAUUUUCCAUGCACUAAUAGAUCAUACAUAUUAGGGGGGCAAUUUUUAUUGCUUGCAUCGAUGACAACUUACUUGAAGGAUCUUAUUCAAUCCAUAGGUAGGUAUGGUGGACUCUCAUGGAAAAACUGGGUCGAAGGUUUAUGGAUGCACAAGUAGUAUCUCUACUUGGUGCGAGUGUUUUGGCUAAUACGAGGUGGAAGCAAUCUUCACAUGCCAAGGGAUCUCUAGUCAUAUAACAUUGUUCGGAACCAAGCAAACACAAUUCAUUAUGUUGUCUUCCUUGUCCAACAUCCACUUCUAAGCAUGUAAUAGUGUAGUGAGUGUUCACAAUCAUAGAUGGUGUCAAAGAUGAUAUAUUUAUAUGUGAACCUCUCCUUCUUUAUCACUUCCUAUUAAUUGCAACAAUGACCAAGGUCUACGUUUGUCUAUCCUCAACAAGUUUCAAUCAACAUUGUUUUCAUAUGUGAAGCCAUCACUUCCCAUAAGAUCAUUACAUGAUCUUUCAUGCUUUUGUUCUUUUCUCAUUCUCUUGAUCAUGGCAUGAGGCAACGCCCUUAACUAAGACACUCUUUAUUAUAUGGCUCACGAGCUCGAAUACAUCGGGGGUGGCACAAAUAAAAACUCAAGCCUAAAACACUAAGACCUUUAAUCUACUAGAGAAAGAGAAAACUGAAAAGGAACAAACUAAAACAAAGGUAAAGGAAAAAGAUGUGAUGGUGAUACGAUAGCGGGGCAACUCCCCCAAGCUUGGCACAAGCCAAGGGGAUUGCCCAUACCCAUGCUUAGUUGUCUUCCUUUGGAGGUGAUGGUGAUGGAGUUGUUGCAGAGGUCUUGAACUUGUUUAAUUUCCACUUGAGCGUAAAAUUCUGCUCCCUCAGAUCAUCAAUUUCCUCUUCAAGCCUCAACAACCUUUUGCAUAAUUCCUGCUUACUCUCCUGCAAGAAAUGAGAAGGGAUAAACAAUGUUUUAGGCUUCUUCCUUGAGUCAGGGAGGCUCGAUUUCUUGAACUCCACAUGCGUGUGUCCAAGUUGAGGUAGAGGAGCCUCCUCCUCAUCGGAACUUGUUCGUUCCUUCCCCUUGGGAUCAUAAUCUUCUUCCUCAUAAGUGGUCCACCGAUAAGGAUACAAGUCCCCAUAGACCUUGGGGUUGGCAAGGUAAUCGGCCACAUAGCUCUCCCCCUCUAAAUCUUGAGAAGACAUCUUGCCCUAAAUCUGCGCCAGAAAAUAGGCUCGAAACGAAAACAGAGGAAAAUUGCAUGAUACGAGGGUCAGACCUUUCGAGAGAAUAUAUAAUGAUUUUUUUCUGACCAGAAGGAGUACUCCGCAAGAAAACGGAGUCCGGGAGGCACACGAGGUGGCCACAAGCCUCCCAGGCCCGGCCAGGGGGGUGGCUCGCGCCUGGCAGGCUUGUCUCCUCCUCGUUCUUUUUCCGGGCUGCUUUAAAUUUUUCUAUUUUUUCAAAAAUUCCAAAACGGAGAAAAAAUCCUACUGGAAAAGUUUUGGAGUCUAUUUACUUACCGAAUCACAUACCUCUUCGUUUUCGGAGUCUGAAAGAGGCUGAUAAAUAUCCGUUAGGUACUCCUCCUUAGUUAUGGUAUUCAUAAUAUUGCUUUCAACAUUUAUGGGAGUACCUGAGAUAUAAUGCUUGAUUCUCUGCCCAUUUACAACUCUCGGACAAUUAUCUUCCGUGUUGUUGAUCUUGAUAGCACCGGAACGAUAUAGUUCCUCAAAAAUGUAAGAAUCUUCCCAUUUAGAGAGAAGCUUCCCUGCAAAAAAUCUUAAACGAGAAUUAUAUUGCAAGACAUAAUCACCUACAUUUAACUCACGCUUUUUUAUCCUUUUAUCAUGCCACCUCUUAACCUUUUCUUUGAACAACUAGGCAUUUUCAUAUGCCUGAGUUCUCCACUCAUCAAGCAAGCUAAUAUCAAAUAACCUCUUCUCACCAGCAAGUUUGAAAUCAAAGUUAAGCUCUUUGAUUUCCCAAUAAGCUUUAUGCUCUAGCUCAAGAGGUAAAUGACAUGCUUUACCGUAUACCAUUUUGUACGGAGACAUGCCCAUGGGAUUCUUAUAGGCAGUUCUAUAAGCCCACAGUGCAUCAUCGAGCUUCUUAGACCAAUUCUUUCUAGACCUGUUGACAGUCUUUUGCAGAAUUAGUUUAAUAUCUCUAUUUCUUAGCUCUACCUGACCAUUGGACUGAGGGUGAUAGGGAGACGCAAUUAUAUGGUUAACAUCGUACUUAGAAAGCAUUUUACGGAAAGCACCAUGAAUGAAAUGUGAACCACCGUCGGUCAAUAGAUAUCUAGGGACUCCAAAUCUAGGGAAAACAACUUCUUUAAGCAUCCUGAUAGAGGUGUUGUGAUCAGCACUACUAGUGGGGAUAGCUUCUACCCACUUAGUGACGUGAUCAACAGCAACUAGGAUAUGAGUAUACCCGUUGGAUUUUGGAAGAGGUCCCAUAUAAUCAAAGCCCCAAACAUCAAAUGGUUCAAUGAAAAGUGAAUAAUUCAUAGGCAUUUCCUGACGUUUACCAAUAUUACCUAUUCUUUGACAUUCGUCACAAGACAAGACAAACUUACGGGCAUCCUUGAAGUGAGUGGGCCAAUAGAAACCUUAUUGCAAUACCUUGUGCGCAGUUCUAUCUCCCGCAUGGUGUCCUCCGUAGGCCUCGGAGUGACACUUCUGUAGCAUCUGUCCCUGUUCAUGUUCAAGUACACAACGUCUAAUAAGACCAUCUACUCCUUCCUUAUAAAGGUGAGGAGCAUCCCAAAAGUAAUGUCUCAAGUCAAAGAAGAAUUUCUUCUUUUGCUGGUAUGUGAAACUAGGUGGUAUAUAUUUGGCAACGAUAUAGUUUGCAUAAUUAGCAUACCAAGGUUCACUAGGUGAAGUAUUGAUGACAUUCAAUUGCUCAUCAGGAAAGCUAUCAGGUUGUGGGUCAUCAAGAACAUUCUCCAACCUAGACAAGUUAUCUGCUACUGGGUUAUCAGCACCCUUCCUAUCGACAACAUGCAAAUCAAAUUCUUGUAGCAAGAGAACCCAUCUGAUAAGUCUAGGUUUAGCGUCUUUCUUCUCCAUUAGGUACUUAAUAGCAAGAUGAUCAGUAUGAAUGGUGACUUUGGAAUCAACUAUGUAAGACCUGAACUUUUCACAUGCAAACACGACUGCUAAAAAUUCAUUUUCUGUAGUAGCAUAGUUUCUUUGGGCAUUGUCUAGAGUUUUACUAGCAUAGUGAAUAACAUUCAACUUCUUAUCAACUCUUUGCCAUAGAAUAGCACCAAUAGCAUAAUCACUAGCAUCACACAUGAUUUCAAAAGGUAAGUUCCAAUCAGGUGGUUGAACAAUAGGCGCAGUUAUCAAGGCCUUCUUAAGUAUUUCGAAGGGUUCCUCACAAUCAUCGUCGAAAACAAAAGGAAUAUCCUUUUGCAAGAGAUUGGUAAGAGGCCUAGAAAUGUUAGAGAAGUCUUUAAUGAACCUUCUAUAGAAACCAGCAUGACCAAGGAACCUUCUAUAGAAACCAGCAUCACCAUCCUAUAGCCAGUAAUAAUCCUCUGUGGGAUCAAUUCAUCCUUAUCAUUAGGGACAACGGUAAUGCCUCCCUUCUUAGCGACGGAAUGCACCAUACUAACCCAAUCACUAUGAGCAACAUGAUAGAUAAUACCUUCUUCCAGGAGCUUUAGUAUUUCUUUUCUUACUACCUCUUUCAUCUUAGGAUUUAAUCUCAUUUGAUGAUUAGCAACUGGUUUGGAAUCAGGAUCGGUUUUAAUCUUGUGCUGGCAUAGAGUGGGACUAAUGCCCUUAAGAUCAUCAAGAGUAUAUCCAAUAGCAGCACGGUGCUUCCUUAGAGUUUUUAGUAACUUCUUUUCUUCAUGCUCUGAGAGGCUAGCACUAAUUAUAACAGGAUAUAUCUCUUUUUCAUCAAGAUAAGCAUACUUAAGAGUAUCAGACAACUGUUUAAGCUCGAACACAGGAUCACCCUUUGGUGGGGGUGGAUCUCCAAGCAGUUCAACAGGCAAGUUAUUCUUAAGGAUAGGAUAUUGUUCUAAGACAACUCUAUCUAUCUCAUCCCUUUCAUCCAUAUGCAUAUCAUUUUCAUGCUCAAGCAAGUAUUGCUCUAAGGGAUCCGUAGGAGGCACGACAAUCGAAGCUAGGGAAAUAAUUUCAUCCUUACUAGGCAACUCUUUUUCAUGAGGUUGUCUACUAAACUUGGAGAAAUUGAACUCAUGUGACACACCUUCAAAGCCAACAGUGACAGUUUGCUUCUCAUAGUCAAUAUGAGCAUUGACGGUAUUGAGGAAGGGUCUGCCAAAUAUGAUGGGACAAAGGCUAUCUUGUGUGGUAGCAAAAACGAGGAAAUGAGGAGGAUACUUCGUUUUACCACACAAGACUUCAACAUCCCUAAUAAUUUCCACAGGGCAGAUAGUAUCUCUAUUGGCAAGCUGAAUAGUGACAUCAAUGGGUUCUAUCUCGACAGGUGCAAUCUCGUCUUUAAUUUCAUCAUAUAGGGAUUGAGGUAUUGCACUAACACUAGCACCCACAUCACAUAAACCAUGAUAACAAUGAUCUCCUAUCUUAACAGAAACAACAGGCGUGCCAACAACAGGCCUAUGUUUGUCUCUAGCAUGGGGUUUAGCAAUUCUUGCAGCAUCUUGAUACGUCUCCAACGUAUCUAUUUUUUUUUAUGGUUUCAUGCUAUUAUCUUGUCAAACUUUGGAUGUUUUGCAUGCCUUUUAUAUAUUUUUUGGGACUAACUUAUUAACUCGGUGCCAAGUGCCAGUUCUUGUUUUUUCCAUGUAUUUGACCGCUUUCAGAGGAGAUUUUGAAACGGAGUCCAAACGGAAGAAAAUCCCCGAAAAGAUUUUUUCUGAAACCGAAGAAGAUCAGGAAGCUUGAGAGCCAAGGCAGGGGGGCCCAGGGGCCCCACAAGCCCUCACCCCGCGACCAGGGGAAAGGUCGUGGCCCACAGGCUUGUGGGCCCCCUGGACGCCCUCUGCCCUAGGGUUUGCACCUAUAUAUCCCCAAAAGUUCCACAAAAAAUCAAGAGAUCAUCGAAAGUACUUUUCCGCCGCCGCAAGCUUCUGUCUCCGCAAGAUCCCAUCUGGGGCACGUUCCGGUGCCCUGUCGGAGGGGGGAUUCAGAUAUGGAGGGCUUCUUCAUCAACACCAUGACCUCUCCGAUGAUGCGUGAGUAGCUCACCAUAGACCUCCGAGUCCAUAGCUAGUAACUAGAUGGCUUCUUCUCUCUCUUGGAUCUUCUAUACAAAGUUCUCCAUGAUCUUCAUGGAGAUCUAUCCGAUGCAAUCUUAUUUUGCGGUGUGUUUGUCGAGAUCCGAUGAAUUGUGGAUUUAUGAUCAGAUUAUCUAUGAAUCUUAUUUGAGUUUCUUCUGAUCUCUCUUAUGCAUGAUUUCAUAUCCUUGUAAUUCUCUUCGAGUUGUGGGUUUUGUUUGGCCAACUAGAUCUAUGAUUCUUGUAAUGGGAGAAUUGCUUGGUUUUGGGUUCAUACCGUGUGGUGACCUCACCCAAUGACAGAAGGGGUAGCGAGGCACGCAUCGUGUUGUUGCCAUCAAGGGUAAAAAGAUGGGGUUUUCAUCAUUGGUUUGAGAUUAUCCCUCUACAUCAUGUCAUCUUUCUUAAGGCGUUACUCUAUUCGUCAUGAACUCAAUACACUAGAUGCAUGCUGGAUAGCGGUCGAUGUGUGGAGUAAUAGUAGUAGAUGCAGAAAGUAUCGGUCUACUUGUCUCGGACGUAAUGCCUAUAUGUAUGGUCAUUGCCUUAGAUAUCGUCAUGAGUUUGUGCGGUUCUAUCAAUUGCUCGACAGUAAUUUGUUCACCCACCGUGAUAUUUGCUAUUUUGAGAGAAGCCUCUAGUGAACACUAUGGCCCCCGGGUCUACUCCACACCAUACUUUCAGCCUUACACUUUUUACUUCGUUGCACUUUCCGCCUUUAGAUCUCACUUUGCAAACAAUCUUGAAGGGAUUGACAACCCCUUUGAAGCGUUGGGUGCAAGAUCGUUUGUGUUUGCGCAGGUACUCUGGACUUGACGAGACCCUCCUUCUGGAUCGAUACCUUGCUUCUCAAAACUGAGGGAAAUACUUACUACUCAUGUGCUGCAUCAUCCUUUCCUCUUCAAGGGAAAAACCGACGCAAACAAGAGAAGUAGCAAGAAGAAGUCCUGUCGUUGCUUGGGAAGGGCUUUUGUUGCUGUAGCAGAAGGAUUUCUGGUGCUGUUGCCGGGGAGGAAGAUCAAGUCAAGAACUCAUCCAAGUAAGUGUCGCAAACUCAUCUCUUGCAUUUACUUUUGUUUGUCAGUUGCCUCUCGUUUUCCUCUCCCCCACUUCACCAAUUUGCCUUUUUCAUUUGCCUUUUUCGUUUGCCUUUUUCGUUCGCCCUUUCUUCCGCUUUCUUUCUGUUUGCUUGUGUUUUAUGUGCCUUCAAUAUGCUUGCAUCUUCGCUUGCUGAAAAUAUAUUGAUAUGGAUCCUCAUCCACUUGCUAAUCUCUUUAAGAGAUCCAAUUAUGUUGAUAAAAUUGCUAUUGAGUUGAGUGCACUUGACUUUCUCUAUGGAGUUUUGCUUGAGAUGCGUGAAUCUGAAAAUUGUGAUGAAGAAAUUCAUGAAGUGAUUCACGAGGGCUCCUUGAAUGAAAAGCAUGAUUGCAAUGAUUUCAUUAUAAAUUCUAUUAAUGACAAUCAUGCUAAAAAUAUGCAAAACCCUAAGCUUGGGGAUGUUAGUUUUGCUAUGUCCACUACUUGUUGCAAUGAUCAUGAGUGGGGCAAUGAUUUUUCUUAUGAUCAUGAAAAUUUGUUUAAGCCUCAUGAUGAAUAUGAUAUUUGCAAUAUUAUUGAAAGUAGGUUUGGAGACGUCAUGACUUUAAUUGAUGAUAAUCCCAGUAUUUUUGAAGAGCAUCAACUUUGCAUGCAUGUGGAUCAUGAAAAGAAUAUCCUAUGUGAUAGUUACAUUGUUGAAUUCAGAUAUGAUCCCACAUGUAAUUAUUAUGAGAGAGGAAAAUAUGGUGGUAGAAACUUUCAUACCACUAAAUCACCUCUCGUUAUGUUGAGAUUGCUCUUGUCUCUUUCUUCUUCCUUGCAUUUGAUAACUAUUGGUUGUCUUGCCAAUUUUUUCCUAUAAAAUGCCUAUGCAUAGGAAGUAUGUUAGACUUAGACGUGAUUUUCACAUGCUUUAUGAUGCUCACGUUGUGCAUCAAUUUCUAUCUUCUAUGUGAGCAUCAUUGAAUUAUCAAUGCCUAGCUAAGGGUGUUAAACAAUAGCGCUUUUUGGGAGGCAACCCAAUGAAUUUAUCUUUUUCUUUCUGUUUUGUUGUGUCCACGCCAUCAUAAUUCUGUUGUGAUUGUGUUUUUUGGGUUUCUUUUUGUGUUUGAGCCAAGCAAAACCUUUAUGACUAGUCUUGGUAAUGGUUAUUUGAUCCUUCUGGAAAAAGACAGAAACUUUUCGCUCACGAGAUGAUUUUUCAUUUUUAUUCAGAAAGAGCUUUUGAGUUGAUUCUUUUUGCUGAUGGUUGAUAUGUAUUUUUCCCAGGCAGUCGUAAUUGUUCAUAUUUUUGUAGGUAACAGAAGUAUACGAAGUAUAUAGAUUGCUACAGACUGGUCUAUUUUUGACAGAUUCUGGUUUUGUUGAGUUGGUUGCUUGUUUUGAUGAAACUAUGGUUAGUAUCGGGGGGUACUAGCCAUGGAAAAGUGAGAAUACAAUAUCCCAACACCAACAUAGAUGGAAUUCAAGUUUCCUACAGUACCAAAAGAGGUGUUAGUUUAUUUUCUUGUGCUAAUGUUAUCACGAGUUUCUGUUUAAAUUUUGUGUUGUGAAGUUUUCAAGUUUUGGGUGAUGUUCUCAAGGACAAAGAGAUAAGGAGUGGAAAGAGCUCAAGCUUGGGUAUGCCCAAGGCAUCCCAAGCCAAAUUCAAGGACACCAAAAAUCCUAAGCUUGGGGAUGCCCUGGGAAGGCAUCCCCUCUUUCGUCUUCAGUUCAUCGGUAACAUUACUUGGAGCUAUAUUUUUAUUCACCACAUGAUAUGUGUUUUGCUUGGAGCGUCUUGUAUCGUAGGAGUCUUUUCUUUUUUUUGUUUCACAAUCAUUCUUGCUGCACACCUUUUUGAGAGAGAGAGAGAUGCACUCAUCGUGAUUUUGCUAGAAUGCUCAUAGUGCUUCACUUAUAUCUUUUGAGCUAGAUACUUUUUCUCUAUGUGCUUCACUUAUAUCUUUUAGAGCACGGUGCUGCGUGACUUGGUAGUUGGCUUAUGCUAUGAAAGUAGUCCCAAAGGUGAUAGGUACCCAAAGAGGAUGCAAAAACCUCCAUCUUGAUGUGCAUUGAGUAGAAAGAGAAGCCUUGAUUCCUCUCAAUUAGUUUUGAGACGUGGAUUUGGUAAUAUUAAGAGCUAUGUUAGUACGGUGUUGUGAAUCUAGAAGUACUUGUGUUGAAGUUAGUGAUUCCCGUAGCAUGCACGUAUGGUGAACCGCUAUGUUAGGAAGUCGGAGCAUAAUUGAUCUAUUGAUUGUCAUCCUUUGUGUUGAGGUCUUGAUCGCGUGAUGGUUAACACCUACCAACCCUUCCCCUAGGAGUAUGUGUUUAGCACUUUGUUUCGGUUACUAAUAAAAACUUUCGCAACAAGUAUGUGAGUUCAUCAUGACUAAUGUGAGUCCAUGGUAUAGAUGCACUUUCACCUUCCACCAUUGCUAGCCUCUUUAGCGCCGCGCAAUUCUCGCCGAUGCAAAAACCCACCAUAUGCCUUCCUCAAAACAGCCACCAUACCUACCUACUAUGGCAUUUUCAUAGCCAUUCCGAGAUAUAUUGCCAUGCAACUCCCACCGUUCCAUCUCAUGACUUGUGCCGUCACUCUCAUAUUGCCAUUGCAUCAUCGUAAGAUAGCUAGCGAGAUGUUUCCAACGUCAUACGCCAUGCUAGAUCGUUGCACAUCCCAGUACACUGCCGGAGGCAUUUCCUAUAGAGUCAUCAUCGUUCUAAGCUUUGAGCUGUGAGUAAAUAAAAGUGUGAUGAUCACCAUUAUUAGAGCAUUGUCCCAUGUGAGGAAAAAAAGAGAAGAAGAGGCCAAAGAGAGGGAAAAAAAGAGAAAAAAAGAGGCCUAAGAGCCCAAAUGAAAAAAAGAGAGAGAAAAAGAGAGAAGGGACAAUGCUACUAUCUUUUUCCACACUUGUGCUUCAUAAUAGCACCAUGUUCUUCAUGAUUGAGAGCUUUUUGCUUUGUGACUACCAUAUACUAGUGGGAAUCUUCAUUACAUAACUUGGUUUGUAUAUUCCAAUGAUGGGCUUCCUCAAAAUUGCCCUAGGUCUUUGUGAGCAAGCAAGUUGGAUGCACACCCACUAGGUUUCCUUUUGAGCUUUCACAUACUUAUAGCUCUAGUGCAUCUCUUGUAUGGCAAUCCCUACUCAUUCACAUUGAUAUCUAUUAAUGGGCAUCUCCAUAGCCCUUUGAUACGCCAAGUCAAUGUGACCAUCUCCUCCUUUUUGUCUCACAACCACCACCACACUCUAUUCCACCUAUAGUGCUAUAUCCAUGUCUCAUGCUCAUGUAUUGCGUGAUAGUUAUAAAAAGUUUGAGAAAGUAAGAGUGUGAAAACAAUUACUUGGCCAAUACCGGGGUUGUGCAUGAUUUACAUUGGUUGUGUGAGGAUGAUGGAGCAUAGCCAGACUAUAUGAUUUUGUAGGGAUAACUUUCUUUGGCCUUGUUAUUUUGAAAGUUCAUGAUUACCUUGCUAGUUUGCUUGAAGUAUUAUUCUUUUCAUGUCAAUAGCAAACUAUUGUUUUGAAUCUUACGGAUCUGAACAUUCAUGUCACGUGAAAUAAGUUGCAAAGGACAACUAUGCUAGGUAGCAUUCCACAUCAAAAAUUCAUUCUUUAUCACUUCCCUACUCGAAGACGAGCAGGAGUUAAGCUUGGGGAUGCUUGAUACGUCUCCACAUAUCUAUAAUUUUUAAUGGUUUCAUGCUAUUAUCUUGUCAAACUUUGGAUGUUUUGCAUGCCUUUUAUAUAUUUUUUGGGACUAACUUAUUAACUCGGUGCCAAGUGCCAGAUCCUGUUUUUUCCAUGUUUUUGACCCCUUUUAGAGGAGAUUUUGAAACGGACUCCAAACGGAAGAAAAUCCCCGAAAAGAUUUUUUCUGUAACGGAAGAAGAUCAGGAAGCUUGAGAGCCAAGGCAGGGGGGCCCAGGCGCCCCACAAGCCCUCACCUUGCGGCCAGGGGGGAGGCCGCAGCCCACAGGAUUUUGGGCCCCCGGGACGCCCUCUGCCCUAGGGUUUGCGCCUAUAUAUCCCCAAAAAUUCCACAAAAAAUCAAGAGAUCAUCGAAAUUACUUUUCCGCCACCGCAAGCUUCUGUCUCCGCAAGAUCCCAUCUGGGGCACGUUCCGGUGCCCUAUCGGAGGGGGGAUUCGGAUACGGAGGGCUUCUUCAUCAACACCAUGACCUCUCCGAUGAUGCGUGAGUAGUUCACCAUAGACCUACGGGUCCAUAGCUAGUAACUAGAUGGCUUCUUCUCUCUCUUGGAUCUUCAAUACAAAGUUCUCCAUGAUCUUCAUGGAGAUCUAUCCAAUGUAAUCUUCUUUUGCGGUGUGUUUGUCGAGAUCCGAUAAAUUGUGGAUUUAUUAUCAGAUUAUCUAUGAAUCUUAUUUGAGUUUCUUCUGAUCAUGUCAUCUUGCUUAAGGCAUUACUAUGUUCGUCAUGAACUCAAUACACUAGAUGCAUGUUAGAUAGCGGUCGAUGUGUGGAGUAAUAAUAGUAGAUGCAUAAAGUGUCGGUCUACUUGUCUCGUAUGUGAUGCCUAUAUGUAUGAUCAUUGCCUUAGAUAUCGUCAUGAAUUUGCGCGGUUCUAUCAAUUGCUCGACGGUAAUUUGUUCACCCACCGUGAUAUUUGCUAUUAUGAGAGAAGCCUCUAGUGAACACUAUGGCCCCCGGGUCUACUCCACACCAUCUUUUCAGCCUUACACUUUUUACUUAGUUGCACUUUCCGCCUUCAUAUCUCACUUUGCAAACAAUCUCGAAGGGAUUGACAACCCCUUUGAAGCGUUGGGUGCAAGCUCGUUUUUGUUUGCGCAGGUACUCUGGACUUGACGAGACCCUCCUUCUGGAUCGAUACCUUGGUUCUCAAAACUGAGGGAAAUACUUACUGCUCUUGUGCUGCAUCACCCUUUCCUCUUCAAGGGAAAAACCGACGCAAACAAGAGAAGUAGCAAGAAGAAUUCCUGGCGUUGCUUGGGAAGGACUUUUGUUGCCGUAGCACAUCUUCACAGAAGUGAAUAUCAUGGCCAUCAACAUUGUCGGACAAGAGAUAUUUGAUAAUAGCAAUGCUAGGUUCAACUCUAAUUUGCUCAGGGGGUGUAGGUGUUCUAAUGUAACCUCUACGUCUCACAUUUGAAGCUUUAGAAUGAUCUUUUAUCCUAACAGGGAAAGGUGGUUGCUCAAUGUAAGCACUAGGAACAAUAGGAUAAUUAUAGGCAAUGACUUUCUCUUCAACUGGAUUGGGUUUAACUACAUUGACUUCUAAGGGAGGAUGAUAUUUAAACCACUUCUCUUUGGGGAGAUCAAUAUGAGCAGAAAAUGAUUCACACAAUGAGGCUACUAUCUCUGAGUCAAGUCCAUAUUUAACGCUAAACUCACAAAAGGUAUUUGUUUCAACAAAGGAUUUAACGCAAUCAACCUUGAAAUUCAUACCUAACUCCUUACCUUCAUCAAGCUCCCAAUCUUCAGAGUUGCGUUUAAUUCUUUCCAAUAAAUUCCAUCUGAAGUCAAUAUCUCUCUUCAUAAAAGAACGGGUACAAGAAGUGUCAAGCAUGUUGCGAUCAUCAUGAGAAAGCCGAGCAUAGAAGUUCUGAAUGAUAAUUUCUCUCGAGAGCUCAUGGUUGGGUCAUGAAUAUAACAUUGAUUUAAGCCUCCCCCAAGCUUGAGUGAUGCUUUCUAUGUCAUGAGGCCAACAAUUAUAAUUAUAAUUCCGAUCACGAUGUACUAGAUGCAUAGGAUAAAUUUUUUGAUGAAAUUCCAAUUUCAACCGAUUGUAGUUCCAUGAUCCAGUAUCAUCACAUAGCCUAUACCAUGUCAACGCCUUAUCCCUCAAAGAUAAGGGAAAUACCUUCUUCUUGACCUCAUCCUCGGGCAAACCUGCAAGCUUAAAUAAACCACAAACUUCAUCUACAUAGAUUAGAUGCAAGUCUGGAUGUGAUGUUCCAUCUCCUACAAAAGCAUUAGCCAGCAGUUUCUCAAGCAUACCCGAAGGAAAUUCAUAGCAAAUAUUUUUAGUAGGUGCGGCAGGUUGAGGAGAAACUCUUUGUGCUUCCGUUCGAGGUGAAGAUACCCCGAACAAGCUCCUCAAAGGAUUAGUUUCCAUAGUAACAAGUGACAGUAAAUUUCAGCACACUAUAUAAAUGUUUCCUUUCCAAAUUCCACUUACGAAAGGCCCUUCACUCCCCGGCAACGGCGCCAGAAAAGAGUCUUUAUGACCCACAAGUAUAGGGGAUCUAUCAUAGUCCUUUCGAUAAGUAAGAGUGUCGAACCCAACGAGGAGCAGAAGGAUCUGACAAGUGGUUUUCAGCAAGGUAAUAUCUGCAAGCACUCAAAUUAUCGAUAACAAGUAGUUGUGUGGUGAGAUGAUUCAUAGCAAGUAGCAAGUAAAAAAGUAACAACAGUGCAACAAAGUGGACCAAUCCCUUUUGUAGCAAGGGACAAGCCUGGACAAACUCUUAUAGGAGGUAAAACGCUCCCGAGGACACAUGGGAAUUUCUAUCAAGCUAGUUUUCAUCAUGUUCAUCUGAUUCGCGUUCACUACUUUGAUAGGUUGAUAUGUGGGUGGACCGGCGCUUGGGUACUGCCCUUACUUGGACAAGCAUCCCACUUAUGAUUAACCCCUCUCGCAAGCAUCCGCAACUACGAAAGAAGAAUUAAGACAAAGUCUAACCAUAGCAUUAAACUAGUGGAUCCAAAUCAGCCCCUUACGAAGCAACGCAUAAACUAGGGUUUAAGCUUGUGUCACUCUAGCAACCCAUCAUCUACUUAAUACUUCCCAAUGCCUUCCUCUAGGCCCAAAUAAUGGUGAAGUGUUAUGUAGUUGAUGUUUACAUAACACCACUAGAGGAAAAACAACAUACAACACAUCAAAUUAUCGAACGAAUACCAAAUUCACAUGACUACUUAUAGCAAGACUUAUCCCAUGUCCUCAGGAACAAAAGUAACUACUCACAAAGCAUAAUCAUAUUCAUGACCAGAUACGUAAUGAGUAGCAUCAAAGAUCUGAACAUAUAAUCUUCCACCAAGUAAUCCAACUAGCGUCAACUACAAAGAGUAAUUAACACUACUAGCAACCUUACAAGUACCAAUCGGAGUCGCGAGACGGAGAUUGGUUACAAGAGAUGAACUAGGGUUUGGAGAUGAGAUGGUGCUGAUGAAGAUGUUGAUGGUGAUGAGUCCCCUCCAGUGAGAGGAGUGUUGGUGAUAACGAUGGCGACGAUUUCCCCCUCCGGAGGGAAGUUUCCCCCGCAGGAUCGUCCUGCCGGAGCUCUAGAUUGGUUCUGCUCAAGUUCCGCCUCAUGGCGGCGGCGAAUCCUCCGAAAAGCCUCUUGUUGAUUUUUUUUCUAGAAUGAAACCCUUCUUGUAGAAAAAGGGGGGAGCCAGAGGGCCAAGUGGGAGCCCACAAGCCCACUAGGCGCGACCAGGGGGGAGGCCGCGCCUAGCAGGCUUGUGGACUCCUACUGGCGCCCCUCUCGUACUUCUUCGACCCAUUAUUUUUUAUAAAUACCAAAAAAAAAUCCACAUUGAUUUUCACGGCUUUUGAAGUUGCGCAGAAUAGGUAUCGCAAACUUGCUCCUUUUUCAGGCCAGAAUUCCAGCUGCCGGCAUUCUCCCUCUUCAUGUAAACCUUGCAAAAUAAGAGAGAAAAGGCAUAAGUAUUGUACCUUGAAGUGUAAUAAUAGCCCAAAAAGCGAUAAUUAUCAACAUGAAAGCAUGAUGCAAAAUGGACGUAUCACGUACCCCUCCCGACGGGUCCGUGACAGACUGGAUAGAUGAUGAUGGUGACGACAACGUGUAGGUGCUUGAGGCGAUGCCACGUGUGACGGGGCCGCCUCGGGGCCAUCGUCGUGGAAAGAGCGAGGAGCUGUCGGCCGGGGGCCAGCUGGCCGUCAGCCAACUAGCCAGUUGCCACACGGAAGAGGAACGCCGUAGGGACACGCGGUCGGCCGAGGACUCGAUCGACACCCCAGCCACCAAGAAGGUUCAGUCGGCGGCGCUGCCGGCGGGCGCCCCUUGGUGCUGGGUAAGGUUUCUUUAAGGCUCAUGCCCCUUCUUUUCUUGCUUUCUUUGUCGUGUGGCAUUUGAGCUCGUGCUCUCUUGUCUUGUUUUGCUUUCUCAGUGAGGCUAUUCAGCUACCGGCGCCGGAUGCAUCGGCCCUUGGGGCCGAACAAGUAACGCCGCUUGCCAUGGAGCAUGCGACGAGGGCGCGGCUUGAACGGGAGUGUGUCGUUCAGCUUCGUGCGGCCAAGCCGAAGGCCUCGUAGGCUAUGACGACCGGAAUAAGCGUCCCCGUGGCUGGGGCAACAAGUGAUGCCACUGCUCCACAACACCGCCGGUCAGUUUUAUCGGUACUUUUGCUUGUCUUAGUCAUUUUUCCUGUGCACCCUGCUCCUUUGUCAUUUCUCCUGCCGGCCAGCCAGCUUGCGGAUUGUGACUGGGCGAAGAGUGGGCUGGUGGAGCCGAGGUGUUUGGUACUUUGGCUUUUGCAAGGCGGGUGUUGAAAAAACCGAGUAGCGUAGCCGGACCUGGCCCGCCCCUUGUCGAUAUUUCCUAUUCGCUCUGACCCUUUGCUUGUGCUCCUGCCAAACGGGCAACUAGGUUGUGGUCUGUAGCCAGCGAGGGUUGGGCUGCCGGUGCGGAGGUAUAGUACUUUGCCGAGCUGGGGUGGGAGUUGGGCGUCUCGUAGUCCCCGGGCCGGCUGGACCGAUCCGGGGAUGACCAAGAAAGUAAAAACAAUUGAAACAUGAGUAGGAUGGAAAAGGCAGUCUCUGAGUCCUGCUCUAGGGUGCCGGCUAUUCAUUGAUUUUCUUGAAAAGGGAACAUACAUAUGUUCACUUGCCUAACUGUAAAACGGGCGGAGGAGUUCCACGUUUCGUGGUCGCUCCGUCUCGGAGCCGGAUGCGUCCUUCUUGUUCUUUCUUGCCUUUUGAGCAUCGAUUAUAAAGUAGGCGUUAUUGCUCACUGACGGAUGUCCGUUGGAUCAGCAAGAGAACAAGGUCACCCUCUCGGAAUGAGAGAGGGCUUGACCCGCUGGCUACGGUAGCGGCGUAGGCCUUGCUGAUAGAUGGUUGUUCUGGACAGUGCCAGCUCGCAUGCCUCUUCGAGGAGGUCGACGUCGUCUUCUCUGGCCUCUUUGGCGUCAGCCUCGGUGUGCAGGGUGACCCGAGGCGAAUCGAACUCGACGUCGUUGAGGAUGAUCGCCUCGGCCCCGUACACCAAGAAGAAUGGGGUGAAGCCGGUCGACCGGUUGAGCGUGGUUUGCAGGCUCCACAACACCGCCGGCAGUUCCUCGACCCAGGCACCGGCCGAGCGCUUGAGUGGCUCGACAAGCCUGGGUUUCAGGACGACCAGGAUGAGGCCGAUUGCCCGCUCUAGCUGGCCGUUUGACUGCGGCUGGGCCACGGACGAGAGGUCCAGCCGGAUUCCGUGCUCGCUGCAGUAGCGGGCGAGCGCAGGCUUGGCGAAGUUGGUCCCAUUGUCGAUGAUGAUGAUGCUGGGGAGGCCAUAGUGAACGGCUAUGUCCUUGAUGAACGUGACGACCGUUGGGCCAUCGAGCUUCUCUAUUGGCUUGGCCUUGAUCCACUUUGUGAACUUGUCGACUGCCACCAGGAGAUGUGUCACACCGCCUCGGGCGGUUUUGAACAGGCCCAUCAUGUCCAACCCCCAGAAGGCAAAGGGCCGCGUGAGGGGGAUGGUUUGCAGGGCCGCGGCCGUCUGGUGGAUGCGCGCUUUGAAAUGCUAGCAGCCAUUGCACUUGUCAAUUAAUGCCUUGGCGUCCUUCAGGGCGGACGACCAAUAGAAACUGUGGCGGAAUGCCUUGGCCGCCAGGGAGCGUGAGGAGGCAUGGUGGCCACACUCGCCCUGGUGGAUGCCGAGGAGGAUAUCGUGGCCUUUGUCUGCCUCGAUGCAGUGCUGGAACACGCCAGUCACGCUGCGCUUGACGAGCUCGUUGUUGAUGAUGGUGUAGGUGGCAGAGCGUCUUUGGAUUAUCCGGGCCACGACUUCAUCGGCAGGCAGGGUGCCAUUCUCGAUGUAGUCGAGGAAGGGUUGCGCUCAGGAUAGGGCUGUGACCACCGUGAGCAUGGCCACCAUGAUUGGGUUUGCUGCGGCGGGGACGGCACGCGGUUGGCCGCCUGCCGCAGUCCCCGAGUCGGGCUGGAGGGAUCCCAGGGGAGGGUCGGCAGCCCUCGGGCCGGCUAGAGUAGUCGAUGCGGUGGCGGUAGUCGGCUGACCAGCUGCCGUAGUCCCCGAGUGGGACGGGGCAGUUCCCGCGUCAGCGCCGGCAGCCCCCAGGGCCGGCGGGGCAGCCCCCGGGUCUGCCGGGAUGAAUAUGUACUCGGAUUCCGGAGAGAGCGUGAUGGAGGGCUUCCGCAGGUUCUCAAGAGAUACGUCGACUGGGAUUGGUUGCCGGGUGGAGACGAUUUGUUGAGUGUGUCGGCGGCCUCGUUGCCGGAUCGGAGGAUGUGGUGGAACUCGCGGCCUUUGAAACCGCCGGUCAGUUGUUGCACCAGAAAGCGGUAGCUGCCCAUGUUUGCGUCUCUCGCGUCCCACUCACGAGUGACUUGCUGCACCACCAGGUCGAAGUCACCUAAGAAAAGGAUUCGUCGGACGCCGAUUUCCCUAGCCAACCGGAGGCCAUGGGUGAGCGCUUCAUACUCCGCCACGUUGUUGGACGCAACAAAGUGGAUCUUCAUGACGUACUGGAGCUGGUUACCCUUAGGGGACGAGAGGAUGAUGCCAGCCCCAAGGCCGGUGCGCAUCUUCGAGCCAUCGAAGUGCAUGCGCCAAUGGGUUGAGUCUGGAGGCGGCCGUAGGUACUCCGUUUCGGCCUAGUCGACGAGGAAAUCCACCAAGGCCUAUGACUUUACGACGGUGCGGGACUCGUAGGCGAUGUGGUGGUCGGCCAGCUGGAGAGCCCACUUGGCGAUUCGGCCGGCUACGUUCCUGUUGCCCACGAUCUCUCCGAGGGUAGCGGUGCUCACCAAAGUGAUCGAGUGCUCCUCGAAGUAAGGCUUGAGCUUCUUGGCAGCCAGGAACACGACGUAGCACAUCUUCUGAUAGUGCAGCUAGUUCUACUUGGAGGCGGAGAGCACCUCGCUCAGGUAGUAGACAGGUCGUUCGACCAGCUGCGCCCGGCCCGGCUCGGAGCGCUCGACGGUCAUGACUAUACUGACCACUCGGAUGGUCGCGGCGAUGUAGAGCAAUAUCGGCUCCUUAUCCACUGGCGAGGCCAGCAUGGGCACGAUGGUGAGUGCACGCUUGAGGUCGCGCACGGCCUCAUCCGCCCGGUCGCUCCAGACAAACUCGUCCGCCUUCUUGAGCAGACGAUAGAGAGGGAGGGCCUCCUCCCCUGGUCGGCUGAUGAAGCAGCUGAGCGAGGCGAGGCAGCCAGUGAUCUUUUGGAUGUCAGCCAAGUUGGCCCGGAUCUUCUCGGGGAUGGCCUCUAUCCCUUGUUCCAAAAUGACGAAACCGAGGAGCUGGCCGGAUGGUAAGCCGAACACGCACUUUGCCGGCUUCAGCCGGAUUUUGAACUCGCGUAGAUUCACAAAUGUCUCCUUGAGAUCAUCCAGGGGGUGCGAUUUUCCUUGGUUUUGACCACAACGUCGUCCAUGUAGACGUGUACAUUGCGGCCGAGAUGCCUAUAGAGGCAUUGCUGCAUGCAACGCUGAAACGUGGCGCCAACAUUUUUCAGCUCGAAUGCCAUCGUAACAUAGCAGAAUGCCCCGAAUGGGGUUAUGAAAGUUGUCUUGAUCCGGUCGGUCGGAUUCAGCUUGAUCUGGUGAUAGCCUGAAUAGGCGUCUAAGUAGGACAGUAGCUCGAAGCCAGCCAUCGAGUCGAUCACUUGAUCCAUACGGGGCAGAGCAAAAGGAUCCUUGGGGCAUGCCUUGUUUAGGCUCGUGUAGUCGAUACUCAUGCGCCAAGUCUUGUUCUUCUUCAGCACCAGGAAUGGGUUCGCCACCCAAUCCGGGUGGAAGACUUCCAUGAUGAAUUCAAAUGCCAGUAGCCGGGUGAUUUAUUCACCGAUGGUUUUUUGCUUCUCCUCUGAGAAGCGGCGCAACGGUUGAUUAACCAGUUUUGCGUCUGACCGGACGUGCAAGAAGUGCUCGGCGUACUUCCUCGGGACUCGUGGCAUGUCCUUUGGGGCCAUGCGAACAUAUCCCGAUUCUCACGGAGGAAGUCGACGAGCUCAAUUUCCUAUUUGCUGCUGAGACCAGCCCCACCACGACGUACUUGCCGGUGGGGUCGGCCGGGUCCUCGGGCCCCUCUUGGUGUCCUUGCCGGAGGCCGGCUGGAACUGGGCCUGUGUGGCGGGCUGCUUAAGCUUCGGCUCUGAGAGGGGCGCCGUCUCACAGGCUAGUGCCACGAAACGAUCGAUCUGUCACUGCUCCUCGAUGAUAACGAAGGAUUCGGCCAACUUGGAGACGGCCAUGGUGCACUCGGUCGAGUUCUUCUAGUCACCGGAGACGGUGACAAUGUCGUGUGGACCCGGCAGCUUCAUCUUGAGAUAAGCAUAGUGGGAGACAACCAUGAACUUGGCCAGGGGGACGGAACGAGAGCGCAUGGUAGCGGCUAGUGAGGUCGACCACCUCGAACCAUAUGGUCUCGCGACGGAAGUUCUUCGGAUAGGCCGAACAACACGUACAGUCGGACCUUGCUGGUCCGGGAGUGAUAAUCCCCAAGUGCAAGGAAUCAUUGUAGCAAUUUCAAAAGGUGGAAGUGAUAAGUAUGGAGUGUUGCACCCACAAGGAGCUAAAGGUAAGAGCAAUAUUCUCUCAAGAGCUAUCUUCCACUCAUACAACACUAUGUACGCUGAACGUUUGCUUCCAACUAGGAACGAGAAAUGAAACUACGUUGUGGGUAUGAAAAGAAUAGCUUUGCAUGACAUCGGACAACUAAAAUAUAAAAAUAGGUGUUGUUAUCAUAAAGUUAGAAUAUAUUACAAUAUAUUAGAAAUAGUGAGUGUGGAAUAAUGAUGGGUCGGUGUGCGGAAUUGUCCUAGGCAAUUGUUAACAAGAUCGGUAAUCAUUCUUGCAAUUUUAUAUGAGGGAGAGGCAUAAGCUAACAUAAUUUCUCUACUUUGAUCAUAUGCACUUAUGGUUGGAACUCUAGCAAACAUCUGCAACUAUUAAAGAUCAUUAAGGUGAAACCCAACCUUAUCAUUAAAGCAUCUCAACAACCCAGCUACUCGGGUUUAUGCUUGUGUCACUCAAGCAACCCACUAUAAGUGAAUCAUGAACGUAUUGGAACACCAUACAACAAGAGUCCCUCAUGCUUGCGCGACACGGAGAGCACCAUAGGACAACACCAAUAAUAAAGCAUACAACUUAAACCAAUCUAGAUCAUCAAUCGACCCAUAAUACCAAGGGAAUCUACUCAAAACAUCAUAGGAUGGCAACACAUCAUUGGAUCAUAAUAUGUGGCAUGGACCACCUGUUGGAGAACGUCGCAUGGGAAACAAAAAAUUUCCUACGCGCACGAAGACCUAUCAUGGUGAUGUCCAUCUACGAGAGGGGAUGAGUGAUCUACGUACCCUUGUAGACCGUACAGCAGAAGCGUUAGAGAACGCGGUUGAUGUAGUGGAACGUCCUCACGUCCCUCGAUCCGCCCCGCGAACAAUCUCGCGAUCAGUCCCACCAUCUAGUACCGAACGGACGGCACCUCCGCGUUCAGCACACGUACAGCUCGACGAUGAUCUCGGCCUUCUUGAUCCAGCAAGAGAGACGGAGAGGUAGAAGAGUUCUCCGGCAGCGUGACGGCGCUCCGGAGGUUGGUGAUGACCUUGUUUCAGCAGGGCUCCGCCCGAGCUCCGCAGAAACGCGAUCUAGAGGAAAAACCGUGGAGGUAUGUGGUCGGGCUGCCGUGGAAAAGUCGUCUCAAAUCAGCCCUAAAACCUCCGUAUAUAUAGGUGGGAGGGAGGGGGCCUUGCCUUGGGGCUCAAGGAGCCCCAAGGGGGUCGGCCGAGUCCAAGGGGGAGGACUCUCCACCCCCAAACCGAGUUGGACUAGGUUUGGUGGGAGGGAGUCCCCCUCCCUUCCCACCUCCUCCUUUUUUUUUUUUUUUNCCGAGAUUCGAUCGUCAGUAUCCGCAUACCUAUUUCAAUCUCGUUUACCGGCAAGUCUCUUUACUCGUUCCGUAAUACAAGAUCCCGAACUUACACUAAGUUACAUUGCUUGCAAGGCUUGUGUGUGAUGUUGUAUUACCGAGUGGGCCCCGAGAUACCUCUCCGUCACACGGAGUGACAAAUCCCAGUCUUGAUCCAUACUAACUCAACUAACACCUUCGGAGAUACCUGUAGAGCAUCUUUAUAGUCACCCAGUUACGUUGCGACGUUUGAUACACACAAAGCAUUCCUCCGGUGUCAGUGAGUUAUAUGAUCUCAUGGUCAUAGGAAUAAAUACUUGACACGCAGAAAACAGUAGCAACAAAAUGACACGAUCAACAUGCUACGUCUAUUAGUUUGGGUCUAGUCCAUCACAUGAUUCUCCCAAUGACUUGAUCCAGUUAUCAAGCAACAACACCUUGUUCAUAAUCAGAAGACACUGACUAUCAUUGACUAACUGGCUAGCCAACUAGAGGCAUGCUAGGGACGGUGUUUUGUCUAUGUAUCCACACAUGUAAAUGAGUCUUCAUUCAAUACAAUUAUAGCAUGGAUAAUAAACUAUUAUCUUGAUACAUGAAUUAUAAUAAUAACCAUAUUUAUUAUUGCCUCUAGGGCAUAAUUCCAACACCACCAUGUUCAAUUAGGGGAUCACAACGGGUGCGGGAGAGUGGACCGCUCAAAAAAGACGAGGAUGGUGAUGAAGAAGGUGAUGUUGAUGAAGACGGUCACCGCAGCGAUGGUUCCCCCGGUGGCACUCUGGCACCACCGGGAGAGCGGGAGAGAGGGUCUCCACCUUUUGCCUCCUCCUCCAUGGCCUCCCCCAAGGUGGGGAGAGGUUCUCCCUCUGGUUCUUUGCCUCCAUGGUGAUGGUGGCCCCUCCGUCUUCCUCCUCCAUGGUGUCCGGUGAUGGUGACCCCCUCCGGCAGGGUGCCAAAGAGGGCCAAGAUUGGUUUUUCGUGGCUCUGGAGGCUUGCGGUGGCGGAACUCCCGAUCUAGGUUUCUUUCUGGGGGUUUUGGGAUUUAUAUGAUUUUUUGGCAUCGGUCUCACAUCAAGGGGACUCUCGAGGGAUCCACAAGCCACGGGUGUGCCCUAGGGGGUGCCCUAGGCUUGUGACUGCCUCGGGACUCCUCUCUGGUAUCUUUUUGCUCCACUAUUUUUUAUAUUUUCCAAAAAUAUUUUCCGUAAAUUUUCAGCCCAUUCGGAGAACUUUUAUUUCUGCACAAAAACAUCAUCACGGUAGUUCUGCUGAAAACAGCGUGAGUUAGGGUUAGUUCUAAUAAAAUCAUAUAAAAUUAUUGUGAACAUGGCAUGUAUACUUCAUAAAUUAUAGAUACGUUGGAGAUGUAUCAGCAUCCCCAAGCUUAAUUCUUGCUCGUCCUCGAAUAGGGAAAUGAUAAAAGAAACAAUUUAUGAAGUGUGAAUGCUAGCAUAGUGCAUAAAUUUGAUCAAUGAUAGUUCCAAAGACUUGUGCUAGCAUCACUAUAUAUCAUAAACAGUAGCUCAUCUCAUAAAACUUCUCAUGAUGAAGUAACAAGCUAUUCACAUGUUAAAGUAUAGACCAUAAAGUUUCUUGAAAACUAACAAACUAUGCUUUCGGUGACCAAACAUUUGCAAUUCAUCUUAUUUUCGGGAAGGGUCUAUGUAAGAGCUUUUGAUUUAGCAAAUUCCACAUACUCAACUAUCAUAUAGUCUUCCAUGAUUCCUAACACUCAAAUCAUAUUUUUAGAGCAAAUGGCAUUCGUCGAACAGAGAGAAAGAUAGGGGCUUAAAGUGUCGCCUUCCAACUUAUUUAUCAUAUAGAUAGUUGUGAACAAUACUAAUUCAUGAACAAAUAUAUUUGAAUGGACAUAUAUGCUUGGAUCUUUCCCCAGCACAUGAUGUUUGCCAAGAGGAAAAGGCGAAAUAUAGGAAGUGCUGAAGAUCACCAUGAAUCUUGUAUAAAGGUAAGUACUGUAAAGUAAAAGAUAGGCCCUUCGCAGAGGGAAGCAUUGAUUUGCAGAGGUGCCAGAGCUCGAGCUUUUAGAACAGAGAUGAGUAAUAAUUUUGAGUGGUAUGAUCUCAUUGUCAACAUAACAACCGAGAGAUCUCGGUAUCUUCCAUGAUAGAUACAUUAUAGGCAGUUCCCAAACAGAAUGUUAAAUUUUUUACUCCCCCUCCACCAAUCAAUCACACUCCACGGCGAUCCAAAUCCACAAGUACCGUCCAUACAAACAACAAUCUUGGGGUGUUUUGUUUCAUUAUAUUUUGAUUUGAUUUUUGAGCAUGGAACUAGGCAUCCAGAAUACCAGCCACUCUCUCGUGAAUGAUAGUGAAUCAACACAUAUCGUGAGAAUAACCCACCUAGCAUGGAAGAUAUCGAUAGCCUCUACUCACUACAUGAGCGAUUCAGGCAUACAAAACAAAAUAUUAUUUGAAGGUUUAGAGUUUGGCACAUGCAAAUUUACUUGGAAUGGCACAUAAAUACCGCAUAUAGGUAGAUAUAGUGGACUAUCAUGGCAAGAAACUGAGUUUAAGGGUUUUUGGAUGCACAAGUAGUAUCCCUACUUAGUACGAAGUGUUGGCUAGCAAAAGGUUCUAAACAAGCACCACAUGUUGGAGGAUCCAUAACAAUAUAACUUCUAUGAAAAUAUACCCAAACAUAACUCAUUAAGUUGUCUUCCUUGUCCAACUUCAACUAAUUUUGUGAAGUUUGAAAAUAAUUAAUGGGGCUCACAAUCAUAGGAGAUGUCCAAGAUAGAAUAUUUAUAUGUGGAAUCUCUCUUCCUUCAAUAUUCUUUCAUGAAUUGUUCAAGGGACCAAUGCGGUGUUUGCUAACUUUUAAUAAAUUUUAGCACCUAUACUUCUUAUAUGUGAAGUCAUUACUACCCAUGGGAUAAGAAUUCAAAACAUAUAUAAUUUUAAAUUUAUGAUAUCAAAUUUAAUCAACUAUUUACUCAUAGGAUAUAAGUGAAGCACGAGAUUAAAUGACAAAGCUACUCCCAAACAUAUAAGUGGAGAUCAAUGAGUAGUCAAACAAUUAAGUAGCUAUGUGAGGAUUUUCUCCGUCUCUCGCAAUAAAGAUUUUCAGAUCUGAGUAUUUUGUUUAAACAGUAAGCAAAAGAAAAAUAGCACUCCAAGAAUAGGACGUGUCAUGUGAACGAAUAAAAAUUUAGGCUCAACAUAAUCUAACUGAUAGUUCACGAAGAGAGGUGGAUUGCGUAGCCUCCCCAACCUGAGUGUUCUUGAAAUAUUUACUUGGGGUGCCUUGGUCAUCCCCAAGCUUGAGCUUUCGUAUCUUGUUCAAUCCUCUCAUAUCAUGGUUUCACCUAUUCUCAAAAGUUUCAUCCACACAGAUCUCGAAAAUAACUCGUGAGAUAGGUUAGUACACACUAUAAUAAAUCAACUCUUCAUGUACUGCCAAGACAAGUUGUAUAAUAAUUUUCAAACAUCAUCUACUGUUUACUAUCAUUUCCACAAUUUAUAUCUACCAAUAUAUGCUGUGGAAACUAUAGGAUAAGUAGAUAACAAAACUAUGACAGCAAUCUGUCCAAACAGAACAGUCUAUAGCAAUUUAUGAAAACAAUGUACUUCUGUAACUCAAAAUAGUUUGAAAAUUUUGGACAUUCUAUAAAAUUUAUAUGAAAACACUAUGUAAAUAUUUCAGAAACUUUCCACGUUCUAGUAAAAUAUGAAAAUUCCAAUACUAUAAAAAGAGUUUCUGUUUUUACACAGCACACAUCAAACCAUGCAAUGCAAGCAUCCUAAUGCAAUUCUUGGAACUUUUUUAUUGAAAACAAAAUUAUAAAUAACACCUAACAUAAAUAAACAAAACAAAAUGACGCUCCAAGAAAAACUCAUAUUAUGUGACGAAUAAAAAUAUAGCUCUAAGUAAGAUUAUCGAUAGCGUUGGAGACAAAAGAGGAGAUGCUUCCGGAGCAUCCUCAAGCUUAGGCACUCCAGUCUUCCAUGGAUAGGACCUGGGGGGUGCCUUGGGCAUCCCCAAGCUUAGGUUCUUUUCACUCCUUCUUCUCCUCAUAUCGGUGUCUCACCCAAAACUUGAAAACUUCAAUCACACUUAACUUAAUGGAACUUCGUGAGAAGGGUUAGUGUAAUAAAGAUAGAUCAUUCACUUUGGUACUGUGAAGACAAGAUUCAUAAUUGUUACCACAUGAUACCUACUGUAUUCUAUCAUUUCCAUAAUUUAUAUUACUGAAUAUAAGCUGUGGGAACACCAAAAUAAGCAAACUAUGCAUGCAAAACAGAAUCUGUCAAAAAUAGAACAGUCUGUAAAGAUCUGUAGUAUAGCCAUACUUUCCUGCAUCUAAAAAUUCUGACAAAUUAGGACAACCAGAAGUUUUUGGAUAUAAAGACUGUGUCAAAAUUUCAAAUCAUUAUUAUGCUCCAGUAAAAAAUUAAAAUUCAUGUACUAGAGUCAAAAGUUACUGUUUUGGUUCAACAUCAAUUCUACUCAUCUUGUGAGUCAUCCCAAAGGCUUUACUUGGUACUUUAUUGAAAUAAAAGACACAAAACAUGAUUACUACAGUAUCUUAAUCAUGUGAACUCAAAAAAACAGAAGGUAAACGUGUUGGGUUGUCUCCCAACAAGGGCUUUUCUUUAAUGUCUUUUAGCUGGGCAUGGUUAUUUCAAUGAUGCUCUUCCAAGCCUAAAUACGAUGAUGAUUUUAUUCACACUCUAAAAGAUAUAAGUGAAGUUCAUAUAGAAUUCUACAAUUAAUAUAGAUCAACCAAUAUCCAUGCUGAAAAUAUAUAAGUGAAGCACACGAAGCAUUCUAUAAGGCCAUACUCAAAAGAUUUAAGUGAAGCACGAAGAGCAUUCUAUAGAGCCAUACUCAAAAGAUUUAAGUGAAGCACAAAGAGCAUUCUACAAUGCCAUACUCAAAAGAUUUAACUGAAGCACAUGAAGCAUUAUAUAAAUCAAUAAAGGACUAUCUCAUGCUAGACGGGUGCAUAAAAGGAGAAGAAAAACACUAAGGACACAUAUCAUGUGAACAAAACAAAAACCGAGGUAUACCGAUAAUUGUGGAAGAAUAAAGAUGGGAUGCCUUCCAGGGCAUCCCCAAGAUUAGAUGCUUGAGCCUCCUUGGAAUAUUUACUUGGGGUGCCUUGGGCAUCCCCAAGAUUGAACUCUUGUCUCCGUGUAUUCAUCUUUUAUUGAUACCUCCUCGAUCUUCGAAAACUUCAUUCAUACAGAACUUAACAAAACCCUCGUGAGAUCCGUUAGUAAAAUAAAGCAAAAUACUACUUUAAGUACUGUUGUGAACUCAUUCCAAAUUCAUAUUAGAAUUAUAUCUACUGUAGUCCAACUUCACAAUGGUUCAUACCCCCAGUACUACCCAUAUAUUCAUCAAAACAAGAGAACAAUGCAUAGAAAACAAAAUUUGUCAAAAAGAGGAGAGUCUAUAGUAAUCUGGAAACUUUGUAUACUACUGUAAAUCAAACAAUUCCGAAUAAGUUGGAAGAAAUAAAAAAUAUUCAUAGAAGUAGUGUGUAAAAAGUUCAGAAACUUUUUACAUUCCAGUAAAAAACGUAAAUUCACGCACUACAACGAAAGUUUCUGUUUUUGCACUUCACACACCAAACAAGCAAUCUAAUCAUCCUAAUGGCAAAUCUUGGCAUGUUACUUUUAUAAUACAAUGGAUAUAUACAAGGGGAUAAUUAUUUUUGAGAAACUUCCAUCAAAAAUUCUACAUUGCUUACAUGAUCAUGAACACAAGUGUUCAAGGUCGACCCUCACUUCCCCAAUGCACAACCUUCCAAUCACUUCUCUUUUUGAAAACUUCUUAGGCAUAAGAGGCAAGUAAAUAUUUUUGUAUUUUUAAUUAUUUUUUUAGUUUCACCCACAAAUAAAUAAAUCAAAAUGGGAAAAAAUCUACUUAGUGAAGAAAUCAAACAAGCACAUUCGAGAAUAUCAACCCCACGCUAUUGCUCCCCGAAAACGGCGCCAGAAAAGAGCUUGAUAAUCCCCAAGUGCAAGGAAUCAUCGUGGCAAUUUCCAAAGGUGGAAGUGAUAAGUAUGGACUGUCGAACCCACAAGGAGCUAAAGGUAAGAGAAAUAUUAUCCCAAGUCCUAUAUGCCACUGACACUACUCUACGUACGCCGAACAUUUGCUUCCAACUAGGAAGGAGAAAUAAAACUACGUUGUGGGUAUGAAGAGAAUAGCUUUGCAUGACAUCGAAGAACUAAAAUAUAAAAAUAGGUGCUUUUAUCAUAAAGCUAGAAUAUGUUACAAUAUAUUAUAAAUAGCGAGUGUGGAAUAAUGAUGGGUCGGUGUGCGGAAUUGUCCUAGGCAAUUGUUAAGUAGAUUGGUAAUCAUUAUUGCAAUUUUACAUGAGGGAGAGGCAUAAGCUAACAUACUUUCUCUACUUGGAUAAUAUGCAGUUAUGAAUGGAACUCUAGCAAGCAUCCGCAACUACUAAAGAUCAUUGAGGUAAAACCCAACAAUAGCAUCAAGUCCCCUUUCUCCCAUACGCAACAACCCACCUACUCGGGUUUAUGCUUCUGUCACUCUAGCAACCCACUAUAAGAGAUCAUGAACGUAUUGCAACUCCCUACAGCGAGAAUCCCUCACGCUUGCACGACACGGAGAGCGUCAUAAGACAGAACCAAUAAUAAAUCACGCGACUCAAACCAAUCUAGAUCAUCAACCAACCCAUAAGACAAAGGGAAACUACUCAAAACAUCAUACCAUGGCAACACAUCAUUGGAUCAUAAUAUGUGGCAUGAAGCACCAUUUUCAUGUAGGGGAUUAUAGCGGGAUGCGGGAGAGUGGACCGCUAAAAAGAAGAUGAGGAUGGUGAUGAAGAAGGUGAUGUUGAUGAAGACGAUCACCGCGGUGAUGGUUCCCUCGAUGGCACUCGGCACCACCGGGAGAGAGGGGGAGAGGAUCUCCCCCUUGUGGCUCCUCCCCCAUGGUUUUCCCCCCAAGGUGGGGAGAGGUUCCCCCUCUAAUCCUUGGCAUCCAUGGUGACGAUGGCCCCUCCGUCUUCCUCCUCCAUGGUCUCCGGCGAUGGUGACCCCUCCGGCAGCGUGCCGGAGUGGGUCAAGAUUGAUUUUUCGUGGCUCUAGCUUGCGGUGGCGGAACUCCCGAUCUAGGUUUCUUUCUGGGGGUUUUGGGUUUUAUAGGAAUUUUUGGCGUCAGUCUCACGUCAAGGGGACUCCUGAGGGACUCCUCGGGAGUCCUCUCUGGUAUCUUUUUCCUCCAGUAUUUUUUAUAUUCUCCAAAAAUAUUCUUUGUAAAUUUUCAGCCCAUUCCGAGGAUUUUUAUUUAUGCACAAAAACACCACAUUAGUUCUGCCGAAAACAGCGUCACUCCGGGUUAGUUCUAAUAAAAUCAUACCAAAAUCAUAUAAAAUUAAUGUAAACAUGGCAUGAAUACUUUAUAAAUUAUAGAUACGUUGGAGACGUAUCAAGGAGCAAGAGUGGCUGGGGACGAUGUCGUGGAAAACUGUCCGGGUCGGCUGGAGCUCGGACUCCAGGAUGCCGAGCUUGUCCAUGGUGUCGCGGUAGAGGAUGUUGAUGCUGCUACCUCCCUUGAUGAGCAUCGGUGCGAAACCGGGAGGUGCUCCGUGUGGAGACGAAGGUGGGGUCGAGAACCAGCGCGUAUCCGCCUCGCGUGGGCAUCACAGGAGAAUGGUCUUGGCACCGAAGGUGACGGGCUUGUUCAACCAUUGCAUGUACUCUGGGACAGGAGGAACGAUGAUGUUGACCUACAGCGCGUGACGGCGCUCGCUGUGCUUGUCGUCGUCUUCAGUGGUGAAGACACGUACGUCGCGUCUUGCUGGGGGUAGUCGUCCCGAGCGCCGCCGGCUCCCAGAGCGGGUGGUGGUGGUGGCGGCUGCGACACGGGAGGCAAAGCCUCGUCCCGCACGAUCUUGGUGAACCAGCUGCACUGGCGUCCCGUGUGCGCUGCGGGCUUGGCCCCGUUGUCGAACUUGCAGGGUCCGUCGAGCAUGGACUCGAAUUUGUACUUGCUGUGCCAUGGAUGCUUGCCCUCAUUGGUGCACUGACGCCGGCUGGCGCCUUGGCCGUCAUCCAUACAGCCGUCGGCUGGUGCCUUGGCGGGCGUACGGCUGGUCUGCCUUACGCUUGCCCUGGUCUGGCUGGUAUCGGACGGCAGCCGGGGUGGCAGCCGGCUUGGCGGCGGUCGGCUUGGCGGUCAUGUCGACAUGCACUCGGAGCUUCAUGGAAGACUCGGUCAUGGCGUAUUGGUCGACGAUGGACAUUAGUUGCACCAGGGUCGCCGGCUCCCGGCGCACGAGUUUGCUUGAGGAGGGUGUCGUCCCGGCAGCCGUAGAUGAAGUACUGCAUCGCUUGCAACUCGUGGAUGCCAUCGCAGGAAUUUCGGAGCUCGUCCCAUCGCGUUACGUAGUCGUGGAGAAGCUCGUCCGGCCCGUGCACGCACAACGUGAGCUGGUGAGGCCGGCCCGGACGCUUGUAGGUGCCGAUGAAGUUGCACACAAACGUCUCCUAGAAGUCCAGCCAGCCGUUGACGCUGUCGGCCGGAAGGCUGUUAAGCCAGGUCCGAACCGAGCUCAGUAGCAUGUGGGGCGCGUAGCACACUGCCACACGCUUGUUGCCGCUGGCGAUGCCGACAGCGGUGGUGUAGUCGAUCAACCAUUCUUCCUGCUUGGUCAAACCGUUGUACUUGGGAGUGUCGCGCGCCAAGGUUAAGCCCUUAGAAAACGACUCCUUUAGGAAGCGCGGCCCGAAGCAGGACCGGCCAGCUGUGCCUUCCUCCUCGGCGGCUUGGGACCCGGCGAUGCACGCCAUAUGGAAGCGGGCAUCCUGGUCGUCCAGCUGACGCACGUCGACACGCUUGGAUACGGGGUGACGGGAAGGCGGAUGCUCGGCCUCCCGGUCGCGGUCCUCGCAUUGAUUCCUCCGUGUGGGCUGGUGGUCGCCCUGGCCAGUCGGCUCCCUCACACGGCUGUCGACAACUGAUGGGUUGUGGUCUCGCCGACCGUGUCUGCCCGCGCCAACUGUCAUGGUGCUGGUCGGUGUUGGCAGGUAAAGAUGCGUGAUUCGGGUCCCGCCGACUGGCCGCAAGCUAGUAGGGGCCAAUGAGGUCGUUGUUGGUCCUCGAGCGGGAGCCAGUCGUGCCGCGGAGCGACUGGCUUGCCUGCUCGUGGUGCGCGUUGGCAGCCUCCAUGAGAGCGCGGAUGUGCUCCUGCUAUGCCUCAAGGGUCGGGCCGUCGAGCCCCCUAGCUAGCCGAGGGCGGCCUCUGCGGCCCUCAUGUUCUUGACGGGGGUAUCGUAGACGGGGCAGCCGCCUACCAGCUACUGGCCAACGGCACCGCCGCAGCGCCGCACUUCCGCCACCCGGCUGGGUGCGAUGUCAGCCAGCGUGAGGCCAUGGGCCACAUUGAAAUCGUGCUGAGCAGCCUCGAACUUGCUUUGGGUCGCCUCCAACGCUUCCGCCUCCGCGAGAAGGCGCUCGCGGUGGUUGUCCAGUUCCGCGGUUGCGGCCGCAGGGUCAGCCACAACCAGGAUGGGCACGCGUAGUGUGUCUAGUGAAGCGCAAAGAGGGGUGCGGUACGCGGACGUACCACCCAGGGAGAUGGCAAUCAUUACCUCCACACGGAUGCAUAGGACGUCGAUGUCGCUAGAGAGGUCGUCGUCGGACGACGACAUGACAUCACCACAUGACGGCAGACGACGGGUUACUCGUCGGAGAUGACGGCGACAUAGAAGCGGUGGGACCCGAAGGCGACGAAGGAGCCGUUGUCGGGGAAGUCUGCAUCCUCGAGGCGAUGGGCGUUGUCCUUGACACAGUUGAGUGCGUCGUAGCACAGGAGCAAGCCAUGCGCCACGCGCUCGCCAGAAAGGGUUACGGGUCCCGCCCAGAACGUCACUCCGGCCUGCAUCGCUGCCGGCCCUACGGUGGGCACCAACUAUCAUAGUAUUUCCGCGGCAGAUGCCAGGGGGUGGCUUAGAACAUGGUUUGGGGCCGAUGGGUGUGAUACAUCUCCACCGUAUCUAUAAUUUAUGAACUAUUCAUGCCAUGUUUACAAUAAUUCUAUAUGAUAUUGGUAUGAUAUUAUUAGAACUAACCCGGAGUGACGCUGUUUUCAACAAAGCUACCGUGUUGUUAUUUUUGUGCAGAAAUAAAAGUUCUCAGAAUGGGCUGAAAAUUUACGGAGAAUAUUUUUGGAAAAUAUGAAAAAUAAUGGAGCAAAAAGAUACCGGAGAGGAGUCCCGAGGCAGUCACCAGGGCGCGACCCCCCCUAGGUCGUGCCCCUGGCUUGUGGGCCCGUCGAGCACUCCCGUGACAUGGUUCCAACGCCAAAUAUUCUUAUAAAUAUAGAAACCCUCGAAAAGAAACUUUGAUCAGGAGUUCCCCCGCAGCAAGCCUCCAGAGCCAUGAAAAACCAAUCUUGGCCCGCUCUCGCACCCUGCCGGAGAGGGCCACCAUCACCGGAGACCAUGGAGGAGGAAUACGGAGGGGCCAUCAUCACCAUGGAGGCGAAGGACCAUAGGGAGAACCUCUCCCCACCUUUGGGGGAGGCCACGAAGGAGGAGGCACAAGGGGGAGAACCUCUCCACCUCUCUCCUGGUGGUGCCAGACGGCCACAUGGGGAACCAUCGCCGCGGUGAUCGUCUUCAUCAACAUCACCUUCUUCAUCACCAUCCUCAUCUUCUUUUAGCAGUCCACUCUCCCGCACCCCAAUGCCAUCCCCUACUUGAACAUGGUGCUCUAUGCCACAUAUUACGAUCCAAUGAUGUGUUGCCAACCUAUGAUGUUUUGAGUAGAUUCCCUUUGUCUUAUGGGUUGAUUGAUGAUCUAGAUUGGUUUGAGUUGCAUGCUUUAUUAUUGGUGUUGUCCUAUGGUGCUCUCCGUGUCGCGCAAGCAUGAGGGAUUCCCUUUGUAGGGUGUUGUAAUACGUUCAUGAUUCNNNNNNNNNNNNNNNNNNNNNNNNNNNNNNNNNNNNNNNNNNNNNNNNNNNNNNNNNNNNNNNNNNNNNNNNNNNNNNNNNNNNNNNNNNNNNNNNNNNNNNNNNNNNNNNNNNNNNNNNNNNNNNNNNNNNNNNNNNNNNNNNNNNNNNNNNNNNNNNNNNNNNNNNNNNNNNNGGUUGCUUGAGUGACAGAAGCAUAAACCCGAGUAGGUGGGUUGUUGCGUAUGGGAUAAAGCGGACUUGAUGCUUUAAUGCUAUGGUUGGGUUUUACCUUAAUGAUCUUUAGUAGUUGUGAUGCCUACUAGAGUUCCAACCAUAAGUGCAUAUGAUCAAAGUAGAUAAAGUAUGUUAGCUUAUGCCUCUCCCUCAUAUAAAAUUGCAAUAAUGAUUACCCAUCUUGUUAACAAUUGCCUAGGACAAUUGCGCACGCCGACCCAUCAUUAUUCCACACUCUCUAUUUGUAACACAUUAUAAUAUAUUCUAACUUUAUGAUAAUAGCACCAAUUUUCAUAUUUUAGUUCUCCAAUUUCAUGCAAAACUAUUCUCUUCAUACCCACAACGUAAUUUUAUUACUCGUUCCUAGUUGGAAGCAAACGUUCGGCGUAUGUAGAGUUGUAUCAGUGGCAGAUAGGAGAGAAUAUUGCUCUUACCUUUAGCUCCUUGUGGGUUCGACACUCCAUACUUAUCAUUUCCACCUUUGGAAAUUGCUACGAUUAUUCCUUGCACUUGGGGAUUAUCAAGCUCUUUUCUCGCGCCGUUGCCGGGGAGCAAUAGUGUGGGGUUGAUAUUCUCAUGUGUGCUUGUUUGCUUUCUUCACUAAGUAUAUUUUGUUUUCCCUUUUUGAUCUAUUUAGUUGUGGUUGAAACAAACAAAAAAAUUGAAUAAUGAAAAAUACAAAAAGAAUUACUUGCCUCUUAUGCCUAAGAAGUUUUCAAAAAGGGAAGUGAUUGGAAGGUUGUGCAAUGGAGAAGUGAGGAUCGACCUUGAACACUUGUGUUCAUGAUCAUGGAAGCAAUGUAGAUUUUUUUUCAUGGAAGUUUCUCAAAAAUAAUUAUCCCCUUAUAUAUAUAUCCAUUGUAUUAUAAAAAUAAUGUGCCAAGAUUUGCCUCUAGGAUGAUUAGAUUGCUUGUUUGGUGUGUGGUGUGCAAAAUAGAAACUUUGGCUCCACUCCGCGAGUUUACGUUUUUUACUGGAAUGUCAAAAGUGUCUGAAAUUUUUACAAAAAAAUUAUUUCGUGCUAAUUAGUCAGAAUAUUUUGAGUUACAGAAGUAUACGAAGUUUUCAGAUUGCUACAAAUUGUACUGUUUUGACAGAUUCUGUUUUCUUACGAUUGUUCUCUUGUUUUCAUGAAUCUAUGGGUAGUACCGGGGGGUAUGAACCAUGGUGAACUUGGACUACAUUAGAUAUAAUUCUAAUAUGAAUUUGGAAUGAGUUCACAACAGUACUUAAAGUAGUAUUUUUCUUUAUUAUACUAACGGAUCUCACGAGAGUUUUAUUAAGUUUUGUAUGAAUGAAGUGUCCGAAGAUCGAGGAGGUAUCGUUAAAAGAUGAAUACAGGGAGACAAGAGUUCACGAUUGGGGAUACCCAAGGCACGCCAAGUAAAUAUUUCAACGAGGCUCAAGCAUCUAAUCUUGGGGAUGCCCUCGAAGGCAUCCCAUCUUUAUUCUUCAACAAUUAUCGGUAUACCUUGGUUUUUGUUUUGUUCACAUGAUAUGCGUCCUUAGUGUUUUUCUUAUCCUUUUAUGCACCUUUCUAGUAUGAUAUAGUCCUUCAUUGAUUUAUAGAAUGCUUCAUGCGCUUCACUUAAAUCUUUUGAGUAUGGCUUUGUAGAAAGCUCUUGGUGCUUCACUUAAAUCUUUUGAGUACGGCUCUAUAGAGUGCUCUUCGUGCUUCACUUAAAUCUUUUGAGUAUGGCCUUAUAGAACGCUUCGUGUGCUUCACUUAUAUAUUUUCAGCUUAGAUAUUGGUUGAUCUAUAUUAAUUGUAGAAUGCUCUAUGAACUUCACUUAUAUCUUUUAGAGUAUGAAUAAAAUUAUCAUCGCAAUUAGGCUUGGACGAGCAUCAUUGAAAUGAUCAUGCCUAGCUAAAAGGCAUUAAAGAAAAUCGUUUAUUGGGAGAUGAUGUCCCACAAGCGUAUGGGAUCACAGCAGUUUUCGAGGGUAGAGUAUUAGACCCAAAUUUAUUGAUUCGCUCACAAGGUGAAGCUAAAGGAUAUUCUCAAGUAUUGGCAGCUGAGUUGUCAAUUCAACCACACCUGAAAAAUUAGUGUCUGCGAGCAAAGUAUCAGUAGCAAGGUAGUAUGAUAGCAACGGCACCAGAAAAAGCUUUGGCAAUGAUACGUCUCCAUCGUAUCUACUUUUCCAAACUCUUUUGCCCUUGGUUUGGACUCUAAUUUGCAUGAUUUGAAUGGAACUAACCUGGACUGACGUUGUUUUCAGCAGAAUUGCCUUGGUGUUAUUUUUGGGCAGAAAUCAAAGUUCUGAGAACGUCCUGAAAAUUUACGGGGAACAUUUUUGGAAAAUAUGAAAAAUACCUGCGCAAAGAUCCACCUCAGGGGGUGGGCGAGUGGGCCACAAGCCCUGCCUCCACCACCCCCCUGGUGGCGGUGGAUAAGCUUGUGGGGCCCACACGACUCUGCCGCCCCCAAUCUCAGGUCUAUAAGUUCACUUUCGUCCCAGAAAAAAAUAAAAAGAGAAGAUUUCGUCGCAUUUGCGAUAUGGAGGCGCCGCCACAACCUGUUCUUCAUCUGGAGGGCAGAUGUGGAGUCCGUCUUGGGCUCCGGAGAGGGGAAAUCGUCACCAUCAUCAUCAUCAACCUUCUUCCCUCUCCAAUUCCAUGAAGCUCUUCGUCGUUCGUGAGUAAUCUAUUCGUAGGCUCGCUGGGCGGUGAUGGGUAGGAUGAGAUCUAUCAUGUAAUCGAGUUAGUUUUGAUGGGGAUUGAUCCCUAGUAUCCACUAUGUUCUGAGAUUGAUGUUGCUACUACUUUGCCAUGCUUAAUGCUUGUCACUAGGGCCCGAGUGCCAUGAUUUCAGAUCUGAAAUUAUUAUGUUGCCACCAAUAGAUGUGUGUUUUAGAUCCGAUCUUGCAAGUUGUAGUUACCUACUAUGUGUUAUGAUCCGGCAACCCCGGAGUGACAAUAACCGGAACCACUCCCGGUGAUGACCAUAGUAUGAGGAGUUCAUGUGUUCACCAAGUGCUAAUGCGUUGGUCCGGUUCUUUAUUAAAAGGAGAACCUUAAUAUCCCAUAGUUUCCUUUUGGACCCCGCUGCCACGGGAGGGAUGGACAAUAGAUGUCAUGCAAGUUCUUUUCCCUAAGCAUGUAUGACGACACACGGAAUGCAUGCCUACAUCACAUUGACGAACGGGAGCUAGCCACAUAUCUCUCCGUGUUAUAAUUGUUGCAUGAUGAAUAUCACCCAAACAAAUCACCGACCCAUUGCCUACGAGUUUGUCCUACUGUUGAUGUUACUUGUCUUGCUCUGCUGCUGUUACUUGUCUUGCUCUGCUGCUACUGUUGCUACUACUGUCGCUUACCACUGGGUUACUUGCUACUUUGCUGUUACUACUUUGCUUGCAGAUACUAAUCUUUCAGGUGUGGUUGAAUCUGACGCAUUCAGCUGCUAAUACACGAGAGUAUUCUCUCACCUCCUGUCUGGCGAAUCAACAAAUUUGGGUCGAAUACUCUACCCUAGAAAACUGCUGCGAACCCACGCGCUGGUGGGCCGUCAACAACAUUCUUCUAGUUUCAUUGCCAGGGAGUGCUGGUAGCAUUCUUCUGGUUCCGUUGCAGGAGAAGGUUUGUUGUCACAGAAUCCGCAUUCGUCUAGCUAUUGCCAGAGAGUGCCAGUCAGCAUUUUUCUGGCGCCGUUGCCGGGGAGGUAUUGCUAUAUUCUCUGAGUCACUUGGGAUUUAUAUCUAAAGAUCACUAUGAAGAAUCUGAAGGAUCCAAAAACCAAAGUCUUGCCCUCAACUACGAGGGGAGGUAAGGAACUGCCAUCUAGCUCUGCACUUGAUUCACCUUCUGUUAUGAGUAAGUUUGCGACAUCACCUCCUUCUAGAAAUCUUGAUAUGUCGCCUGUGCUUGAUGAUGCUACUACUAGAGAUGCUAUGCUUGAUACUAUGCCUGAUACUGCUUUGUCUGAUGAUGUUAGAGAUACUAUGCAUGAUACUGCUUUGCCUGAUAUUGCUAGAGAUACUAUGCUUGAUAUUGCUAGAGAUGCUAUGCUUGAUACUGCUUUGCCUGAUGAUGCUAUGCUUGAUACUGCUAGAGAUACUACUUUGCCUGAUGUUCCACUAGGGGUAUUCCUUGAUGCUCAUAUUGCUAGAGUUACUUCCAAUGAUCGUGAUGCUUCUGAAACUGCCGAUACUAUUGAGAUAGAACCUGCUUUUGCUCCUGCUAGAUCUAGCUUUCCUAGAUAUGAAUUGCCUGAUAUACCUGAGGGUUACGUUAUGGAGGGAGAGAUAGCUGAGGAUUUUCUUGCAUGUAAGGAUGCCUAUGACACUGAGAAAUUACUUCUCAAGUGGAAGGAAAAAUCUCUGAAAGCUAGGAUGAAAUACGACCCGAAGUUUGCCACUUCACCUAUCUUUAUCACCCAUAAGGAUUAUGAAUUCUCUGUCGACCCCGAGAUAAUCUCUCCAGUCGAAUCUGAUCCUUUCCACGGUUAUGAGUCUGAGACGGUCGUAGCCCAUCUUGCCAAACUACACGAUAUAGCCACCCUUUUCACUAAUGAGGAGAAGAUCCGCCACUACUAUAUCCUUAAGUUGUUUCCUUUUUCCCUGAAGGAUGAUGCUAAAGCCUGGUUCACCUCUCUUGCUCCUGGAUGUGUGAGUAGUCCCCAGGAUAUGGUCUAUUACUUCUGUGAGAAAUAUUUUCCUGCCCAUAAGAGGCAAGCUGCCUUGCAGGAAAUAUACAACUUUGCUCAACUCCAAGAAGAGAGUCUUCCACAAGCUUGGGGGAGGCUCGUCCAGCUACAGAAUGCUUUGCCUGAUCACCCUCUUAAGAAGAACGAGAUACUUGAUAUCCUCUAUAACGGACUUAUCGAUGCCUCUAGAGACCAUCUAGAUAGUUGUGCCGGUUGUGUUUUUAGGGAACAAACUGCAGAACAAGCUGAGACCCUACUGAAUAACAUCUUGAUCAACGAUAAUGUUUCGACUAUUCCCGAACCACGUCCUAAGCCAACUCCUAAGAAAUAAGGUAUUCUAUUCCUCAGUCCCGAAGAUAUGCAAGAAGCCAAGAAAUCUAUGCAAGAGAAAGGCAUUAGAUCUGAAGAUGUCAAAAAUCUACCACCUAUCGAAGAGAUCCAUGGUCUCAAUAACCCGAUACAGGUAGUAGAAGUAAAUUCUCUGCGUAGGUUUGAUGAGAGUGAUAUUCGUUUUGACGAACCUGCUAGCCUAUGCUUUGAUGAAUUUGACAACUUUGUUGCCAAACAACAGAGUUUCAGUGAUUAUGUUAGCAGACAUUUGGAACAAAGUACUCGUAUGCUUAGCCAUUUAAGUGCUUGUGUAGACAGAAAUGUCAAUGAUCUGAAGCUUCUGACUAAAAAUGCCUCUAUGAUUACUACUCAGGUAGAAAAAGUACUUAAAGCUUAGAAUGACUUGCUCAAUGAAUUAAAUGACAACUCUGUCAGAGUCAUUACUAGAGGAGGCAAAAUGACUCAGGAACCUUUGUAUCCUGAAGGUCAUCCUAAGAGAAUUGAUCAAGAUUCUCAAGGAAUCAAUGCUGAUACACCCAGUCAUCCUAAGGAGAAGAAGAAGGAUGAUAGACACCUACAUGCCAGUUCACCAAAUACUGGCACACCUGAAGAACCUAAUGAUAUUUCUGCGUCUGAUGCAGAAACACAAUGUGGUGAUGAACAUGAACCUGGUGACAAUAUGGAUAGCGAUGUUCAUAAUAAUGCUCAACCUAGCAAUGAUGAGGAUGUGGAGAUUGAACCUACGGUUAAUCAUGAUAAACCACAACCUAAGAGAUACGAUAAGAAUGACUUCACUGCUAGGAAGCAUGGUAAAGAAUGGGAGCCAUGGGUUCAGAGAUCUAUGCCCUUUCCUCCUAAGCCAUCCAAGAAAAAGGAUGAUGAGGAUUUUGAGCGCUUCGUUGAGAUGAUAAGACCCAUCUUUCUGCAGAUGCGGUUAACUAAUAUGCUCAAGAUGUCUCCGCAUGCCAAGUACAUGAAAGAUAUCGUGACUAAUAAACGGAAGAUACCAGAUCUUGAGAUCUCCACCAUGCUUGCCAAUUACACUUUCAAAGGUGGAACUCCUAAGAAACUUGGUGAUCCCGGAGUGCCCACUAUACCUUGUUCCAUUAAAGGAAACUACGUAAGAACUGCCUUAUGUGACCUUGGAGCCGGUGUUAGUGUUAUGCCGCUCUCUCUUUAUCGUAGACUUGAGUUGGAUAAGUUGACACCCACUAAAAUUUCUCUGCAAAUGGCCGACAAAUCAACUGCUUUUCCUAUCGGCAUUUGCGAGGAUGUGCCUGUUGUGGUUGCUAAUACCACUAUCUUAACAGACUUUGUUAUCUUGGAUAUUCCCGAGGAUGAUGCCAUGGCUGUCAUCCUCGGAAGACCCUUUUUAAACACUGCAGGGGCUGUUAUAGAUUGCAACAAAGGCAAUGUCACUUUCCAUGUCAACGGUAAUGAGCACACAGUGCACUUUCCGAAGAAACGAUAUCAACUACAUUGCAUCAAUGCUAUUGAAAAGACUUCAUCGAUUCUUAUUGGGAGCUUUGAAUGCCCUAUUCCUCGUGUCAAGAUGAAGUAUGAUUUGCUUGUUGGGGAGAUACAUAUCCCCAUUGAGGUGACUUAGUGGCUAUUCGAAAAUUCUCCGUUCUCUCUUGCGAUUCGAGAAGGUUUUUUCAUGAGGACUUGAUCAACCCAUUGACGGAUUUCUUUCGAUGACCAUGAAAUGGAUGAAUCAAAGAGUCACAUACCUCUGUUUUGAGCUUUCAUUUUCUGUUGCUUAGAAGAAAAAUGAUGGAAUUAGUUUAGCUUUUCCUGUUUUCUCUUUUAGCGUCCCGGAGAAAAAUACCUCGAAAAUAAAAGUUCUCCGAUGGUCUUGAAAAUUUAGUUUGAUUUUUUCUGGAAUUUUUGAAAAUUACUGGGCCUGAGAGAUGGCCUGGGGGCGAGACCAGUGGGCCACAAGCCCUGCCACCGCCACCCCCCUGGUGGCGGAGAGAAAGCUUGUGGGGCCCACACGGACCCCCUCCACUCAUUCCAGCUCCCAGCCUCUUCUUCCACCUCCAGAAAAAAAUUGUUUCGCAGCUCAAACCCGUGUUCUUGCUCAUUUGGCUGUGAUUUUGGAUCUCCUUGCUCAAAGCACCAUUCUCCGAACCGUUCUGGGGAAAUUACUCCUUGGUAAGUGACUCCUCCAUUGGUCCAAUUAGUUUUUGCUCUAGUGCUUUAUCCUUCGCGUAUUCUUGCUACCUUGGUGACCCUGUUCUUGAGCUAGAAAAGUUUAUUUUAGCUAGACCCAAGUAGUUUUAGCGCGUGAUACGGUCUCUAGGCACUAGUAGGAGUAGUUGCUACAAGUUGGGUUAAUCUUUUUUCACUUUUCUUUCGAAGUCUCUAAACAUUUCAGAAUUUUUCAGAGCUAGAAAAAGGAAAAGAUGAAGAGGUUCUUGAGAGGCUCUUCAAGCCGUAACCCCAAGGAGGAUGAGAAGAACCACCCCAAGUAUGUAGUCCCUCGAGUCACAGAAGUUCGAGCGUGCGAGUGGCCAAGUGAUGAAUUUUUGCGCGCCACCGGACUUUAUGAAGACUUUUACUACUUGGUGGAGAACGCGGGUCUUACCGCGUUCGUUGAAGAUAAGUGCUCACAAUACCUCUUCCUCACCAAUAUUUUUGUUCAAAGCUUCAACUUUUAUCCGAGGAAGAAUCCUCGCAUGGUUGAGUUCAUGAUAUACGACAUCCCCCAGUGCAUGACACUACAGGAUUUUUGGAAUGUAUGCAAAUUACCUUGUGUUGGCGAUAUCCGUGACCCUCGUCCACAGGACUUGGAGGAUUUCAUUGGUUCUACUGCUGUUGGAGAGGAGAGAGGAGUGUCUCGCGCUAGAAUUGUUAGCAUACAUUUUCCUAUGCUCCGGUAGUUCUCACUAUUUGUGGGAAAAUGUUUGAUUGGCCGUGGGGAGGCUGGAUCACUUAGUUCUCCAGACCUUGCAGUUUUACGCGAAGACCUUUAUAACGAUAAGGCUUAUAGCCUAGGUGUUAUAGUGGCCCAGCGGUUGAACACCAACCGUUCCAAGGGUGUCGUCUAUGGAGGUAUCUAUGCUACCCGUCUUGCCAGACACUUUGAGAUACCCAUUAGACUGGGAGAGGAAGGAGAGAUGCUUCUCCCCGAGAAAUAUCUGGAUUAUGACAGCAUGGUUCGCCAUGAUUAUCUGGAUAGAGAUGCUAGUAUAUGGAUGAUUUAUAACCUGGUAUUUAGUCAGGGUACUCGAGAGACUAUUACUUUGCCUGCCCCUUCUUUGUUUGAUCUUCAUGCAGACAGGUACACUAUUAUGCCCUCGGACAUCUACGCAUAUUGGGGCCUGGCCCAACCACACGCGCCCGUGCCCGAGCCGUCAGUCGAGUAUCAGACGCCAGUUUAUCAGUGGGAGCCAGAGGAGCUCACACAGCAGUGGCAUCCACAGUCUGCUCCGGAGUAUCCUGGAGCUGGUGAAUUCCCACCAUGGGAGUAGUCCAAGCUAGGCCAAAAGCCUAAGCUUGGGGGAGUACGUGUUCUCACCGACUUUACAUUCAUGCUUAUGCUUUCACUUUGUUAGCCGGUGUUUACACUUUGCCACUGUAUUAUCCAUGCUAGUUUAUUUUUUUUUCUUGUUUUCUUGUUUUGUGUCCUUUUGAGAAAAUCCAAAAAGAUUUUUCUUUCUUCUUUUGCUUGUUGGGAGCUUUCCCGUGUAAAUAGUGUUCUUUUUCUUUGGGUCAAGGUAGAAGAUAUUGGUUACAAUGUUUAGUGGUUCUUGCAUGCAUACCUGUUUAGCUUUCAAAGAGCCAUAUUACCUUGUCUUCUCCUUUGUGUUUGCCUGCAGAUUCACCUUAGUCCAAUGCGCGAGCACUCUUAUUAUUGUUCACAUCGUUCGGUCAUGCAAAUGAAAGGCAAUAAUGAUGAUAUAUGAUGAAGUGACUAAGACUGAAAAGCUGGUAUGAGCUCUAUCUAUUUUGUUUUUGUAAAUAUGACUAGCUUGUCAUCCCAGAUUCAACUUUGUUGUGAGAGAACCAUGUUUGCAAUGACAACUUUGAGAUCAUAGUUUCUGAUUCCAUGCUUAUUUAGCUAGGAGCUUAUAAUGGUUUGUCUUGAAUGCCAACAUAGAUUUUGAGAUGACUAUGAUGUAGUAUGAUAGGAUGGUAUUCUCCUUUGAAUGUUUCAAGUGGCUUGACUUGGCGCAUGUUCAUGCAUGUAGUUGAAACAAAAUCAACAUAGCCUCUAUGAUGUUCGUUUUCAUGGUGAUUUAUAUCCUAUUCAUGCUUGCAUUCAAUGUUAGUCAAACGCAUUGCAUCUUGAUGACUGUUGUCGCUCUCUAGUUGGUCGCUUCCCAGUCUUUUGCUAGCCUUCACUUGUACUAAGCGGAAUACUGCUUGUGCAUCCACUUCCAUAAACCCAAGAGUUUUUCCAUGAGAGUCCACCAUACCUCCCUAUUUGCGGUAUCUACCUGCCGUUCCAAGUGAAUUUGCAUGUGACAUUCUCUAAACCAUCAAGAAAUAAUCUGUUUUGCAUGUCGGAACCGCUCAUGUGGUGACAGGGGGCUAUUGGUAUCUUCCAUGCUAGGAGUGUUAUCCUCGACAUGUGUUUAUUCACUGUCAUUCACGAGAAAGGGGCCGGUAAUAGGAAUGCCCAGUUCCACGCUUAAAUCAAAAACAUAACUGUAAAACAAGACCCCCCCCCCCCGGGUUGAUGUUAGUAUGGAUGGUACCCGAGGAUUCGGCUAGCCGUGGAUUGUGAUUGAUUGGUGGUGGGGGAGUUAAAACUUUACUUUUUUGUUUGGGAACUGCCUAUAGCAUGAGUAGCAUGGAAGAUAUUGAGAACUCUUGGUCAUUGCGUUGACAAUGAAAGCAUGCCACCCAAAAUUAUUAUCUCUGUUUUCAAAGCUUGAGCUCUGGCACCUCUGCAAAUCAAUGCUUCCCUCUGCGAAGGGCCUCUCUAUUUAUUUUCCUAUUGAGUCAUCCUCCUCUUAUAUAAGCACCAAUUAGAGAGCACUUCUGUCAUUUUUAUGCUUUGCUUUUGAUUGGUAUUGAGUAUGACUAUGACUGGAUCUUCGUUUUUAUGAAUUACAAUGUUUAGUCACCCCUUGAUCUUUGAAAGUGCUCUGCAUUUAUGUUUUGUGGUCUCAGAAAGAGCUAGCGAGAUACCACCUAUUCAUAUUGCUCCAUGCUUGUUUUGAUUGAAGUGUUGGUAUUUGAAACUCAUUAUUAUUUGCUCGUUAGCUGAUUAUGACAUUGAUAUUAGUUUACCGUGAGACCUUUGUGUCACUUGCUUAUGUGGUUAACUUGUGAUAUUGCUGAAAUUGUGGUUAUGAGUUAGACAUAGUUGCAACAACAAGAUCAAACAGAGUUUGUCAAAGUUUUUCUUUCUCUCUCAGUUUGUCAACUGAGUUGCUUGAGGACAAGCAAGGUUUUAAGCUUGGGGGAGUUGAUACGUCUCCAUCGUAUCUACUUUCCAAACUCUUUUGCCCUUGUUUUGGACUCUAAUUUGCAUGAUUGAAUGGAACUAACCUGGACUGACGCUAUUUUCAGCAGAAUUGCCUUGGUUUUAUUUUUGUGCAGAAAUCAAAGUUCUCAGAACGUCCUCAAAAUUUACGGGAACAUUUUUGGAAAAUAUGAAAAAUACCUAUGGAAAGAUCCACCUGAGGGGGUGGGCCAGUGGGCCACAAGCCCUGCCUCCGCCACCCCCUGGUCGCGGUGGGCAAGCUUGUGGGGCCCACACGGCUCUACCGCCCCCAAUCUCAGGUCUAUAAGUUCACUUUCGUCCCAGAAAAAAUAAAAAGAGAAGAUUUCGUCGCGUUUGCGAUACGGGGGCGCUGCCACAACCUAUUCUUCAUCUGGAAGGCAGAUCUGGAGUCCGUCUUGGGCUCCGGAGAGGGGAAAUCGUCGCCAUCGUCAUCAUCAACCUUCUUCCCUCUCCAAUUCCAUGAAGCUCUUCGUCGUUCAUGAGUAAUCUAUUCGUAGGCUCGCUGGGCGGUGAUGAGUAGGAUGAAAUCUAUCAUGUAAUCGAGUUAGUUUUGAUGGGGAUUGAUCCCUAGUAUCCACUAUGUUCUGAGAUUGAUGUUGCUACUACUUUGCCAUGCUUAAUGCCUGUCACUAUGGCCCGAGUGCCAUGAUUUCAGAUCUGAAAUUAUUAUGUUGCGACCAAUAUAUGUGUGUUUUAGAUCCGAUCUUGCAAGUUGUAGUUACCUACUAUGUGUUAUGAUCCGGCAACCCCAGAGUGACAAUAACCGGAACCACUCCCAGUGAUGACCAUAGUUUGAGGAGUUCAUGUGUUCACCAAGUGCUAAUGCAUUGGUCCGGUUCUUUAUUAAAAGGAGAACCUUAAUAUCCCAUAGUUUCCUUUUGGACCCCGCUGCCAAAGGAGCGAUGGACAAUAGAUGUCAUGCAAGUUCUUUUCCCUAAGCACGUAUGACGACACACGGAAUGCAUGUCUACAUUACAUUGACGAACGGGAGCUAGCCACAUAUCUCUCCGUGUUAUAACUAUUGCAUGAUGAAUAUCAUCCAAACAAAUCACCGACCCAUUGCCUACGAGUUUGUCCUACUGCUGUUGUUACUUGUCUUGCUCUGUUGCUGUUACUUGUCUUGCUCUGCUGCUACUGUUGCUACUACAGUCGCUUGCCACUGCCGUUACUCGCUACAUUGCUGUUACUACUUUUCUUGCAGAUAUUAAUCUUUCAGGUGUGGUUGAAUCUGACGCAUUCAGCUGCUAAUACUCGAGAGUAUUCUCUCACCUCCUGUCUGGCGAAUCAACAAAUUUGGGUCGAAUACUCUACCCUCGAAAACUGCUGUGAACCCACGCGUUGGUGGGCCGUCAAUAACAUUCUUCUAGUUUCAUAGUCGGGGAGUGCUAGUAGCAUUCUUCGGGUGCCAUUGCAGGGUAAGUUUUGUUCUCAUAGAAUCAGCAUUCGUCUAGCUAUUGCCAGACAGUGCCGGUCAGGCAAUUCCCAGCAAUGGCGCCAUAAAAAGGCACGUUGACGGGAUGUUAGCGCCAACAAAGUCUUGCAACAAGUAACAGCGGAGUAGGAAGGAACAGUAGUAGCAGCAGCAGCAAAGUAACAAGUAACAGCAGUAGCGACAGCAGCAGCAAAGUGGCCCAAUCCCUCUUGUAGCAAGGGACAAGCCUAGGCAAAGUAACAUAGCGAGGACCAGUAGUAAAAGACUCGUAGGCAGUGGAUCGGUGAUGGAUGAGUAUGACGGAUGUGAUUCAUCAUGUAAUAGCUAUAACACGGAGAGAUAUGUGACUAGCUCCCGUUCAUCAAUCUGAUGUAGGCAUGUAUUCCGUAUGUAGUCAUACGUGCUUAUGGAAAAGAACUUGCAUGCCAUCUAUUGUCCAUCCCUCCCAUGGCAGCGGGAUCCUAAUGGAAGCUACGGGAUAUUAAGGUUCUCCUUUUAAUAAAGAACCGGACCAACGCAUUAACACGCGGUGAACACAUGAACUCCUCAUACCAUGGUCAUCUCCGGGAGUGGUUCCGGCUAUUGUCACUCCGGGGUUGCCGGGUCAUAACACAUAGUAGGUGACUACAACUUGCAAGAUAGGAUCUAAAACACACAUAUAUUGGCGACAACAUAAUAGGUUCAGAUCUGAAAUCAUGGUACUCGGGCCCUAGUGACAAGCAUUAAGCAUAGCCAAGUAGUAGCAACAUCAAUCAAGAACAUAGUGGAUACUAGGGAUCAAUCCCCGUCAAGAACUAACUCGAUUACAUGAUAGAUCUCAUCCAACUCAUCACCGUCCAGCAAGCCUACGAUGAGAUUACUCACGAACGAUGAAGAGCAUCAUGGAAUUGUCGAUGGAGAACGGUUGAUGAUGACGAUGGCGACGAUUGCCCCUCUCCGGAGCUCGAAACGGACUCCAGAUCUGCCCUCCAAAUGAAGAACAAGAUGUGGUGGCGCCUUCGUAUCGCAAAACGCGAUGAAACCUUCUCUCUGAUUUUUUCCGUCGAAACGGAAGAUAUAGAGCUGAGUUUGGGGGCGGUGGAGCCACGUGGGCCCCACAAGACAGCAUGGCGCGGCCUAGGGGGGUGGCCGCAUCGUGUGGGCUUGUGGCCCACUGGCACACCCCCCCCCCCUCACGUGGAUCUUUGCGCAGGUAUUUUUCUUUUAUUCCAGAAAAAAUCUCCGUAAAUUUUCAGGAUGUUCCGAGAACUUUUAUUUCUGCACAAAAACAACACCAUGGCAAUUCUGCUGAAAACACCGUCAGUCCGGGUUAGUUCCAUUCAAAUCAUGCAAGUUAGAGUCCAAAACAANNNNNNNNNNNNNNNNNNNNNNNNNNNNNNNNNNNNNNNNNNNNNNNNNNNNNNNNNNNNNNNNNNNNNNNNNNNNNNNNNNNNNNNNNNNNNNNNNNNNNNNNNNNNNNNNNNNNNNNNNNNNNNNNNNNNNNNNNNNNNNNNNNNNNNNNNNNNNNNNNNNNNNNNNNNNNNAGUCCGGGUUAGUUCCAUUCAAAUCAUGCAAAUUAGAGUCCAAAACAAGGGCAAAAGAGUUCGGAAAAGUAGAUACGAGGGAGACAUAUCAGGAGACAACCCAACACUUUUACCUUCUAUUUUUGUGAGUUCACAUGAUUAAGCUACUGUAGUAAUCAUGUUUUGUGUCUUUUAUUUCAAUAAAGUGUCAAGUAAAGCCUUUGGAAUGACUCACAAGAUGAGUAGAAUUGAUGCCGAACCAAAACAGAAACUUUUCACUCAAGUACAUGAAUUUUCAUUUUUUUACCAAAGCGUGAUAAUGAUUUAAAAUUUUACACAGUAUUUAUAUAUAAAUUCUCCUGGUUUUGCUAAUUUUUUAGAAUUUUGAUAGACAGGGAAGUAUGGCUAUACUACAGAGUUCUAUAAAUUAUGGGAAACAUGGCUACUGUUCUGUUUUCGACAGAUUAUGUUUUGUAUGCAUAGUCUGCUUAUUUUAGUGUUCCCAUAGCUUAUAUUCAGUAAUAUAAAUUAUGGGAAUGAUAGAAUACAGUAGGUAUAAUGUGGUAACUAUUAUGAAUCUUGUCUUGACAGUACCUAAGUGAAUGAUCUAUCUUUAUUACACUAAGCUUUCUCACAAAGUUCCGUUAAGUUUUGUGUGAUUGAAGUUUUCAAGUUUUGGGUGAGACAUCGAUAUGAGGAGAACAAGGACUGACAAGUACCUAAGCUUGGGUAUGCCCAAGUUACCCCAAGGUAAUAUCCGUUGAAGACUCAAGUGUCUAAGCUUGAGGAUGCCCCGGAAGCAUCCCCUCUUUCAUCUCCAACGCUAUACGUAAUCUUACUUAGAGCUAUAUUUUUAUUCGUCUCGUAAUAUGUGUUUUUCUUGGAGCAUCAUUUUAUUCUAUUGAUUUCUGUUAGAUGUUAUUUAUAAUUUUGUUUUCUAUAAAAAUCCAAGAAUUGUAUUAGGAUGCUUGCAUUGCAUGGUUUGAUGUGUGCUGUAUAAAAACAGAAACUCUUGUUGUAGUGUUUGAAUUUUCAUAUUUUACUAGAAUGUGGAAAGUUUGUGAAAUAUUUACACAAAUUUUUCUUAUAAAUUUUAUAGAAUGAACUAAAUUUGCAUAAUUUUUUGAGUUACACAAGUAGACUGUUUUCAUAAAUUGCUACAAACUGUUCUGUUUGGAUAGAUUGUUGUCAUAGUUUUGUUAUCUACUUAUCAUAUAGUUUCCAUAGCCUAUAUUGGUAGAUAUAAAUUGUGGAAACGAUAGUAAACAGUACAUGAUGUUUGAAAGUUAUUAUACAACUUUUCUUGUCAGUACAUGAAGAGUUGAUUUAUUAUUGUGUGUACUAACCUAUCUCAUGAGUUCUUUUCGAGUUCUGUGUGGAUGAAGUUUUUUAGAAAAGGUGAAACCAUGAUAUGAGAGGAUUGAAUGAGAAACAAAAGCUCAAUCUUGGGGAUGCCCAAGGCAUCGCAAGUAAAUAUUUCAAGAACUCUCAAGUAUCUAAGCUUGGGGAUGCUACGCAUCCCACCUCUCUUUGUCAACUAUCGGUUAGCCUAUCUUGAGCCUAAAUUUUUAUUCGUUCACAUGACGCGUCCUAUUCUUGGACUACUAUUUUUCUUUUGCUUGCUAUUUAAAUAAAAUACUCAGAUCUGAGAAUCUUUAUUGAGAGAGAGGAAGAAAGUCCUCACAUAGAUACUUAAUUGUUUGACUACUCAUUGAUCUUCACUUAUAUGUUUUGGAGUAGUUUUGGCAUUUACUCUCGUGCUUCACUUAUAUCCUAUGAGUAAAUAGUUGAAUGAAUUGGAUAUUAUAAAUAUGAAAUUAUAUAUGUUCUAAGUGCUUAUCCCAUGGGGAGUAAUGACUUCACAUAUAAGAAGUAUAGGUGGUAUAAUUUAUUGAAAGUUAGCAAACACCGCAUUGGUCACUUGAACAAUACAUGAAAGAAUAUUGAAGGAAGAGAGAUUCCACAUAUAAAUAUACUAUCUUGGACAUCUUUCAUGAUUAUGAGCCCCAUUAAUUAUUUUCAAACUUGAGCAAAUUAGUUGAAGUUGGACAAGGAAGAGAACUUAAUGAGUUAUGUGUGGAUAUAUUUGCAUAGAAGUUAUAUUGUUAUGGAUCCUCCAACAUGUGGUGCUUGUUUAGAACCUUUUACUAGCCAAUACUUCGUGCUAAGUAGAGAUACUACUUGUGCAUCCAAAAACCCUUAAACCCAGUUUCUUGCCAUGAGAGUCCACUAUAUCUACCUAUAUGCGGUAUUUACCUCCUAUUCCAAGUAAAUUUGCAUGUGCCAAACUCUAAACCUUCAAAUAAUAUUUUGUUUUGUAUGCCCGAAUCACUCAUGUAGUGACUAGGGACUGUAUUGAUUAACGAUGUGUGUUGAUUCACUAUCAUUCACGAGAAAGUGGCCGGUAUUCGGGAUGCCCAGUUCCAUGCUAAAAAAUCAAAUCAAAAUAUAAUGAUACAAACCUCCCCCAAGAUUGUUGUUUGUAUGAACGGUACCCGUGGAUUCGGCUCGUCGUGGAGUGUGGUUGAUUGGUGGAGGGGGAGUUAAAACUUUACAAUUGUGUUUGGGAACCAUCUAUAAUCUAUCUAGCAUGGAAGAUACCGAGAUCUCUCGGUUGUUAGGUUGACAAUGAAAGCAUACCGCUCAAAAUUAUUAUUCAUUUGUGUUUUAAAACCUCGAGCUUUCGCACAUAUGCAAAUCACAGCUUCCCUGUGCGAAAUUUGCAUGACUUGAAUGGAACUAACCGAGACUAACGCUGUUUUCAGCAGAAUUGCCAUGGUGUUGUUUUUGUGCAGAAAUAAAAGUUAUCGGAAUGUCCUGAAAAUUUAAGGAUAUUUUAUCUGGAAUAAAUGAAAAAUACCUGCGCANNNNNNNNNNNNNNNNNNNNNNNNNNNNNNNNNNNNNNNNNNNNNNNNNNNNNNNNNNNNNNNNNNNNNNNNNNNNNNNNNNNNNNNNNNNNNNNNNNNNNNNNNNNNNNNNNNNNNNNNNNNNNNNNNNNNNNNNNNNNNNNNNNNNNNNNNNNNNNNNNNNNNNNNNNNNNNNNNNNCAAAGAUCCACCGGAGGGGGUAUGCCAGUGGGCCACAAGCCCCUCGGCCGCGGCCACCCCCUUAGGCCGCGCCGUGAGGGCUUGUGGGGCCCACGUGGCACCACCGCCCCCAAACUCAGCUCUAUUUAUUCCAUCUCGCCCGGAAAAAAAUCAGAGAGAAGGAUUCAUCGCGUUUUACGAUACGGAGGCGCCACGAGCUCGUGUUCUUUAUCUGGAGGACAGAUCUGGAGUCUGUUCGGGGCUCCGGAGAGGGGAAAUCGUCGCCAUCGUCAUCAUCAACCUUCCUCCAUCGACAAUUCCAUGAUGCUCUUCAUCGUUCGUGAGUAAUCUCAUCGUAGGCUUGCUGGACGGUGAUGAGUUGGAUGAGAUCUAUCAUGUAAUCGAGUUAGUUCUUGACGGGGAUUGAUCCCUAGUAUCCACUAUGUUCUUGAUUGAUGUUGCUACUACUUGGCUAUGCUUAAUGCUUGUCACUAGGGCCCGAGUACCAUGAUUUCAGAUCUGAACCUAUUAUGUUGUCGCCAAUAUAUGUGUGUUUUAGAUCCUAUCUUGCAAGUUGUAGUCACCUACUAUGUGUUAUGACCCGGCAACCCCGGAGUGACAAUAGCCGGAACCACUCCCGGAGAUGACCAUAGUAUGAGGAGUUCAUGUAUUCACCGAGUGUUAAUGCGUUGGUCCGGUUCUUUAUUAAAAGGAGAACCUUAAUAUCCCGUAGUUUCCAUUAGGACCCCGCUGCCAUGGGAGGGAUGGACAAUAGAUGUCAUGCAAGUUCUUGUCCCUAAGCACGUAUGACUACAUACGGAAUACAUGCCUACAUUAGAUUGACGAACGGGAGCUAGUUACUUAUCUCUCUGUGUUAUAGCUGUUACAUGAUGAAUCACAUCCGGUAUACUCAUCCAUCACCGAUCCACUACCUACGAGUCUUUUACUACUGGUCCUCGCUACGUUACUUUGCUGCUACUGUUGUCGCUACUGCUGUUACUUCGUGCUGCUGCUACUGCUGUUCCUUGCUGCUGCUGUCACUACUGCUGUUACUUUGCUGCUACUUGUUGCAAGACUUUUCUGGAGCCGUUGCCGAGGAAGAAUAGUCCCCCGUCCACGUGCCAUUUAUUGGCGCCAUUGAUACAACAAGCUAGGAAAAGUCUGCCGUCAACACAUCUUUUUCUGACACCGUUGCUAUCAUACCACUUUGCUACUGAUACUUUGCUUGCAGACACUAAUCUUUCAAGUGUGGUUGAAAUUGACAAACUCAGCUGCUAAUACUUGAGAAUAUUCUUUCGCUUCCCCUUGUGUCGAAUCAAUAAAUUUGGGUUGAAUACUCUACCCUCGAAAACUGUUGCGAUCCCCUACACUUGUGGGUUAUCAAGACCAUUUUCUGGUGCCGUUGCCGGGGAGGCACAUCUAUAUUCUCUGAGUCACUUGGGAUCGACGUCUGCUGGUCACUAUGAGGAAUCUGAAAGAUCCAAGAACUAAAAUCUUGCCUUCCACUACGAGGAGAGGUAAGCAACUUCCAUCUAGCUCUGCACUUGAUUCACCUUCAGUUUUGAGUAAGUUUGCGACUUCGCCUCCUGCUAGAAAUCUUGAUAUGUCGCCUGUGCAUGAUGAUGCUACUUCUGCUGCCCAUGAUGCUUAUGAUGAUGCUAUGCUNNNNNNNNNNNNNNNNNNNNNNNNNNNNNNNNNNNNNNNNNNNNNNNNNNNNNNNNNNNNNNNNNNNNNNNNNNNNNNNNNNNNNNNNNNNNNNNNNNNNNNNNNNNNNNNNNNNNNNNNNNNNNNNNNNNNNNNNNNNNNNNNNNNNNNNNNNNNNNNNNNNNNNNNNNNNNNNNNNNNNNNNNNNNNNNNNNNNNNNNNNNNNNNNNNNNNNNNNNNNNNNNNNNNNNNNNNNNNNNNNNNNNNNNNNNNNCCUGAUGAUGCUAUGCCUGAUACUCCUUUGCCACUAGGUGCAUUCCUUGAUGCACAAAUUGCUAGAGUUGCUGCUAGAUGUGAUGAUACUUCUGAAACUGCUGAUACUAUUGAAGUAGAACUUGCUAGUAUGCCUGAAUUGCCUGUUAUGCAUGAACGCUAUGUUAUGGAAGGAGAGAUAGCUGAGGACUUUCUUGCGUGUAAGGAUAGCUAUGAUGUUGAGAAAUUACUGCGCAAGUGGAAAGAAAAAUCUCUGAACGCUGGGAUGAAAUACGACCCGAAGUUUGCUACUUCGCCUAUCUUUGUGACCGAUAAGGAUUAUGAAUUCUCUGUCAACCCUGAGUUAAUCACUCUGGUUGAAUCUGAUCCUUUUCACGGUUAUGAGUCUGAAACGGUUGUAGCCCAUCUUACCAAACUGCACGAUAUAGCCACCCUAUUCACUAGUGAGGAAAAGAUCCGCCACUACUAUAUCCUCAAGUUGUUUCCUUUCUCGCUAAAGGAUGAUGCUAAGACCUGGUUCACUUCUCUUGCUCCUGGUUGUGUGCGUAGCCCCCAGGAUAUGGUCUACUACUUCUCUGAAAAAUAUUUCCCUACCCAUAAGAAGCAAGCUGCCUUGCAGGAAAUAUACAACUUUGCUCAAGCUGAGGAAGAGAGUCUCCCACAAGCUUGGGGGAGGCUCGUCCAGCUACUGAAUGCUUUGCCUCAUCACCCUCUUGAGAAGAAUGAAAUACUUGAUAUCUUCUAUAAUGGACUUACCGAUGCUUCCAAAGACCACCUAGAUAGUUGUGUCGGUUGUGUUUUUAGGGAACAAACUGUAGAACAAGCUGAGAUUCUACUGAAUAACAUCUUGUGCAAUGAGAAUGCUUGGACUAUUCCCGAAUCACCUCCUAAGCCAACUCCAAAGAAAAGAGGUAUUCUAUUCCUCAGUCCUGAAGAUAUGCAAGAAGCCAAGAAAUCUAUGCGAGAGAAAGGCAUUAAAUCUGAAGAUGUCAACAAUCUACCACCUAUCGAAGAGAUCCAUGGUCUCGAUAACCCGAUACAGGUAGUAGAAGUAAAUUCUCUCUGUAGGUUUGAUGAGAGUGAUAUUCCUUUUGAUAAACCUGCUAGCUUAUGCCUGGAUGAAUUUGAUAACUUUGUUGACAAACAACAGAGUUUCNNNNNNNNNNNNNNNNNNNNNNNNNNNNNNNNNNNNNNNNNNNNNNNNNNNNNNNNNNNNNNNNNNNNNNNNNNNNNNNNNNNNNNNNNNNNNNNNNNNNNNNNNNNNNNNNNNNNNNNNNNNNNNNNNNNNNNNNNNNNNNNNNNNNNNNNNNNNNNNNNNNNNCAAACAACAGAGUUUCAAUGAUUAUGUUAGCAGACAAUUGGAACAGAAUGCUCAUAUGCUUAGUCAUUUAAGUGCUUGUGUGGACAGAAAUGUCAAUGAUCUUAAGCUUUUGAGUAAACAUGCCUGUAUGGUUACUACUCAAGUAGAACAAGUACUUAAAGCUCAAAAUGACUUGCUCGAUGAGUUGAAUGAAAAUUCCGUUAGAGUUGUUACUAGAGGCGGUAGAAUGACCCAGUAACCUUUGUAUCCCGAGGGUCAUCCGAAGAGAAUUGAACAAGAUUCUCAAGGAGUUAGCACUGAUGCACCUAGUCAUCCUAGAAAGAAGAAGAAAGAUGAUAGGAACCUGCACGCUAGCAACCCUGUUGCUGCUACACCUGAGAGUCCAAACGAUGCCUCUGUCUGUGACACUGAAACACAAUCUGGUGAUGAACAUGAGCCUAAUGAUAAUAUCAAUAGUGAUGUUCAUGAAGAUGCUCAACCUAGCAAUGAUAAGGAUGUGGAGAUUGAACCUAUUGAUCUUGAUAACCCUCGGCCUAAGAAUAGAAGAUAUGAUAAGAAUGACUUUGCUGCUAGGAAGCAUGGUAAAGAAAGGGAGCCAUGGGUUCAGAAACCCAUGCCCUUUCCUCCAAAACCAUCCAAGAAAAAGGAUGAUGAGGAUUUUGAGUGAUUCGUUGAAAUGAUCAGACCUGACUUUCUGCAAAUGCGUUUGACAGAUAUGCUCAAAAUGUCUCCGUAUUCUAAGUACAUGAAAGAUAUUGUAACUAAUAAGAGGAGGAUACCUGAGGUUGAGAUUUCCACCAUGCUUGUUAAUUAUACCUUCAAGGGUGGAACUCCUAAGAAACUAGGUGAUCCCGGUGUGCCCACUAUACCUUGCUCCAUUAAAGGCAGGUACGUUAGACCAGUGUUAUGCGACCUUGGAGCCGGUAUUAGUGUUAUGCCUCUCUCUCUUUAUCGUAGACUUGAACUGGACAAGUUGACACCCACUGAAAUCUCUGCAAAAUGGCCGACAAAUCAACUGCUUUCCCUAUCGGCAUUUGCGAGGAUCUGCCUGUUGUGGUUGCUAACGUCACUAUCUUAACAGACUUUGUUAUCUUGGAUAUUCCUGAGGACGAUGCCAUGGCGGUCAUCCUCGGAAGACCGUUUUUAAACAAUGCAGGGGCUGUUAUAGAUUGCAACAAAGGCAAUGUCACUUCCCAUGUCAACGGUAAUGACCAUACAGUGCACUUUCCGAAGAAACAAUAUCGAGUACAUUGCAUCAAUGCUAUCGAAAAAACUUCAUCAAUUUUUAUUGGGAUCUUUGAAUGCCCUAUACCUCGUGUCAAGAUGAAGUAUGAUUUGCUUGUUGGGGAGAUACACAUCCCCAUUGAGGUGACCUAGUGAUUAUUCGGAAAUUCUCCAUUAUCUUUUGUGAUUCGAAAAAGUUUGUCAAAGAGGCUUGAUCAACCUCACUGACAGAUUUCUUUUGAUGACAAUGAGAUGGAUGAAUCGAGGAGUCACAAACCUCUGUUCCAAGCUUUCACCUUCUAUUGCUUAGAAGAAAAAUGAUAGAUUUAGUUUAGUUUUCCCUGUUUUCUGUUUUAGCGCUCGGUGGAAAAGUACCCUGAAAAUAAAAGUACUCCGAACGUCCUGAAAAUCAAGUAUGAUUUUUUUUGGAAUUUUUGAAAAAUUCUGAGACAAAGAGCUUGUCGGGGGGCUGCACGAGUGGGCCACAAGCGCUUGGGGCGCGGGCACCCCCCCUGAGCGCACCACCCAGGCUUGUGGGGCCCACAGGCACCCCCUCCACUCAUUCUUGCUCUUAUCUGGUUCUCCUACCUCCAGAAAAAAUUGUUCCGCAGCUCAAACCCGUGUUCUCGCUCCUCUUGUUGGGAUUUUCGAUCUCUUUGCUCAAAUCACCGUUCUCCGAACUGUUUUGGGGAAAUUACUCCUUGGUAAGUGACUCCUCCAUUGGUCCAAUUAUUUUUUGCUCUAGUGCCUUAUACUCCGCGUAUUUUUUCUGCCUUGGUGACCAUGUUCUUGAGCUUUGCAUGCUAAUUCUAGCUGGUCCCAAGUAGUUUUGAUGCGUAAUAUGGCCUCUAGGCAUUUGUUGGAGUAGUUGCUAUGAGUUUCAUUGAGCCUUGUUCACUUUUCCUUAGAAUCACUAAAAUUUUCAGAAAAUUUCAAAGAUAGAAAAGGGAAAAGAUGAGGAGGUUCUUAAGAGGCUCUUCAAGCCGUGACCCCAAGGAUGAUGGGAGUGAGAAGAAGCCCAAGUAUCUGGUCCCUCGAGUCGCAGAAGUUCGAGCGUGCAAGUGGCCAAGCGAUGUGUUCUUACGCACCGCUGGAAUUUAUGAGGACUUUUAUCACUUGGUGGAUAACGCAGGCCUUACCGCCUUCGUUGAAGAUAAGUGUCCGCAAUACCUCCUCCUCACUAAUAUCUUCAUACAAAGUUUUAACUUCUAUCCGAGGAAGAAUCCUCCUAUGGUUGAGUUCAAAAUUUAUGAUAUCCCCCAGCGCAUGUCACACCAAGAUUUUUGCAAUGUUUGCAAAUUACCUUAUGUUGGGGAUAUUCAUGAACCUCGUCCACGGGACUUGGAAGCUUUCAUCGAUACUAUUGUUGUAGGAGAGGAGAGAGGAGUGUCUUGCGCUAGAGCUACUAGCAUUAAUUUUCCCGUGCUUCGGUACUUCUCAUUAUUUGUGGGAAAAUGUUUGAUUGGCCGUGGGAAAGCUGGGUCACUUAGUUCCCCAGAUCUUGCGGUCUUGCGCGAAGCCCUUUAUAACGAUAAAACUUAUAGCUUGGGCGCUAUAGUAGCUCAACGGUUGAACACGAACCGUUCUAAAGGCGUUAUCUAUGGAGGUAUCUAUGCUACUCGUCUUGCUAUACAUUUUGAGAUACCUAUUAGACUGGACGAGGAAGAAGAGAUUCUUCUUCCUGAGAGAUAUCUAUAUUACAAUAGCAUGGUUCGCCAUGACUUUUUUGAUAGAGAUAUAAAUAGAAGGAUGAUUUAUAACCUGGUAUUUAGUCAGGGUACUCGUGAGACUAUUACUUUGCUUGCUCCUUCUUUGUUCAAUCUUCAUGCAGGUAGGUACAUUAUUAUGCCCUUGGACAUCUACACAUAUUGGGGCAUAGCCCAACCACAGGUGCCCGUGCCCGAGCUAGCAGUCGAGUACCAGACGCCAGUUUAUCAGUGGGAGCCAGAGGAGCUCACACAGCAGUGGCAUCCUCAGUCCACUCCGGAGUACCCCGGAGCUGGUUAUUUCCCUCCUUGGGAGUAGACCAACUUAGGCCAAAAGCCUAAGCUUGGGGGAGUAGGUGUUUCUCAUUUGUGUUUUCCUGCAGAUUCCAUCUUUAGUCCACUACACGAGCACGCUUAUUAUUGUUCACAACAUUCGGUCGUGCAAGUGAAAGUCAAAAAUGACGAUAUAUGAAGUGACUGAGCCUGGAAAAGAUGGUAUGAACUCGAUCUAUUUUGUUUUUGUAAAUAUGACUAGCCCAUCAUGCCUGAUUCAGCUUUGUUGUGAGAGAAACAUGUUUGCAAUGACAACUUAGAGAUCAUAGUUGCUUAUGCCAUGCUUACUUAGCUAGGAGCUUAUAAUGGUUUGUCUUGGAUGCCCACAUGAAUGUUGAGAUGACUGUGCUGUAGUAUGAUAGGAUGGUAUCCUCCUUUGAAUGUUUCAAGUGGCUUGACUUGGCGCAUGUUCACGCAUGUAGUUGAAACAAAAUCAACAUAGCCUCUAUGAUGUUCAUGUUCAUGGUGAUUUAUGUCCUACUCAUGCUUGCAUUCAAUGUUAGUUAAUCUCAAUGCAUUUUGAUGACUGUUGUCGCUCUCUAGUUGGUCGCUUCCCAGUCUUUUGCUAGCCUUCACUUGUACUGAGCGGGAAUACUGCUUGUGCAUCCACCCCCAUAAACCCAACGUUGUUCCAUAUGAGUCCACCAUACCUACCUAUGUGCGGUAUCUACCUGCUGUUCCAAGUAAAUUUGCAUGUGCCACUCUCUAAACCUUCAAGAAAUAAUCUGUUUUGCAUGCCCGAACCGCUCAUGUGGUGAUAGGGGGCUAUUGGUAUCUUCCAUGCUAGGCGUGUUAUCCUCGAUAUGUGUUUAUUCACUAUCAUUCACGAGAAAGGGGGCGGUAAUUGGAACUCCCAGGUCCAUGCUCAAAUCGAAAAGAUAAUUGCAAACAAACCUCCCCCAGGAUUGAUGUUGGUAUGGACAGUACUCGAGGAUUCGGCUAGCCGUGGAGUGUGAUUGAUUGGUGGUGGGGGAGUCAAAACUUUACUUUUCUGUUUGGGGACCGCCUAUAGCAUGUGUAGCGUGGAAGAUGUUGAGAACUCUUAGUCAUUGCGUUGACAAUGAAAGCAUGCCACCCAAAAUUAUUAUCUCUGUUUUAAAAGCUUGAGCUCUGGCACCUGUGCAAAUUAAUGCUUCCCUCUGCGAAGGGCAUGUCUAUUUAUGUUCCUGUUGAGUCAUCCUCCUCUUACAACAAGACCCAAUUAGAGAGCACCUUUGUCAUUUUUAUGCUUUGCUUUUAACUGUGUUGAGUAUGACUGUGACUCGAUCUUCAUUGGCUAGAAUUACAAUGUUUAGUCAGCCCUUGGUCUUUGAAGGUGCUCUGCAUUUAUGUUUUGCGGUCUCCGAAAGAGCUAGCGAGAUACCAUCUAUUCGUACUGCUUCAUGUUGUUUUGAUUGAAGUGUUGACAUUUGAGGCUUAUUAUUAUUUGCUCCCUAGCUGAUUAUGCCAUUGAUAUGAGUUUAUCGUGAGACCUAGAUGUCAUUUGCUUAUGUGGUUUGCUUGUGAUCUUGCUGAAAUUCUGGUUAUGAGUUAGACAUAGUUGCAACAACAAGAUCAAACAGAGUUCGUCAAAGUUUUUCUUUUGUCUCUUUCAGUUUGUCAACUGAAUUGCUUGAGGACAAGCAAGGCUUUAAGCUUGGGGGAGUUGAUACGUCUCCGUUGUAUAUACUUUUCUGAACUCUUUUGCCCUUGUUUUGGACUCUAAUUUGCAUGAUUUGAAUGGAACUAACCCGGACUAACGUUGUUUUCAACAAAAUUGCCAUGGUGUUGUUUUUGUGCAGAAAUAAAAGUUCUCGGAAUGUCCUGAAAAUUUACGGAGAAUUUUUCUAAAAUAAAUGAAAAAUACCUGCGCAAAGAUCCAACGGAGGGGGUGUGCCAGUGGGCCACAAGCCCGUGGGCUGCGACCACCCCCCCCCCUAGGCCGCGCCGUGAGGCCUUGUGGAACCCACGUGGCACCACCGCCCCCAAACUCAGCUCUAUUUAUUCCGUCUCGCUCGGAAAAAAUCAGAGAGAAGGAUUCAUCGCGUUCUACGAUACGGAGGCGCCGCCACCUCCUGUUCUUCAUCCAGAUGACAGAUCUGGAGUACGUUCGGGGCUCCAAAGAGGGGAAAUCAUCGCCAUCGUCAUCAUCAACCUUCCUCCAUCGACAAUUCCAUGAUGUUCUUCACCAUUCGUGAGUAAUCUCAUCGUAGGCUUGCUGGACGGUGAUGAGUUGGAUGAGAUAUAUCAUGUAAUCGAGUUAGUUUUGACGGGGAUUGAUCCCUAGUAUCCACUAUGUUCUGAGAUUGAUGUUGCUACUACUUUGCCAUGCUUAAUGCUUGUCACUAGGGCCCGAGUGCCAUGAUUUCAGAUCUGAAAUUAUUAUGUUGCCACCAAUAGAUGUGUGUUUUAGAUCCGAUCUUGCAAGUUGUAGUUACCUACUAUGUGUUAUGAUCCGGCAACCCCGGAGUGACAAUAACCGGAACCACUCCCGGUGAUGACCAUAGUAUGAGGAGUUCAUGUGUUCACCAAGUGCUAAUGCGUUGGUCCGGUUCUUUAUUAAAAGGAGAACCUUAAUAUCCCAUAGUUUCCUUUUGGACCCCGCUGCCACGGGAGGGAUGGACAAUAGAUGUCAUGCAAGUUCUUUUCCCUAAGCACGUAUGACUUCAUACGGAAUACAUUCCUACAUUAGAUUGACGAACGGGAGCUAGUUACUUAUCUCUCCGUGUUAUAGCUAUUACAUGAUGAAUCACAUCCGGUAUAAUCAUCCAUCACCGAUCCAUUGCCUACGAUUCUUUUACUACUUGUCCUUGCUACGUUACUUUGCUGCUACUGUUGUCGCUACUGCUGUUACUCUGUUGUUACUUGCUACUGAUGUUGUUGAUGUUGCUUGCUACUGCUGUCACUACUGCUGUUACUUUGCUGCUACUUGUUGCAAGACUUUUCUGGAGCCGUUGCCGGGGAAGAAUAGUCCCCCUUCCACGUGGUAUUUACUGGCGCCAUUGAUACAACAAGUUAGGAAUAGUCUGCCGUCAACACAUCUUUUUCUGACACCGUUGCUAUCAUACCACUUUGCUACUUAUACUUUGCUUGCAAACACUAAUCUUUCAGGUGUGGUUGAAAUUGGCAAACUCAGCUGCUAAUACUUGAGAAUAUUCUUUUGCUUCCCCUUGUGUCGAAUCAAUAAAUUUGGAUUGAAUACUCUACCCUCGAAAACUGUUGCGAUCCCCUACACUUGUGGGUUAUCAAGGGCCAAUCUAUUUACUUUCAUGUUAUUUACUAUUCUUGUUGAGUUAACUUCUUAUUCCAACCUCAAAGUAUUAGUUGGCAAGCAUCAUGUGGUGGGGAAAGAUGCAAACAUAUAUAUCCAUACAAAUAUAUUUGAUCAUGAAUUAUUAUUGUUGACAAUUAUCUAUAUGGUAAAUAAAUUAGGAGGCAAAACUUUAAGCCCCUGUCUUUCUUUGUGUUCGAUGGAUGCUAUUUGUUCUAAAAAUAUGCUUUGAGUGUCAACAAUCAUGGAAGACUAUAUGAUAGUUGAGUAUGUGGAAUUUUCUAAAUAAAAUCUCUUACAUAGACCCUUCCCAAAAAUAAGAUGAAUUGCAAUUGUUUGGUGACUGAAAGCAUAAUUUGUUAGUUUUCAAGAAACUUUAUGGUCUACAUUUUAACACGUGAAUAGCUUGUUACUUCAUCAUGAGAAGUUUUAUGAGAUGAGCUACUGUGUAUGAUAUGUAAUGAUGCUAGAAAAAGUGUUUGGAUAUAUCAUUGAUCAAAUUUAUGCACUAUGCUAGCAUUCACACUUCAUAAAUGAUUUCUUUUAUUAUUUACCUACUCGAGGACGAGCAGGAAUAAAGGUCGGGGAUGCUGAUACGUAUCCAACGUAUCUAUAAUUUAUGAAGUAUUCAUGCCAUGUUUACAAUAAUUCUAUAUGGUUUUUGUAUGAUUUUAUUAUAACUAACCCGGACUGAUGCUUUUUUCAGCACAACUACCGUGUUGUUGUUUUUGUGCCCAAAUAAAAGUUCUCGGAAUGGGCUGAAAAAUUACGGAGAAUAUUGUUGGUAAAUAUGAAAAAUACUGGAGCAAAAGGAUACCAGAGAGGAGUCCCGAGGCAACCACAAGCCACCAGGGCACCCCCCUAGGGUGCGCUCCUUGGCUUGUGGGCCCCUCAAGCACUCCCCUGACGUGGUUCGAACGCCAAAUAUUCUUAUAAAAACAGAAACCCCCGAAAAGAAACUUAGAUCGGGAGUUCCUCUGCCGCAAGCCUCCAGAGCCAUGAAAACCCAGUCUUGGCCCUCUUCGGCACCCUGUCGGAGAGGGUCACCAUCACCGGAGACCAUUGAGGAGGAAGAUGGAGGGGCCAUCAUCACCAUGGAGGCCAAGGACUAGAGGAAGAACCUCUCCCCACCUUGGGGGAGGCCAUGGAGGAGGAGGAACAAGGCGGAGACCCUCUCCCCCUCUCUCCCGGUGGUGCCGGAGUGCCACCGGGGGAACCAUCGCCGCGGUGAUCGUCUUCAUCAACAUCACCUUCUUCAUCACCAACCCCAUCUUCUUUUAGCGUUCCACUCCCCCGCGCCCCGCUGUAAUCACCUACUUGAACACGGUUCUCUAUGCCACAUAUUAUGAUCCAAUGAUGUGUUGCCAUCCUAUGAUGUUUUGAGUAGAUUCCCUUUGUCUUAUGGGUUGAUUGAUGAUCUAGAUUGGUUUGACUUGCAUGCUUUAUUAUUGGUGUUGUCCUAUGGUUCUCUCCGUGUCUAGCAAGCAUGAGGGAUUCCCUUUGUAGGGUGUUGUAAUACGUUCAUGAUUCGCUUAUAGUGGGUUGUUUGAGUGACAGAAGCAUAAACCCGAGUAGGUGGGUUGUUGCGAAUGCGAUAAAGGGGACUUGAUGCUUUAAUGCUAUGGUUCGGUUUUACCUUAAUGAUCUUUAGUAGUUGCGGAUGCUUGCUAGAGUUCCAAUCAUAAGUGCAUAUGAUCGAAGUAGAGAAGGUAUGUUAGCUUAUAACUCUCCCUCAUAUAAAAUUGCAAUAAUGAUUACUGAUCUUGUUAACAAUUGCCUAGGACAAUUCCGCACACCGACCCAUCACUAUUCCACACUCGCUAUUUGUAAUAUAUUCUAACUUUAUGAUAACAACACCUAUUUUUAUAUUUUAUUUCUCCGAUGUCAUGCAAAGCUAUUCUCUUCAUACCCACAAUGUAGUUUUAUUUCUCGUUCCAAGUUGGAAGCAAACGUUCGGCGUACGUAGAGUUAUAUCAGUGGCAGAUAGAACUUGAGAGAAUAUUGCUCUUACCUUUAGCUCCUUGUGGGUUCGACGCUCCAUACUUAUCAUUUCCACCUUUUGAAAUUGCUACGAUGAUUCCUUGCACUUGGGGAUUAUCAGGGCGUCGGCAGCGUCUGGGAACAGGUGAUGGCUGAUACGUCUCCAACGUAUCUACAAUUUUUGAUGGUUCCAUGCUAUUAUCUUGUCAACUUUGGAUGUUUUAUAUGCAUGAAUAUGCUAUUUUAUAUCUUUUUUGGGACUAACCUAUUAACUCAAUGCAGAGUGCCAGUUUCUGUUGUUUCCGUGUUUUUGGCCCAUUUUCAGACGAACUCCAAAUGGAAUGAAACUUUACGAUGCUUUUUUUUGGACCGAAAGAGACCCCCGAAGCUUUGGAAGAAGGCCAGAAGAGCCACGAGGGAGUCACAAGCCCUGACGCCGCCACCACCCCCCUAGGUGGUGCCGACCAGGCUUGUAACCUCCUCGUGGGCCCAACCGACGUAAUUCCACCGCCAUAAAUUCCUAUAAAUUCAGAAACCCCCCAAAAGAAACCUAGAUCAGGAGUUGCGCCGCCGCAAGCCUCUGUAGCCACCAAAAACCAAUCUGGAGCCUGUUCUGGCACCCUGUCGGAGGGGCAAUCCAUCUUCGGUGGCCAUCUUCAUCAUCUCGGCGAUCUCCAUGACGAGGAGGGAGUAGUUCUCCCUCGGGGCUGAGGGUAUGUACCAGUAGCUAUGUGUUUGAUCUCUCUCUCUCGUGUUCUUGAGAUGUCUUGGUCUCAAUGUACCAUGGGCUUUGCUACUAUAGUUGGAUCUUAUGAUGUUCUUCCCCCUCUCCUUCUUGUAAUGAAUUGAGUUUAUCCUUUGGAGUUAUCUUNUACAAGGAGAAGGUUGCGUAGUAGACAUCAAGCUCUUUUCUGCCGCCGUUGCCGGGGAGGUUAGCGCUUGAAGGUAUAUCUUUAGAUCUUGCAAUCGAAUCUUUUUGUUUCUUGUUCUUUUGCUAGAAAACUACAAAAAAAAUGGAAUUGAGGAUGUCUCAUAUGCUCCAUCUUUUCAAUGUCUUUCGUGAGCAUGAUGGGAAGGAAAAUUGUGCUCAAGUGCUGAAAGAAGAAUUACAUAGAAUGCUUGGCAUAGAUUAUGUGAAUGAUGAGCAUGAUUGCAAUGUUCUUAGCAUGAAUUCUUUGAAUACCCAUGAUGCUAAUGAUAUGCAAAGCCACAAGCUUGGAGAUGCUAUAUUUGAUGAAGAUGAUCUUUUUAGUUCUUCCACUUUGAAUGAUCAUUGUGAGGAUACUUAUGCUCUGAAGAAGAGGGAUGAUAAAACAUCUCAUACUCUCGAGAACCCCUUUGUUAAAUCUUGCUUUUUCAUUGUGGACACAAUUUGUAGUGCUCAAGUCUUUUACGAUACUCCCACUACUAUUCUUGAGAAUAGAUUUCCUUAUGUGGAGAGUAGUAAAAUUUCUAUGCUUGUAGAUCAUGAAAAGAAUGCUUUAGGUGCUGGUUAUAUUGUUGAAUUCAUUCAUGAUGCUACUGAAAAUUACUAUGAGAGAGGAUGAUAUGCUUCUACUUAUUGCAAUAGUAUCAAGCUUCCUCUCCAUAUGUUGAAAUUUUUGAAGCUAUGCUUGUUCUGCCUUCCUAUGCUAGUUGAUUCUUGCUCCAAUAAAUUGUUUAAUCACAAAAUCCCUAUGCAUAGGAAGUGGGUUAGACUUAAAUGUGCUAGCCAUUUUCUCCAUGAUGCUCUCUUGUGUUUCAAUCCUUACCUUUUAUGUGAGCAUCAUUGAAAUCAAUGCCUAGCUAAGGGCGUUAAACGAUAGCGCUUGUUGGGAGGCAACCCAAUGAAUAAAUUUUUCUUUGCUUUUUGCUUCAUGUUUUGUUUUCUCCACACCAUCAUAAUUAUGUUAUGAUUGUGUCUUUUGUGUUUAUUUUUGUGUUUGUGCCAAGCAAAACCGUUACGAUUAGUCUUGGUGAUGAUUGUUUGAUCAUGCUGGAAAAAGACAGAAACUUUCUGCUCACGAAAAGAAUUUCCAUUUUUAUUCUGUAAGAGAUUUUGAGUUGAUUCUUUUUGCUGCAUAUUCAUAUGCAAUUUAUUCGGAAUUUAGUAAUUGUUCAGAUUUGUUGAAGUACCAGAAGUAUACAAAGUAUACAUAUUGCUACAGACUGGUCUGCUGUUAACAGAUUCUGUUUUUGUUGAGUUGGUUGCUUAUUUUGAUGAAACUAUGGAUAGUAUCGGAGGGUACUAGCCAUGUAAAAGUGAAAAUACAGCAACCCAACACCAAAAUAAGUAGAAUUUAAGUUUGCUACAGUACCUAAGGAAGUGGUGAUUUGCUUUCUUAUACUAAUGAUAUCACGAGUUUCUGUUUAAGUUUCGUGUUGUGAAGUUUUCAAGUUUUGGAUGAAGUUCUUAUGGACAAAAAGAUAAAGAGUGGCAAGAUCUCAAGCUUGGGGAUGCCCAAGGCACCCCAAGAUAUUCAAGGAUGCCGUAAAAGCCUAAGAUUGGGGAUGCCCCGGGAAGGCAUCCCCUCUUUCGUCUUCAAUCCAUCGGUAAUGUUACUUGGAGCUAUAUUUUUAUUCACCACAUGAUAUGUGUUUUGCUUGGAGCGUCUUGUAUCUUAGGAGUCUUUUAUUUUUGUUGUGUCACAAUCUUCCUUCCUUCAAACCUAGAGAGAGAGACAUGCACUCACCGUGAUUUUGUCGAGCUUCACUUAUAUCCUUUGGUAGACAAUUCAGCUCACAUGUGCUUCACUUAUAUAUUUUGAGCUAGAUACUUUUGCUCUGUGUGCUUCACUUAUAUCUUUUAGAGCGCAGCGGUGCGUGUCUUGGUAGUUGAUCUAUGCUUUGAAAGUAGUCUCAAAAUGGGUAGUUAUCCAAAGGGAUACGAAAACUUCCACCUUCAUGUGCAUUGAAUAGUUAGAGAAGUUUGAUUCAUCUCAAUUAGUUUUGAGUUGUGGUUUUGGUAAUAUUGAAGUCAUGCUAGUAAGGUGUUGUGGAUCUAGAAAUACUUGUGUUGAAGUUAGUGAUUCUCGUAGCAUGCACGUAUGGUGAACCGCUAUGUGAUGAAGUCUGAGCAUGAUUAGUCUUUUGAUUGUCAUCCUUUGCGUGGCGGUCGGGAUCGCGCGAUGGUUUAUACCUACCAACCCUUCCCCUAGGAGUAUGCGUUGAAUGCUUUGUUUCGAUUACUAAUAAAACUUUUGCAACAAGUAUAUGAGUUCUUCAUGACUAAUGUUGAGUCCAUGGUUUAGAUGCACUUUCACCUUCCACCAUCACUAUCUUCUUAGUGUCGUGCAACUAUCGCCGGUGCACAAAACUCACCAUUAGCCUCCCUCAAAACAGCCACCAUACCUACCUACUAUGGCUUUUUCAAAGUCAUUCCGAGAUAUAUUGCCAUGCAACUACCACCAUGACAUGUGCCACCACGUCUACAUUGCCAUUGCAUGAUGUUUCCAUUAAUGUCUAUGCCAUGCUAGAUCAUUGCCACGGUACACUACCGAAGGCAUUCCAUAUAGAGUCAUCGUUGCUCUAAGUUUUGAGUUGAAAGUGUGAUGAUCAUCAUUGAUGGAGCAUUGUCCCAUGUGAGGAAAUAAAAGAGGCCAAAGAAGCCCACCAAAAAAAACAAGAGGCCAAAGAGCCCACCAAAUAUAUAUAUAUAUAUAUGAGAGAGAAAAAGAGAGAAGGGACAAUGCUACCACUUUUCCACACUUGUGCAUAUUAAGCACCAUGAUCUUCAUGAUUGAGAGUCUCUCGUUUUGUCACCAUCAUAUAGCUAGUGGGAAAUUCUCAUUAUAUAACUUGGCUUGUAUAUUCCAAUAAUAGGUUUCCUCAAAAUUGCCUUAGUUCUUCGUGAGCAAGCAAGUUGGAUGCACACCCACUAGUUUUCUUUAAGAGCUUUCACAUACUCUUAGCUCUAGUGCAUCAUUUGUAUGGCAAUCCCUACUCAUUCACAUUGAUAUCUAUUGAUGAGCAUCUCCACAGCUCAUUGAUAUGCCUAGUUAAUGUGAUUAUCUUCUCCUUUUUUUGUCUUGCAACCUCCACCACACUCCACACCACUUAUAGUGCUAAAACCAUGGCUCACGCUCAUGUAUUGCGUGAGAGUUGAAAGGGUUUGAGAAAGUGAAGGUGUGAAACAAUUACUUGGCCAAUACCGGGGUUGUGCAUGAUUUAAAUUCGUUGUGCAAUGAUGAUAGAGCAUAGCCAGACUAUACGCUUUUGUAGGGAUAACUUUCUUUUGGCCUUGUUAUUUUGAAAGUUCAUGAUUACCUUGCUAGUUUGCUUGAAUUAUUAUUGUUUCCACGUCGAUAGCAAACUAUUGUUUUGAAUCUAAUGGAUCUGAACAUUCAUGUCACGUGAGAGAAGUUACAAAGUACAACUAUGCUAGGUAGCAUGCAACAUCAAAAAUUCAUUCUUUAUCACUUCCCUACUCGAGGAUGAGCAUGAGUUAAGCUUGGGGAUGCUUGAUACGUCUCCAACGUAUCUAUAAUUUUUGUUGGUUCCAUGCUAUUAUCUUGUCAACUUUGGAUGUUUUAUAUGCAUGAAUAUGCUAUUUUAUAUCUUUUUGGGACUAACCUAUUAACUUAGUGCCAAGUGCCAGUUUCUGUUUUUUCCGUGUUUUUGGCCCAUUUCCACACGGAGUCCAAAUGGAAUGAAACUUUACGAUGAUUUUUUUGGACCAAAAGAGACCCCCGAAGCUUUGGAAGAAGGCCAGAAGAGCCACGAGGGAGUCACAAGCCCCAAAGCCGCCACCACCCCCCUAGGUGGUGGCGACCAGGCUUGUGACCUCCUCGUGGGCCCAACCGACGUAAUUCCACCGCCAUAAAUUCCUAUAAAUUCAGAAACCCCCAAAAAGAAACCUAGAUCGGGAGUUCCGCCGCCGCAAGCCUCUGUAGCCACCAAAAACCAAUCUGGAGCCCGUCCUCGCACCCUGUCGGAGGGGGAAUCCAUCUCCGGUGGCCAUCUUCAUCAUCCCGGCGAUCUCCAUGACAAGGAGGGAGUAGUUCUCCCUCGGGGCUGAGGGUAUGUACCUGUAGCUAUGUGUUUGAUCUCUCUCUCUCGUGUUCUUGAGAUGUCUUGAUCUCGAUGUACCAUGGGCUUUGCUACUAUAGUUGGAUCUUAUGAUGUUCUUCCCCGUAUCCUUCUUGUAAUGAAUUGAGUUUCCCCUUUGGAGUUAUCUUNUACAAGGAGAAGGUUGUGUAGUAGACAUCAAUGGCGCGAGACACAUGACGUCGAUCUAUCCAGGUUUAGGGCCCUCCGGUGAGGUAAAACUCCUAGUCCUGCCGGUGUGACUAUAUGAGAUCACAAUUCAAUGGUUCUCCUUGAGCUGUUCGUGAGGAGGGAGACGAAGUUCUCACUGCCUCGGUGGUAUGUGUCUAAGGAUUCACUAGUUUUCUCCUCCCCUUCUCUCAGGGGACUGGGGUUGGGUUUUAUAGUGCAACCAAAUGUAUACAAUAAUGGGUAGAAACGGAGUGUGGGGUCCGGCCUUCAGCCUCUCCGGCUGGCCGUGGGGCCCGUCGGUUGUCGGGUCUUGUCCUGCGCGGGUCCCGCCGGACGUGUGACGCAGAGGAUAACGCGCCGGCCGUCAGGGAGUUGGUAGGGGUAGGCCCCAGCUACACGGCCGCCUCGCCCGGUCAGCCUAGGGCGUGACCGGUGGCGCUGUAGCCACGUCGAGCCUUGCAUCAUGACGCCUGUAGCCGCGCUAGGUCUAUCAACGCGCACUAUAGCCAUGCACGCCCCUCUGCUGAGGGUAUGCUCUUGUUCGCCGUAUGUUAGUCGGCCGGAUGGGAUGGGCGUUGACCCGUCGACUGCUGCCAGUCGGCCCGCCGUGCGCUGGCCAGGCGGGCCGCCUGUGGCUAGUCAACCAAGGGCGCCUAGCCGGACGGGUCAAACGCCGCUAGCCGAACUGUCACACAGUGGCUAGGCGAACCGCUUGUAGCCAGCCGGCCUAGGGGGGCCAGCCAGCCCGAAUGUCAAGUAGAUGGAUUCCCUCCGCUUUGGUAUACCCAGGGGCCAUAUCCCCGUCAUUAAAACUUAGCCAUUGCAACUUUGUGUACUUCGUUUAUCUCCAAUGACCAGACCAAGACCGCUUUCGGAUCCUCACCCUUAACAAUACUUCAUAUGUAUUCACAAUAUUCAGAUUGCUUUUAUCAUAUUCUUGCUUGUUCUUCGAUUGCUUGGAGGAAGAGACCUUCAUGAUGAGGUUGAUCGUGCUCCCGCGUGAUCAAUAAUCUCUUGAAGUUGGUUUAGUGAUUGCUAAGGCGCAACGUCGUGCACAUUUGUAGUCGGAUCGUCAAAGUCGUCUCCACCAAAUCGGUAGCCACCAUCUCUUUGAAAGAUCGGGACACCCUUGCCUCUAUCAUCUUCAAAUUAGAACACAUAAUGCAUUAAAAGUUGAAUGGGAGAGCUCCUUAAAAAAUUAUUGAUCCAAUCAAAAUCAAUUAACACGACUCUAAAUCAAUGAUCUCAAUUAAUUAUGAGGUCUUACAAAAUAUAAAUCAUAGUGUAUAAUAUACUAAAAAAUUUAAUUAGAGAGUUUUGAAAAAAUUGUUGACCCGUUCAAAAUCAGCUCACACAACUCCAAUUAAAAACCUCAAUAGAAUACGGCCUUCAUAAAACCUCAAUUGAAUAUUUCCGUAACAUAACACAUCACAAGGCAAAAUGAACAUAUAUCUAAAUAACAAAAAUACUUGCAUAAUAUCAUACAUAUAAUAUUAUUUAAUAUGAAGUUAUUAAUAUGGACUAAUAACAUAUGGAUGCUACUAAUGCAAGUUAUUUUCUACUAUGACGAGCCUCAUCUUGAGUGGUUUCUUUGCUUCCAGUCAAUCCCAACAAUGUCUUCACCAGUCCGGAUCCGUCGACUGGGGGGUCGUCCCGUGCAGAGUGGAGGAGGCAAUAGCGGUUCGCGUUGCACUCCGCCGCUCGCGCGAGGACAGCGCCUGACCGACAGAAGGAUUUGUCCGCCGCGACUCUGUAGCAUCUGCACAAAGGGUGCUCGGCUCCUUUGGGGAAUGGCCGGACUACCACCAAAGGUGGAGAAAGAGGUGAGCGGCGAUGAGGACAGUUGUGGCGACGAGAAGAUCCGGCUCGAUCCGUACUGCGUCUUCAACCGGUACUUCCACGACAAGACGGCAAGGGUGUCGGGAAGAACAGAGGCAGCCGUAGAUGAUCUUCACCAUAGCCAAACAUGUAAAAUUUUGAUAGUCCGAUGACAUGUUUAACAAUGAUGGAGUAACUGGACAAUGUGUGUGCGUCGACGUAGUAGUUCGUCUGCGGACGUUUGAAAGAUCGGAUUUGAGGAGUCCGGAGAUGCUCUAAGGCAGAGAAUACACCUAAGUAGCUAGUGGUACUACUUCAGAUGAGGAAGAAAAUGUUAACUAAAUUCCAAAUAUACUGCCGUGCCAUCACACUUUGACAAACACGCACGGCCUUUUUUACACAUAGCUCUAGGUGGCUGCGCCCCUUUCUACUGCAUAUCGAUCAUCUACCAAGAAGAUAUGCACCACUCGAUCUAUAGGGAUCAUGUCACGGCCUUCAAUGGCGGCAUUCGAGCGCACAUUCUUCGGCUCAAGUUGCAUUGUCUCUACGCCACCAUCGAGUGCGCCGUAGAAAACCGAGAUAUAGCGAUCUCCCUGAUAUCUCCGCUUUUGCAAUCCCCAUAAAUAAAUAAUAAUUCAUGUUUGCGAAUGAUGAAGUGCCUGCAAUUUUUACUUCCUGCAUAUCAUAAUAAUUAUAGUGCAAGAAAACUAGUAAACUAGUUCUUUCAACUAUAAUUAUUAUGUUUUUCCUUAACAAUAAUUAUUAUGAUAUACUCCCUUCGUUCUUAAAUAUAAGUUUUUUUAAAGAUUUCACUAAUAGAGUAUAUACGGAUGUAUAUAGACAUACUUUAGAGUGUACAUUGAAUCAUUUUGCUCUGUAUGUAGACCUUUAGUGAAAUCGCUUAAAAGACUUAUAUUUAGAAACGGUGAAAGUAAAUGGAGUAUAAUCAAUUCUACUUCCUCUAAGUCUGAAGGUGAGGACAACACAACCACACAACGCCGCAGUGACAAGCGUUGACUCCGGAUGAGGACCUCGUUGGAGACGGGGACGAUGUUGUGACUAUCAGUGUCUCAAUUGGAAAAAGGGCACACAUGAGAUGAAUUAACAAUACUACCUCCGUUACGGUUUAGAAGACACAUUGAUCACGGUUUAGAUUUCCAGUAUUUUACGGGCAAGAAGAGGAAAAUGAAAAAAAAAUUAAGCAUACAAAUAAAAACAAGAACAAAUGAGAAAAGAAAAAGAAAUGGUGUGUAUUAUCAUUAGAAGGCCUCGCCAUCAGUGAAAAGAAAGAAAGAAAACAGCACUAUCAGUGGGACUAGGGUUAGCUAUAAUUCACAGACUGGAGAGCUCAGACCAUGACGGCAAGUAAAAUGAAUUAAAGGGAGUAGUUUAAUUUGCGUAGAAGAAUAAGAGAUGUGAUCAGCUGAGAAAUGAUGAGAUUAAUCAAGAGGCAAAUCGAAUGAUGAUUUUUCCAACAGGUUUUAUUAGAUAAAAUGUUUGGUCAUGUCUCUAGCCAUUCCAAGAACCAAACUAAAAUAUCCUAAAAUAAAAAUAAAAUAAAAUAACAGUACUAAUAGAUUCUAGCCCAGCAUUUAUUUUUGCACCGAUCUGGACCAAGGGCAGACAGCAGGAUAGUGGUACUAGGAUACAAGGCUGGCACUAUAGAACGUGCAUGGACGUGACGCGAUGUACACAUGUACUGAUCAGGUCGGUGCAUGCAUGCGUGUGACUCAGCGCGAUGGCCCCCUCUUUACAACGCCAAAGGUACGCUUGCCCUCGUGGCCUUGCCAGCCCUCUCCCUUGGCCCUUUUCCCCAAACAUAUCAAAGAAAACCAAACCCGUAAACAUAGCAGUUUGGACCUUAGCCUCCGUGCAUGCGUGGCCACCACCCUAAUUUCGAUACAGCGAUCACCGUACGCAACUUGCUUGCAUCUACAGUACGUACCAGUACUAUAGUUUUGCAAUAGUAUAUUCCCAACCAAGAUCAGAAUGAUGCAGAUCAGUGUUUUGAUUCCUCGAUUUCAUUUUAUUUUCCUGCGUGACGCAAAAGGGCUGCUCGCUUUUGCGUCCUAGCUGUGAAUCUUGUGACCGUUUUGCCCUCCAGAGCCACUAUAUAAGCCCCUCUACCGCAGCACAUUUGCUUCACACAACACAGCCGAUCGCAUACUCUGAUCUGAUCAGUCGCACCAAACCGAGCUAUAGCAUCAGCUCGUCGGAGUUCGGACCGGUCGACUCGGAACUCGUCAUCAAUGGCCGCCGUCCAGGUAGACUGCUCAAUACUGCUUCGUUGCGUUUCGAUCAUGUAGCUUUUGACCUGCUGCCACGGUGCCAUGCCACCUCGAUCUCUUCUGGCACGAGCAACCUGAUCACACGUACGCUGCGUACUGGUACUUCUCUGACAUGAAGGCGUGCAUCAAUGUAAACGCAGGUCCACGCCGCAACCCACGCCAUGCCCGUCGAGGAGGCUCCGGCGCCGGCGGUGGUGGAGGCUGUCGAGCCGGCCGUCGUCGUUGUCGAGGAUACUACCGUGGCGGUGGAGGUCGUCGAGCCGGCCGUCGUCGCGGUCGAGGAGGCUACGGUGGCAGCAGUGGAGAUUGUCGAGCCGGCCGUCGACACAGUCGAGGUGGCAACGGCUGAGGCUGUCGAGCCGGCCGUUGUCGCUGCCGAGGAGGCCGUGAAGGAGGAAGUUGCUGCGCCGGCCGUGACCGAGCUGGCGAAAGAGCCCGAGGCAGCUCCAGCGGAGACCAAGGAGGCCGAGACAGAGGUUGUCCAGCCGGCCGCCGCCGCUGAGGAGGCCCCUGUCACGCCGACAGUGACCGAGACCAAAGAGCCGGAAGCUGCCCCUGCCGAGGGAACAGAGACCGAAGUGGUGGAGCGUGAGGCAGCACCGGCUGAGGCCGAGACCAAGGAACCAGAGAAAGAAGCUGCUCCGGCCGAGACCGAGACCAAGGAACCAGAGCAAGAAGCUGCUCCGGCCGAGACCGAGACCAAAGAGGCAGAGCCAGCCGCUGCCGAGGCCGAGGCCAAAGAGCCGGUGGCAGAGGAGACACCGGCCAAGGAGGAGGCCGCUGUGGCAGUGCAGGAGGAAGCAGCAACUACGGAGGCACCUGUGGAGGCUGCCGUGGCAGCCGAAGCAGCCGUGGAAGAGACAGAAGCACCAGCUGCUGCUGCCGACGUCGAGGCCAAAGCGCCGGUGGCGGAGGCACCGGUCCAGGAGGAGGCAGCGCCCGCAGCCACCGCCGCCGAAGCGUCUUCCGUGCAGGAGGAGGCGGCACCGGCCGAGGCACCCGUGGAUGCACCCGCUGCCGCCGAGGCGGUGCCGGCAGAGGCACCAGCUGCUCAGGCUGCCGCCGCCGCCGACAAGGCCGCCGAGUGAGUUGAUGCGCGCGGGUGCGAUCGUGCUCCUGAGCUAGCCUUUGCCUGGCUUCGCCGUGCGCGUGCCGUGGCAUUGCCAUGGCACGGUACCUUAGUUCGUUUAUUAUUGGAUCCGUAUGUGUGGGCGUAUUUCGUGAGUGGUUGAUCGUCGUCGCGUGGGUGCGCAAUGUACGUCACGUAGCUGCGUACAUGGUCUAGCUAGCAGUCGUAUGUGUGUCGUUCUCAGUUGGCUUCAAUAAUGUGUCAGUGGCGUUCCGGGUCCCACUGUCAGUGAUGUCAUGGGGUCACUGGCUUUGGAGGCUGUUUUCGUCUCUUUGUUUUUUGUUUUUUGUGUUGGUUAAUACAUGCACUAGCUAUUUAUUUGUAUACUGUAUAUGUUGGUACUCCAUCCGUAAAAGAUUUUUGAGUUUUUUUUCCUUUGAGAACCCCUCCGUAAAGAAAUACAGUAUAUGAGUGUUUAGAUCACUAAAGUAGUAAUCUAAAUGAUUUUAUAUUUUUUAGAAAGGAAUACUAAAAAGGCUUGUGAUUUGUGUAAUGCCUCAUCUAUGGGGUCCAUGAUCUGAGCUGCAAUUUAAAAUAAUUAAUUCGGACAUACAUAU
RNAcentral lists this long non-coding RNA (137145 nucleotides) under Hordeum vulgare. RNAcentral's name for it is "long non-coding RNA (HVUL_LNC018406)". Lineage: Eukaryota; Viridiplantae; Streptophyta; Magnoliopsida; Poales; Poaceae. The record is from RNAcentral.